This 99321-nucleotide long non-coding RNA is filed under the name Solanum tuberosum (potato). RNAcentral's name for it is "long non-coding RNA (STUB_LNC009616)". The stretch from base 94854 to 95006 matches the Rfam family "U4 spliceosomal RNA". Lineage: Eukaryota; Viridiplantae; Streptophyta; Magnoliopsida; Solanales; Solanaceae. The record is from RNAcentral.
CAGGCAGGCAUAUGCAAGUGAUCAUGUUUCCUGCAAUAUUACCAUAAAGAACGAAGACUAAGGACGAUGCUAAACUCCACAACUCUAAGCUGAGAGGAAUAGACUCAUUCAGCUGAAUUACAUGGAAGUUACUAAAUUAGAGCAGAACUCGUUCACCGGGAAAAAUCACAGAAUAAAUUAGACUAUGUUCUCAUAAAUGACCAACGAUCGCAAGUUUAGCAUGUUAUGUCACUCCAUAAUUUAUAUACGAAGAGAGACCACAAUUUGAUGAGCAUAGAAUUUUCAAGAAAAGAUGUGCAACCUGCGAAAUUGGUGAAAACAAUUUCAUACUCUUCACCAAGUUUAACUUCAGUCAGGCCAACUGGACAAUUUGCUUGCUCCAUGCCAAUGAGAUUUUCCUCGAGUGGGAGGAAUUCAAAAUAGCCAAUAUUUGGUAACACUGCAUAAGUAACCAUCUCAGGGGGGAAUUUUGGGUUAACGUUUACUCCGACCCAUCCUUCAGAAGAACCAUAAUCUGCACUCAAUAGAGGUAAUUCCCCUGCAUAGUGCCUCAGUUUCUUCAAGUAAGGCUCCAUGGAACCUGUCAUGAUACCAUAUAUGUACUUUGUAUUCGGGAAGAGUUCAGGAAUCAAGCCAUACCAAUUGCUUAAACUUAAGCAUUUGCUAUGAAUUGUAUCAGCCAGUUCUGGAUCAGGCUUCAGCAAUUUUGACAUGGCCAAUCUUAUGGAUGGGACAAUGACUCUGCUCGAUAAGACUCCCUCCCUUAUGUCAACAACAAGUGCUUCCCAUACUUGUUCGAAAGUUCGAAAAGCAUGGACAAUGCUAUGUGCAAACGUAGACGAAACAACUUGAACUUCAUCGCGGAAAAUGAGACCACACAGAAGGUGACAGUAUAAGGAUUGUUGAAAAUCAGGACCAAAUAUCACUUCAUCAGGACUACAAACUGGGGUAGACAUUGCCUUCAUUGUCUUCUUGAAUUGUGCAUUUCUAUACACAUUGGUAGUGGCUGUUCCAGCUGCCAAACCACCUUUAGUUUUAAACUGCUUGCUGCUGUAAAUAAACUGCAAAGCCUUCCCAUUCCCAAUUGGAAAUUCUCUGAAAGAAAAAAAACAGAACUAUUACAUUAAGCCAUGUGUAGGCCUAAACAUAGUGUAAACUAGUACUAUGUUUGUUUGUAGUACACAAUAAGAAUUGACAUUUAAUUUACUUGCAGAAAGAACCAAUAGUUCCUUUUCUUUUCUUAGGAGUUGGAAAGUGUGACAGAAGUUAGGCAAAGGUCCCUACUUCUAUCACCAUUUAAACACUUUUAACUUUCCAUGGCUGCUCCAAUUAUUAGGGAACUAUUUACUUUUAUCCCUAGGCUAUAUGAUGUAUUUAUGACAAAAGAAACUGAAAAAAAAAAAAAAACUUCAUGGACCAACAAGCAAACAUGAGAAACAAGACAUAGAACAAAAUGACAAAUGGCAAAUUACCUGUUCCUAAAGGCAAAAGAAGUCUUGAAUAUCUGCAUGGUGGAAUCCAUCAAUUCAUCAUUGAAAGGUACAAACUUGGGCUUCCCUUGAGUAGUGCCAGAACUGCAAAUCAACCAUUCAAUUUCCUUAGUAUACUUCUUUAAACAUACAACAAAUCUAACAGUAUUUUUAUUGUUGAUAAAUACUCAAUUUUUCACAUAAUUUUUGUUUCAUAUUUAUUGUAGGAAAAAGUAGGCGGCAAAUAUCCCCUCUUUUUUUUAAUUCCUUUUCCACAAAUUCCUCUUUCAAUUUUAGUGGCCUCCAUUCCCUUCUUUUCUAUACGUAACCGUCGUACCCCAUUAAUUCCAUAAAGAAACCCACAAUCUCAUUCUAUUUUUUGUCUAUUCCUUUUUAUUGAAUUUUGAGUGAUUUAUCAUUAAAUCCAUACUCUUUAAAAAUAAGAAUAUGUAAUUAAAAAGUGCGAUAAUCAAAGUACUUGAGAUAGUUGAUAGUAACAAAAAUCGACAGACAAGAAACUUCUUUAAACAUCAACCCAAAAAAAAAGGCAACUUUUUUCUUUACCUCAAGGAGAUGGUUUCAAUGGGCUUUCCAGUAAGAACAGGUGAAAGAUCACCAUCAGCAAUUCUUUGAAUGUAAGGCUCCAAAUCAUUGUGACUGACAAUAGGGACACAAGCCUUGAAAGUCUCAACAUCAGUUCUGCCAUUCAGACCCCAUUGCUUCAAAUACUCUGUUCCCCCAUUUUCUUUCAGGAUUUUCUCAAGUGUCUCUUCUUGAAUCCUCCCAGCAUUUUUAGUCAACUCCUCAAAAUCCUCAAUCACUUGUUCUGCAUCAAAUUUCUUCUCAAUGUUUUCCUCCAUCAUCUUCAUAAUCCCUCCUACAAUAAACACCUCUAAUAAGAACAAAAGACUUCAACUUUAAGCAAUAUCAGUCAAGUAAAAACAGUUUCUUGUGACUAAUCAAGAAUCCUCAGCUUACCAGUAAGCAUUAAUACAAUUUGAGAGAUGGGGUUGGGGGGUUAAAAAGAAUAGAACAAUCUAAACUAUGUGUCAAACAAGCAUAGGCUGCAAAAUUUCCUGUUCUUGAUUGUUCACUUUAUGCAAUUAGAACAAAGUUCACAAAAAGUCAAAGAUGACAAUAAACAGUUACAAAGGAAUCUUUUUUCAUAGCUUGAUAACAUACAAACAAAUACUAUAGAAAAAAAAACUAAACACUCCAUAGAACCUUUUACCAUAGCUAUACAAGACAUACAUACAAAGACAAGAAAAUGCAUAAAUAAAUGAUUUGAAAGCAGUACUCCAUAGUUAUUACUAACUUCAAUGCAACUUAACUCAUAAAGGGUACAUAAAGGACAAUAAAAAAAAGUCUAUUUGCAAUCAAUAAAACUAAAAUCUUUAACAGCUAAUAUCCACUCCUUAUAAGAAAAAAGUCAUCACCUAAGAUACACAGAGUCAACAUAAAGAAAACUAAAACAAAUUGCAAAAAAAAAAAAAAAAAAAAAAAAACAGAGAACUCAAGAAUCACACAAAAUCUAAAAAGUCCUAAAACAUAAAAGAUUUCCAAAAAGGGAAAAGAUUGACAAAAAGACCAAAAGGGUAUCCAAACUCAAGUAACUUAAACAUAAAAAUCAAAACUUUUUAUCAAAUAAUUCAAUCAAAAAACACAAAACACAAAACCCCAUAUGGGUAUUUUUGUAUACCUUUGUUAUAAAUGGCUUAGAAAUGAAGAAGGGGAUCUCAAAAUGACAAACAACAGGUUCUUGAAAAGAAAAAAAAAACAGAUAAAAAUUGGAUCUUUUUUUUUUGUGGGGUUUCUUGAAAAUUAAUUCUACAGCUUCAAAAUGAAAAACUUGGGUGUUAUCAAAACACAAAACCUUAAACAAAUAUAUACAUUUAACAAUUAUAGAUAUUUGUUUAUAUAUAUAUAUUUAUAUAUUUUUUUCUCCAGAAAUGGACAAAAAGAGAAAGGAUGACUCUUGUGUUUUGAUGAGGGAAGAUUGUUAUAGAGAAGAGAAGUAUAUAUAGCAAGUGAAGUGUGAGCAAACACCGUCCAACGUGGCAUAUUAUUGUUACCGAAAAUACCCUUGAGAGUUUACUAUAAUUGCAAUAAAACAAUAGGAUAAUGGAAAAUGGUAUCUGUCCUUUUCUGGAAAUUUAUGUACUGAAAAUACAAAAAGUGCGUUGGAGAUUAUUUUGAGGAAGUAGGCUGUUUAUAGGCAAAACAAAAUUAACUGGUGGGGAUUAUCCCAAAAGAUGAAAAGAUGUUUAGCUUUAAGGCAAUACUCCUCUUUUAUCUUUUGGGGGGUUAUUAAAGGGUGAUAUUAUUCAUGUUCGGUUUAUCAAAAAUUUUUUUUUUAGGAAAAGAAAAAAUAAAAUUUAUAGGUGUUGUUUGUUCAUAUUUUAUUGUAAAAAUUGAAAAAAAGAAAGUAUUUUUUGUUUUUUUAAGUGUGAAAUAAGUUUUGAAAAUUGAAGUUGUAUUUGAUCGUAAAAUAAAUUAGAUAUUGUUUUUAGAAUUUUUAUGAUUAAUUGAAAUGAAAAAAGUAAAAAUUAUUGUUAUACAUAUAGUAGAUAUUGCUAAACAAACUAGUUAAUUCGUAUUACUAUUGUUAACGGGAGGUUGUGGAAAUAAUCUCUUGUCGAAAUGCAAGAUAAGACUGCAUAUAAUAAAUUCUUAUAGUCCAAUCCUUUCUCAGAUCUCGCACAUAUAUAGAGGGGGCUCAGUGCAUCAGGAUGUCCUUUUAUUACUUGUCGAAAUGCAAGAUAAGACUGCAUAUAAUAAAAUUUAUUUUUUUAUUUUUAUAUAAUAAAUUUUAUUUUAUUGUACAUUUAUAUACUAUUAUUUUUAUUAUAAUUUAUAUUAUGUAUAUUACUUUACGUAUUAUUUUACAAAAUUAGAAAAAAAAAAAAGGUAAAAUAAUAUUUUUGAAGAUCAGAAAAAAAUAAUUAAAGAUUUAUGUCAUCCCAUAAGAAGGUAUAAUAUUGAUUGAAAAUUUGAAUAUGAAUAUCUUAAUUUAAUAAAAAUAAAUAUUAAAUAAUUUUUUACUAAUAGAUAUUUAAAAUAGUUUAUCUCUAUAAAAAAUGUGAUACUUGUCAUUUUUCGUAAUUUGACUUUCAAAAGCAUUUUUCAAAUGAAUUAGCCAAAUUCAAAAUGUGUUUUUUCAUAGACAUAUUUGUGAAAAACUUUUUUUUUUAAAUACUUCUAGAAAUAUAUAACUAUUCCCUCCGUCCAACAAUAGUUGUCCACUAUUGACUUGACACAUUUCUUACGAAACAAUAAAUAAUAGGCGUAAUAUUAAUAUAUUAUCCUUUAACUUUAUUAAAUUUAAUGUUUUGAAAAAUGUAUUAGAUGAUAAAUAAUAUUCAAUAGCAACGGUAAAAUAGACACAAAAGAUAAAUUAUCUCUUGAUUUUCUAAAUUAGACAAGUAUUAUUGGACAACUAUUUUUAGUACAGUGGACAACUAUUGUUGGACGGAGAGCGUAGUUUUGAGCCCAUCUUGUUGUAACAUCACCCACUUUUAUGCAUUUUUUGUUACCGAAAACACCCCUAAGAGCUCACUAUAAUUGCAAUAAAACAAUAGUGAUAAUGGAAAAUGGGAUGUGUCCUUUUCUGGAAUUAAAGUUCUAACAACUAUAAAAGUGAGUUGGAGAUUAUUUUGAGGAAAUAACAGAAUUAAGUGGGGAUUAUCCAAAUCACUCAAACUCUCAAAGAAUAAAAAAGAUGUUUAGCUUUUCCAAAAUUUAAGGCAUGUAUCUUUUAUUUUUUGUGGUUAUUAAGGGUGUAAUUUUUCAUAUUUGGUUUGUCAAGAUUUUUAAAAAAAAAACUCCCUUAAAAAUAAAAGAACAAUUUUUUUUUGGACAGAAAUAAAGGAAACAAGUUUUGUUAGUGAUAAUCAUACUCAUUAUCUUCGUCUUAUCCUUAAGAUACAGAGAUGAAUCUAGAAAUUGAAAGUAUCGAAAAAAUUGUUAUUUUUAAUAUAGAUGUGUCAAUUUUAUUUUUCUUCAACUUAUAUAGACACGUCAAUUAUAUUUACUACAAAGUUUUGGACAGAACUCUGAAUUAUUUUUUUUAAAAAUGGGUUGUAACUACUAAAAUGCCAAAAAGUUGCAAUUGGAAGUUAGUUUAAUAACACAUUACGUUACUGAAUAAAUAAUUGAUAAUGUGUAAAAUUGAAAGUUGUGAAAGUAUUCUAAAUGAAAAGUGUGAUGUACAAAUUUGAAUGAUAAGAGCAACAUCAAGGAAAAUUUUAGAGUAAAAUGUUUAAAAAACUAUAAUCCACUUGUACAAAGACAAGUCCUCUUAAACUUGUCUUUUAAUGAUAAUCCUAUCUUAAGAUUCAAGGUAUAAUAGAGAUAAUAAUAUGUUUGUUUUUCUUCACAAAUUUUAGAUAGGAAGAUAUGGAGAUCAAAGAUUAGGAUUAGAAAAUUAAUAGAUAGUUAAGUGUUGUCUAAAUUCUCUUAUCAGUAUUUUUAUUAUUAGGUUCCUGGUAUUCUAUUUUUUUAAUUUUUAUUAGUACUUGUUAUUUCUUUUGCUUCAAUUAUUGUAAUAUGUGUUGUUACUGUUUCUUUCUUCAUUAUUUACUAUACUUAUUUCUUUUUCAUGUUGUUUUUUCAUAUGUUUUUACUUGAGCCGAGGAUCUAUCGAAAACAUUUUUUCUAUCCUCACAAGAUAGGGGUAAAAUUCUAUACACAAUAUCUUUUAAGGAUAUCAUUUGUGAGAUUACAGUAGAUACGUUACAUUUUACUUGUUAUUGUUGCUUUGGAUAGAAGAGUAUGGCGAUUCUCUUCAAAUUGUGGACCAAUAUGCAAUGUUCAUAAAUGCAUGAUCACAACUUACACAGAAUCACUGACCAUAAUAUAUAUUUUUGCAAAAUUUCAUGAUUAUUUUUCUUGAUCAGAAUAGUGGAACUAAUCUGUUCCGCAGACAAUGCUAUGUAUUAUCCUAAAAAUCCACUUAAUAUGUAUUAAAUUAUAAAUGAAGUGUUUUAAAAAUAUUUUUUAUUGCAUGACAUGAUAUAAUUGUUUUUGUUUAAGUUAAGAUAUCGAACGUCACUACAUCAAAAAUAACUUUUAGCGGCAAUAAAUAGACAUUAAUAAAGAAUGCUAAAGUUUUUAUCGGCAUAUGUUAACUGUCAUUAGAUCCAAUGCCGCUAAAGGCUUUAGGGAUAUAUACAAAGAGUGUUAAUUGCCGCUAAAAAUACAUAUUUAGCGGCAAUUAAGCUAUUACCAUUAAUUAAUUGUCGCUAAAGAUUUUUUUUAAUGUAGUGCGUCCGUUAUAACUCAAAAUUAUGUCUGCGAAAUCUUAAGAAGGAUGAUGUUUAAGAAUUCAAGAAAUCUAUAAUUUUUCACUUAGUAUGUAUCGAUUUAUGGAGCGUACAAAAUUUAAAGUGGACGGAGAAAAUUAAAACUAAAAUGAGGUCAUGGCCAAAAAUAAAGGAACAUUCAAAGAGACAGACGGAGUGAUGUAAAUAAAAAUGACAUGUUUACUUUUAUAAACUUUUAACUUCAUGGGAACUUCAUUAUUUUUUUAUUAUUAUUACUAAUAACAAUUAGAGCAAUUCAUGUUUUGUGAUUAGUGAAGAAUAUUAUUAUAGUAAUUGUACUUAUCUGAACUUGCUUAAUAAUUGACUAACCCAGUUUACCAUCAAAUCAUUACAACUUUUGACCGUGCUCAACCUUUCCUCAGUUAUUUCCUUUAUUUUAUAUUAGUUGUCAUAUUUCGUUCUCUAGAGUUAAAUUAAGUUAAUUUUAAUUAGAGUAAUAUUUUGAAAUAUAUAUUUUAACAAAUUAAUAAGAUGAAAAUUACAAUUUGUAGCAUUUAUUGUAUACUUUUUAAAUAUUAAAUUGAUCUAAUCUAAUUUAAUUUUAAAAAUUAGUCAAAUCAACGAUUAAAAAGAAAAACAUGAUAAUUAAUUUUGCACAAAAAAAGAGUAACGUAAGUAAAUAAAGAAGUGAAUUGCUUCUUCCACCCUUUCUCUGUUGAGUUUAACUAGUAUCCACCGUCCGUAAAAAUUAUUCUUUACACAAGCAAGUAUUUUAAAGCUUAUUAUAGGUAAGGUUUAAUUAUUUAUACUUUCUAAUAUUCAAAUUAAAAAUAAGAAAAACAGUUUGAAGAAGGUAACUAAGACUCUAUAUUACUCUACCAUUUAAUAUUAUGAUUUAUUUUUAUUAAAAUUAGGAAAGGAUCAAAUAACGUAUUAUUUCAUUGUUGUUAAUUUCUACUCUACCAUCGAAUAUGAAUUAUGGUUUCCCUUUGAAUCAAUUAGCAACAUAACCUUUAAAGAAAUCAUCAAAAUAAACUUAAAGCAAUCAGUAGCAGCACAUCAAUAUUAUGAUAUUUUAAGAUAAUUAAUUUUAAAAAAUUGAUAGUUGCACAAGUAUUAUAACAUAUUUAAUCAUUAACUUUUAAAAGAUUUUUUCAUUUUUCUUAAAUUUUGUCUAAUCAAAUUAUGCUAUAUAAACUAAAUCAGUGGAAGUUUCUAGUUUUCUUUCUUUUUGAACAAGCAUGUUAUUACUAUAGUUUUAACUCCCAAAUCUUUGAAUUUUUUUUAAUUUUUUUUUGUUUUUAUUUUGUGACUAUUUUUCUAAUAUUAACUUUGAAAUUCUUUUGAAGAAUUUAUUUCAUUUUUUAAGAUAAGAAAAAAAAACAAUUUUGGAAGUAAGAAAUUUUGUUUUUUCGUAUGCAACAAAAUAACUAGUAUAGAAAGAAUAUUGUAAUUUAUACAUUGAUUUUAGUAUUAUGGACCAACUAUUUAUAGUAAGGAUGACAUAUAAAUAAGAACGGAGGGAGUAUUAAUGUGAUGGAGAAUCCUAGUAGCUUAGUUGAUUGGUUAGCAAAAAGCAAACUUGGUUGAUUUUCAUUCAUUGAUUACAUCUACUUAAAUACAAGUUAGAGUAUCUGCAACUUAUCUAGGGUGCGUCGAUAGAGAGACACAUCGACAGGGGUUGAACUAGAGCCAGUGUCGAUAGAGAGUUGCAUCGGCAGGAGAUGAAAUGAUUUUUUUUUAAAUUACGAAAACAACAAAAAAAUUAUUUCACAUGCUAAAAAUCAAAGCUAAUUAAUAGGAUAAAUCACGUGUUUCAUCUGUUUUUACUAUUUUUCUGUAAAUUUUAAAACACAAUUUGAAUGACACAUAUUAUACAUACCGGUAAUGCUAAAUGGUCAGAAAAUUUGGUAAGAAUUUGACCAAAAAAUUUAUAAAACUAUAAUAUCUUUUGUUAUUUUAAAAUAAACGGAUCUUUUUUUCAUGUUUUAGUUAAAACGUAUUAAAGUUAAAAGGAUAAAAAUGUUCGAAAAGAUAAAAUAACAUAGGUAAAAUACUAUUUUGGUCAAAUUUUCUGGUUGAAAGGUUUUUUCCUAUACAAAAUUAUGUAUAUCUACUACAUAUAUAUAAGUGACAAUAACCAGGCAGGUCAUGGUCGACAUACCUACCUGGCAGCUGCACUAUUUUUUCUUUUUCGGUGGUUCUUCCGUUUUAAUUUGUUUGACUUGUUUUUAAUUUUUAAAAUAUUUAAAAUUUAUGUAAAAAAUACUAUAAAUCAUGAUAAUUGCCAACUUAAAAUAUGUGUACAAAACAUAUAAAAAAUUCGAUUGAUUCAUAAAAUUAAUUUAUCUGUGUCACAUAAAAUGGGAUAAAAAAAGUAACAUGUAUUAUUUUGAAAAUUGCGUAGAAAGUAUUGUAAAUCUCAAUAAUUAACAACAUUUGAUUGACUCUUGAAAUUCUAUUUGUGCUACAUACAUUGGGAUAAGAGAAGUAACAUAUAUUAUUAAAAAAUUACGUAAAAAUACUAAUAUAAAUUACAAUAAUCAAAAGAAGUAACAUGUAAUAUUUAAUUUGAAAACUACGUAGAAAUUAUUGUAAAUCUCAAUAAUUAACAACAUUUGAUUGACUCUUGAAAUUCUAUAUGUGCUACAUACAUUGGGACAAGAGAAGUAAUAUAUAUUAUUUAAAAAUUAAGUAAAAAUACUAUGAAUUACAAUAAUUAACAACUUAAAAUAUUUAAAAAUCAUAUUAAAAUUUAAUUAACUAUCUAAAUUCUAUCUGUCACAUAAAUUGAGACAAAAAAAUAUCAAAUAUUGGGCCCGUGCUAGUACGAGGCCAACGAUAGACAAUAACUCCCCCCCAAACACAGCUUACAACUUUCAUCGUACUGUGCUCUCCAAAGAGCAACUCUUCUCAAAAUCUCACUCAAAAAGUGCUGAGUUGGAAUCCCAUUCAACUAAGGAUUCUUGUGGUUCUGUGGUAAUAUAAGUAUUAAUGUAUAUAAUUCUACACCUUUUGACACCAGCAGAUCGUGACAUUUAUGAAUUCCGUAAAAAAAAGAGAGGAUAAAUUACCUAUAUACACGUCUUUUCCCCCAUAAUUCUCAUUAUUCCCUACCAAUUCUAAUUUUUUCCAAAAUCCCUUAUUUUACUCCCAAACCCUGGAUACAUAAAUCCUAACUCCCAAAAUUAAUAUUUAUUCCUUCCUUAUUUCACUCCACAAAUCUCUAUUUUUAUUUAGCCUGAUAAAUAACAGUCUUCGAAAAUAUUUUGGCUUUAAAUAUGUUUUCAAAAAUUUCACAAAAAAAAAAAAAAAAAAACCGAAGUAGAUAAAAUAAUAUUUUUUAAAAACAUAGAUAUUUCAUUUUUUUCCUUCUUCAAACACAACAGCCACACUUUCUCCUAAACUUUAAAAUUUUGAUAUUUCACAUUUGUAAUCUUGAUAAUAUCUCGUCUUUUUUUUUUGUUAUUAUUAUUUUUAUUUCCCUUUCUUUUAUUUUAUAAUUUUUGUCAAUAUUGAUAAAAAAAAAUUACCUUCUUUAUUGUUUCUCAACAUAAUAUUUCAAGUAUAAAAUUUAUUGCCACAAUUUUUUUUGGUCGAUUCUCAUCUUAAAGAUAGUAUAGUUUAAUAUGUUUUAAAAAAAAUAUAAGAUGAAAAUAAUGAUAUUAAUGGAUAUUAAAUUUUAUGUGGAAUAUCUUGUUCUUAUCAAAUUUGGAGAAUAGUUUACCAAAAUUUGUUAACUUAACUAUGGUUAUAAUACUUCUUAAUAUAAUCUUGACCUUUAAAAAUUGAAUAAGACACAUGUCUCUCAUCUAGAAGUGUACUUGACGAAAUGGAUGGAAAUUGUAAUGGAGGGGAGCCAAAUCCGUGUUUGUUCAUGUAUCUAAUUGAUAACUUAAUUCUUAUUUAUUGUGAUACAUUUAUAGAUACACUUUAUUUCAGCUUACAUACCUCCUUCUUUCACAACCUAAUUGUAUCAAAUACAUUAUUAUCAACUACAAAAUGAUACAUUAUGUAAGUUAUACGAAUCUUUCAAGGCAAACUAUACAAUACUUAUCAAUUUAAACGAGAUACAUAAUAAUAUUGUAUCAUGCACUAAUUUUUUUAGAUAUGAUAUAUACGUUAAUUCUAAUUUAUACUAAAUGUAUCAAUUUACAUAGCAACCAACACAAGGUAAUGUAUCGAUCUCAAAUCUAACAUCUUAUGGGCAACAAUUACUUAUUUAAUGUAUCUAGUAUAAAUACAAUACUUAUCAAAUUAAACGACAUACAUAAAUAGUAAUGUAUCAUGUACUAAUUUUUAGAUAUGAUACGUAAAUUCGAAUUUAUACUAAAUGUAUCAAUUACAUAACAACUACCACAUAGUAAUGUAUCGAUCUCAAAUCUAACAUCUUAUGACAACAAUUAUUUAUUAAUGUAUCUAGUAUAAAUACAAUACUUAUCAAUUUAAACAAGAUACAUAAAUAGUAUAUAAAAUGCUAAGUAGCAAAGGUAUUCAUGAUGUAUCUUCUCAAUUUUUUCGACAAUGGAUCUUCAAUAAACUAGGAGAAGAAUUUUAUAUCUCAAAAUUUUCAACAAUUUUGAUUCAAAAUUGAAAGGAUCUUUGCUGAACUGAGAGAAGAUAGAAUUUUGAAUCUCAAUUUUUUUGAUAAUCUUGAAUCAAAAUUGAAAGGAUCUAUGAACUUGAAGAUUCAAAAGGAUAUCGUUUGUCCAACAACAAUUCCAUCACUUUUGUAUCCUUCAUAACUCACCUAGCUUAUCCAAAAUUUCGACAAAAGUUUUUGAAUCAAAUCUGAAAGGUUUCUUUGUUGAACGGGGAGAACAAUUUGAAAAUUUGAAUUUCUUCAUUCUAUUAGGAUUUUCCUAUGUAUGAUUGAGAGUAAGAAUAAACAUAAGCGUAAUUUAUGGGAUUUAAUUAAUUUUCAGAUUUUAUUCCCUUUUUAGUUCAACAAUUUUUUUUCUUGUAUUAUUAGAAUUAAUAUAUCCGGAUGGGAACUUAUGUAUCCGGAAGAUAUAAAUUUUAAGGGAUUAUUGUAAUUAGAAAAAAAGUAGGGAUAUGAUGUAAUUUACUCUUUACACUAUGUGAUUUAUGUAAGUUAUAAAAAAAAAAAAUAGAGAGAGAGAGAACCAUAGGAUACAAUGAUUGGUUAAGGACACUGUUAAGGUUAUACACGUUAUUUUUCUAUUUCCAAGAAAAUAAUAAUUAGGUUUUGAGUUCAAGUUUAUUAUUUAAAAAAGGAAAGGAUAAAAAAUUCCCUUAAACUAUGUGAAAGGAACAAAAAUAUCAUUCGUUUAUAAUUUGACUCAAAAAUGUCAUUGCCGUCAAUACUUUGGUUCAAAAAUUCCCUUACAAUCAAUACUUUGGUCUAAAAAUGCCCAUAUAGUUACUAAAUGGGUCAAAAAUGUCAUUUUCUGAAUAAGUAUAUUAUUAUUUUUCUUUUUAAACACAUCUUCUUCUUAAUUAAAAUAUUAUUAAAGAAUCAUGUUCUUGUUUUCUUUCUUUUAAAAUCACUUUAACAAAUAAAAAAUUAGUAAAUAUUUUUUUUUCUUAAUCUCAUUUUAUCAAUUAAAAUAGAAUAACUUCAUGUAUCAUUUCGACAAAUAAUAUAUGUCAUAUUCAUAAGAUCAUAAUAUAACCAUCAUUAAUUUAUAUUUAUAAAAAAAAUUUAUAAUAAAAUAAGAAAUAUUUUCAUUUUUUUCUAAAUUGAAAUAAGAUAAACAUUUGUUAAUUUUAAAAAAUAUUAUUAGAAAAAGAAUGUGUUAAAAAGAAAAUAAAUAAUAUAUUUAUUUAGAAAAUGAGCAUUUUUGACCCAUUAAAUAAUAAUAAGGGCAUUUUUGGACUAAAAUAUUGACGAAAAAGGCAUUUUUAAAGCAAACUACAAACGGAGGGACAUUUUUUUCCUUUCCCAUAGUUUAAGAGCAUUUUUUAUCCUUUUUCCUUUAAAAAAUUAUAAUUAUAAGACUAAAUAAAAGUUAAAUGGACAUAAUGAGUAAUGACAAUAGGGAUGCUAUCAUUAUUUUAUUAGCAACCACACCUAAUAUCUUGUUUGGUGUUUAAUCAACCUUAGCUUAUUAAAAAAAUAGCGUCAUUUGAUUUGUUGUUUUCUUUACUAAUUUUUCAAGUGAAGUGAUAUAUUUGCACGACCUAAUAAUAUAAGUGAUGUAUCAGAUUACUUUAUCUAUUUCUUACAAUUAAUUUGCAAAAUCUACUUAGAUUGUUGAAUUUCCCUCGAAUUACCUUUAACUUGGAACUAAAUUUAUUCUCUAAGGUUUUUACCUUUUUAAAAAAACUGAAAUCGGUACAACUCGAUCACAAUUUUAAUACAUGAUAUCUAGACUUGAAGACGUUAAAACAUAUGAAUAUUUUUUUUAUUUUUUUUAAUAUGAUCCUUUAAAGACUUUAAUAACCUUUUCUCUUUAAAAUAAUGUUAAAAUUUGACCAUUCUCAAAAAGUCAAAUAUAAUAUAAAUUUUAUGGCGGGUAAGAAUAUCAAGAGUUUAUUAUUCUUGGUGCAUUAGAUUCAUCAAUAUAAAGGUAUCACCAUCAUACGGUGAUCAUUAUAUGAUUGGAAUACAUCAAUAUAGUAAUAAAAAAAUUCUUUUUUUUGUUUGUAAAAAAUCAAGGUUUCUUGUUUAAUUGCUAUACCAAUUAAAUUAUUAUUUUCUUAUAUAGUUUUAUGAAUGUGAGUUUAUGCCUACAUAUUAGAAUGGUUAUUACGAUAUAUUUAAAGAAACUUAAAACGUUUUAAAUUUUGUAUUUAAGUUCUUAUCGUAGAGUGUUUUCAACUUUUUACAAUUAAAAAAUAUAUAAAUGGUCCAAUAUAUACUAAGAGAAAAUCAAUUAAAUCAUUAAAUCAGUAAUUUUUGGCAUCCAAGCCUAUUGGGCACAACUAUUCUCCAUACCAGCUAAAGUUUUACAUUUUAUUGAUGCACAUUGUAGGAGUUAUUUGUGGGCAGGGAGAUAUAUUAUGCUAAUCUAAAGAUAUGCCCUAGAAUAUCCUGGAAGUCAAUAAUGUACAAGAAUGCAGCAAGGCCUAAGGCUAUAUUCACUACUUGGCUGCUCAUGUGGGGAAGACUGUUAACAACUGAUAGAUUGCUUAAAUGGAGAAUGCAGAUUGAUUCAAAAUGUCCACUCUGUUGUAAGCAUGAGGAAAUCAAAGAACAUUUAUUUGUGCAUUGCGACUAUGCUAAGCAGAUAUGGAUCAAGAUGGAAAGCUGGACAACAGUACAACACUGUACAAUUUCUACUUGGGACCAACAUUUGGAUUGGAUGAUAGCAAAUUCUAAGGGGCACUCCCAAGGAGCUCAGAUUUUCAAAAUGGUGUAUUCCGAGACUAUCUACGCCAUUUGAAUGGAGAGGAACUUUCGCAUAUUCGAAAAGAGAGGUAGGGAAUGGGAAUCAAUUGCAAAGGAGAUAGACUAUGUUUCAUGUGUUAGAGCUCCUCCUAAAAUCAGGUGUAUUGUCCAAGAUUUUAAGUUUUAGCCUCUGUUUGAUAGCUCCUUCUAAGUUUCAUUCUAGGUAAGAUGGCAGGUUGCGUUUAACCUGACCACUGAUUUGUAAUGCCUACAUUUGGUGAUUAAUUAAAGUUGACAAAAAAAAAAUCAAUUAGGUAAUAUAUUUCUUGAGCAUUAAUUAAUUAAAAAUAAAAAUUAAGUUAUGAAUUUUACAAUCAUAAAUCAAUACAAAACUAAAUAAUAUUAUGGUCUUAAAACUUAUUAUACUAUUCAAAUUUUAAGUUCAAAAUUGAAAUUAUAUGUUAAAAAUUAAAAAAUAUUUAUAAAUUAAAUUAAAACAUUAUAUUUUGGUUGUUGGGUCUUCUAGAAAUGGAUUUGGGUUAAUGGAUACGAUUGUGAUUAAUGGGUUAAUUAAUUGGGUCUAAUUUCAUUUAUACGUGGAGUUGUGGACCAAUAAAAAUAAUGUCACAUAUAUUAUUAAAAUAAUUAUUCAUGUCACAUCAGUUUCUGUUAAAAGAGGGGUAAUUUUUGGUUUUAAAGUUAAGGGCAUUUUUUAAAAUCUAAAUAGGUUAAUUGGAGGGCAUUUUUUAUCCAAUAGAUAAAAGGAGAGCAUUUUUGAGUCAUUUCCAAUACGUUAAAGGUAUUUUUAACCAUUUUCUGUUUUUAUAAUAGAUUGAUAUCUACCAUGUCUUAAGUGUUUUGAGUUUUGAUUGUCAUUUUAAAAAUAUAUGCAAAUUAUUUUAAAAAAAUAAAUAAAUAAAAUUUAAAUUUACUUGAAUAUAAUAAUUAAUAAAAUAUUAAUAACAAAUAUAAAUAAUGAUUUAGGAGUUAUAAAUAAAAUUGGCAACUUAUAAUGUGAACACACAAGCAUAUUCCAGUGUGAUAGUGUGGUCAAAAUAAUGUUUUUUUUCCUAUCUAACUCACAAAUCACAAUUUAAAUGGUUUUUUUAACCCUUUUUCCACUUCUCGUAACGUACGAGGUACGAACUUUUUGAUACAAAGCACACCAAUCAUUUCAUUACAAGGAAUAAAGUUAAGUUAUUUUAAUAUGAUAAAUUAUAAUUUUAUAACUUUAUUGUUAAAUGAAUAUAAUUUAGUUAGCAUAUGUAAAAUUAAUUACUUUAAAAAAGUAGUUCCACUAAAAUGCGCAUUUCUUAGUUGUUGAUGACUCUGGGAAUGCAAUGAUUUUAAUAAUUCAAGCUUAUAACAUGUAUUGUUCACUUUGAUUCAAUAUGCUUCACAAACUUAUUUUUUUAGAUAUAUUAUUAUCGAACUAGAUAAAAAAAUAUGCACAACAUAUGAAUUCAAGUAACUAUAUCUAAUAAAGCCUCUUACUUUCCUUUUUCAUUAUGAUGUAAUAACCUAAGAUGUUAUGCGCAGAGAUGGAGUCAUGAUUGAGAGUUCUAAAUUUUAGGAUAGAAAAGAAGAAUAUUUUCAAACUUAAAACACUAGUGUGUAAAGCAUUUCCAUCCAUGGUCUUUUCCUAACCAUUGAGCCGUCAAUCAAUUUUGUUAGGAGGUUCACAAGUUAAUAUACAUAUAUAUUUAUUUAAUUUUCUUAUACAAAUACAGAAUCUACGGAAAAAUUACUGGAUUCUUCCGAACCCACGAAUACCCACAUAGCUACACCUCUGAUGUUAUGUGCUUACACUUCAUCUUUAGAAAUUUACCAACUUAAAAUUCUAUUAAUCCUACUUGAAUCAACUUCAUCAAUCACUCAAUCUGUCAAGGAUGUCACAACAACAGUAAGGGCCCGUUUGGAUUGACUUAAAAAAAGUAGCUUUUAAGUUAAAAAUAAAAAAAUCAAACUGAAAUGACUUUUAAGUCAAAAAAAUAAAAAGUAGGGGGAGACCUACUUUUGGUUUUUGACUUAUUUUAAGUCAUUUUAAACUUAUUUUAAGUCAUUCUUGUCAAACAUUUCUCAACUUAUUUUAAGUCAUUUUUGACUUAUUUUAAGUUAUUUUUUAUAUUUGUCAAACACUUUCAGAAGUCAAAAACUGACUUAAAAGUAGGUUUGACCAACUUUUAAGCCAAUUCAAACACCUUCAAUGUAGAAACUCCAUGUUGGAGUGUUUUUUCUUGAUCUGGAUUUACAUAGUGCAAAUAUGAAUAAAUUAAUCAGAUCAAUAAUUUAAAUAUUUUGUGAAAUUAGUCAAGGUGUUCAGACACCACAAUUAUUCAAAAUGGAUUUUGGUGUGCAUGAUGAAUUAAUAGUUAGGCACAUGUCAUCAUUCUUUCUAACUUUUUAAGACCUUGAAAACAACUAGCCACACAACACAUAUAAAUGUGGAAGUUUAUCCAUCGCUUACAAAAAGAGAUCACUCAUAAUAAGCUCUAGCUAAACUAUUGAAAUACACAACAAAAGGGAAGAAAGUGACAUAUCCACUAAUAAUUAUUAAGUGUGAAUAUAUGAGUAAAGCUCAUUGUGACACUUGAAGACUGUUUUGUACAACUUUUUUUCCAUAUAUAUCAAAGAAAAAGUUAGUGUAUCUUCCUUGUCUUCUUUUUUAAUUCCAAGAAACUGUCCAUUAACUGAAAAAAGAGAUAGCAGAGACUGAUCAUUAAUCAUUUGGUCCGUGCUACAAUUUAUCAGAUCUUUUCUCCGUUUUAAAAUAAGUGUUAUCAUAAUAAAAAUCAUAUUCAUAUUUCUUAAAAUUUAAGUACUAUUAAUAAAAUAAAAUAAAAUAUAAAUGUAUAAUUGAAAAACAUAAUAUUUUUUUAAAAAUAUUUUUUAAAGUAAUACUUAUUUUUGAUUUUUUUUUAAGACUUAUUUUGAGAUAGUGGAAGUACUAAGGUUAGGUUAUUGUUGGCGCAAUAUCCACACGUGAUGCAUAUUGAAAAGAAAAAUAUUAUUUUUUUCUUAAAAUUUGAAGUAACACUUAUUUUUUAAACAUUUUUUGAGACGAUGAAAGUACUAAAGUUAGUUCAUUGUUGGCGCAAUAUCCACACGUGAUGCAUAUUGGAAAACUAAAGUUUGUAACGAAGGGACAUUUGGAUUGGGUCGGAGAAGAUUUAAUUUUAAGAAAGUUCUGUAAAUAACUUUUAUCAUUUAUUUUUAUAGAAAAAUAGUGAGAUUUUUCUAUAUUUCAAAAUGUAAUAAUACUCUAAUUUCAAAUGUAAUAGAAUAUAUGUAUUUAUGCACAUACAAUAUCUCAUUGAAAAAUAUUCUUAAUAUAUAUAUAUAUAUAUAUGUUACUCCCUCUGUCCCAUUUUAUAUGUCACAUUUUUACUUUGCACUUGCAUUAAGAAAUGAUAUAACUUUACCCUUCUACCCUUAUUUAAUAUUUUCUAAGUCAACUUUAUAAUAAAUGAUGAAUUCAUUUUUAAGGUUAAUUAACUACUCUAUCAAGGGUAUAAUAGGCAAAAUAUGGUGAUUUAUGCAUAGAUUUUAUAAAAUGACAAGUAUUGUGGUCCACCUAUUUAUAGAAAAGGAUAACAUACUAUAAAAUGAGAUGGAGGAAGUAUAAAAUUAUAUAAUUUCGCUAUGUUAGGUAACUUUUUCGAAGUAUCGCUUUAAAGAGUAAUGUGUGGGUAAAGAUCCCUAGUUCCAAUUACAAUUUUUCCUUAACUCUUACACAAAAUUCAGUACUAAUUUGUAUUUUCCUUCCAUCUCAAUUUUUUGUUGUGUUUCUCUUUUAUCCAUCUCGUAAAAAAAUAUUAAUUAGAAGAGAUUGGAGGACGUAUUAAUGUAAGUAGCUUUACAAGAAAGUAUGAAAUAACUAUGUGUUCGGUAGGAGGCAAAAAUAUUUUUCAUCAUAAAAAAUGAUUUCUCAAAAAAAUAUUUUUUAAAAAAAUAAGUGGAUUUUUUUGCUUAUUUAAUUUUUUGUGUUCUGUAUAAGUAAGAAAUAUAUGAUUUUUUUUUUUGUAUAUAAUUUAGAUAAAUAUUAUGAAAUGUUGAGUUUUGGAUAGGGGCAUUGGAUGGUGGGUAUAGAGGCAACGAUAGGUGGGAGUUAAGAUGAGAUAUAUUGAAAGGCGAGAAUAAUACAAUAAUAUGGACAAUCACUUUUGAAUAAUUCUCUACUUUCGCUAGGAAAAUUCAUUUUUUUUCAUUUUCAAGAAAUUUAAUAUCUUAAAAAGAAAAUAUCUUUUAUAUAUCAUUCUAUGAGCCAUCAUUUUUUAUUUUUUAUUUAUUACAACUGUCCAAUGAUUAACCUAAUUCAAGUCCCACUUCAUUACAAGAGUCAAGACAAUGAUUUUUGCACAAUCUACAACCAUUCUUCCCUACUUGCUAGAUUAUUAUUUUUUCAGUUCUUUUCAUUUUUCAAAUAGAAUUGUCACCAUCAAUAGUUUAAUUUAUUUUUAAAAACUGAAAAAAAAAAACUCAAGAAUAAGAAUUCAUUUUUAAUUCUAUUAUUGACCUCCACGGUUAGUACACUUACAAGUGGAAAGUUGACUUCUCAGCAUUAUUGCGUGGUUCAAUAAAGCUAGGAUAUCGCAAGAGGUUUAUUAUUGAAUUUUGUUCGACAAAAAUUAGUAGAAAUUAUUUUUUAUAUUUGAAUAUUUGGUAUAUUAAAUUUCAUUAGUUUUUUGUAGUUUUUUUGUCCAACAAAUUUGACAUACACCUUAAGAAAUAUUAAAUAAUAGGGGUAAUACUAUGGAGUAUCUUUUAAAUAUAUAAAAUUUAAUACUUUGAGAAAUGUAUUAGAUAUUGAAUAGUAUUUAAUAUUCCUUCUAUCUCGUUUUACUCGUCCAAUUUUGAUUUUUUACUUGUCCGUUUUUACUUGCUAUUUUUGACAAAUCAAGAAAAGAUAAUAUUUUUACCUAUUACGCCCUCAAUUUAUAUAGAGAGUUAAUGUUUUUGAAAAAGAUAGAACCUCUUAAAUGAGUAAAUUGAUUUUGGAAUUUUAUCAAUUAAUAGGGGUAAAAUGGUAAACUCACUAUGUUAAUUAUUUUCUCAAUAGGUGUGUCAAGUAAAAAAUGGACAAAUAAAUAGGAUCAAUGGAGUAUCCAUGAUAAAAGACACAAAAUGUAAAUUAUCUCCUGAUUUUUCAAAUUGAAUAACUAUUGUUGGACAACUAUUUUUAGUAUAGUGCACACGUAAAAAUAAAUAGAGGAGAAUAUAAUUCUUUUAUAUUAUAUAUAUAUAUAUAUAUAGAUAAUUGAAUGAAAAAUUUGACUCCGCUACUAACUGAUUAUGAUUUAUGUGAUUACUAAGGCACGGUGCUAUGGUACCAAACUACCAAAAGUGAAAUGGAAAUUACUACUCUAUUUGUUCAAUAAUAGUUGUUCAUUAUUGAUUUGAUAUAUAUCUUAAGAAACAAUAAAUAAUGAGGAUAAUAUUACUAUAUUAUCCUCUAGAUAUAUUCAAUUUAAUAUUUUGAAAAAUGUAUUAGAUACUAGCAAGCAUAAGAUAGGCACAAAAUGAUAAAUUAUCUCUUGAUUUUUCAAGCCAAAAAAGCAAUAAUUAUUGAAUAUUUAUUUUUAAUAUGAUAGACACGUAAAAAUCAACAGAGAGCAUAAAUAAAACGAUAUAUUAAAACGUGUUCAUUUACGAGGAAAACAUAAAUCCAUUUUUUUAAUUUAUGUGUAUGUUUUCUGUUUUCUUUUCUUUUCCCAAUAUAUAUGGUUUCAACACUUUUAGAAAUAAUUGGAUAGGAUGUGGCUUUUCUAGGUCUCUUUUAUUUUUCUGUGUUUGAUUUGCAAGUAAAAAUAAUAAUAUAAUUUUAUAUUUUUUUUUAUAUAGUUUUAAAAAAUAUUUUCUAAAUUUUAAUUAAUUUAACAUAAUAAAAUUUAAAAAUAUUUUCUUCUGUACCAACAACCACUUUAGCUAGCUUCAUUUCUUUUAGAAUGCCUUUAACUGCCGUUUUCUAAUAGAACAGAAAUUAAUGAAAACUUGAAAGUGAUUGCAUAAGGUCGGCGUUAAUUAUAUACUCUUUCCGUCCAUUUUUAUUUGUCAUAUUACGCUUUUCGAAAGUUAAUUUGAUCAAUUUUCAAAGUUAAAUUAAAUUACAUUAAUUCAAUAUUUUAAACAAAAAAUUUAGAUAUUAAAAAACUAUACGAAAAGUAUUAUAAAUUAUAGUAAUAUUUUGCAUAUCAAUAUGAUGAAAAAAUACAUCGUAAAGUGUUAGUCAAUGUUUUUAUAGUUUGACUCCAAAAAAAAAAAUUAUGACAAUUAAAAAUAGAUGGAGAUGGUAGAAUUUAGCCAUUUCAUUUUUUAAUUAGAAUAAAAUAAUACGUAAAUUAACUCAUUACAAUACAAUCAAAUUUUUCUGGAACAAUAAAAAAUAAAAUUACAACUGAUUUACAUGUUAGGCUAGAUUUUAGAUUUUCUAUAAAAACAUUUCGCUAUAUUAAUCCAAACUAAAACUCUUCAGAAAACAAUGUAAUUAUCUAAAAGUUCGAUUGUAGCUGUUUUAUUAAUGUGGAAUUAUAAAAUGAGAGUAAUGAAAAAAUCAAUUAAAAAGUUGUCAUAUAAUCCCUCCGUCCCAUAUUAGAUGUGUAGUUUAUGUUUUACAUGAUAAUUAAAAAAAUUAUUAAUAGAUUAAUUAACUUUAUUAUUUUACCAUUUGUCCAUAUUAAUUAGCCUCUUAAAAAGAAUUAUUAGAUCUUCAAAAUUAGUUUAAAGUUUAAACUUUCAAAGACCAUAUUAAUUGUAGGAGUAAAAUGAGAUCAACUCAUUUUUAGUUUUAAAAGUUUAAAUUAUAUUUCAAGACUUCUAAUUGCCCGAGAUUUAUUUUUUUCAUCCGAUGUCUGAUACCCGCAUUGGAGUCUGAUUAUUUUAAAUUUAAACUGCGUAAGGCCUCAUUCAAGGGUUCAAACUCAAGACCUAUAGUUAAGAUAAGACCAAUCUCAUCCAUCAUACCAUAUCCUUCGGUGUGUCAAUUGCUCGAGAUAACUAUUAUGGACUAAGAGUUGUCUACCAAAUUUUGAAAUGCAUUCCACGUGACUAAUAUUUUCAAAAUAAUAAUAAUAAAGAAUCAAACCUUAAUUUCGUUUUUAUUUAUAUUUAUAUAUUUUUUUAUGUGUGGUCCAAAUAUUAAUUUCAAGACCACAUAGUUAGGUACUUAAGUCCAUUGUCUAGUAUCAUUGAUCCAUUGACUGAUAUUUGUUCAUAAUAUUUCAUAUGUUGUAUUUUUUUUAUAAUAAUAAACCUCUAUUUUUUUGGUAAAUGAUGUACACUACUAAUUAAGGUAAAUGAUGUACACUACUAAUUAUCUUAUGAUGUCAUAUGAUACUUAUAUUAUUUUUUUUGUCAUUUAGAUAUCUGUAUAUCACUAUUUAUUUGGGAAAGUUGAUUUAGUAUAAAUACUUAUCUCGUUUAUUAUUCAAUUAUAAUAUAACUAGGGGUGUACAAAAUCGAACCGAAAGCCGAAUCAAACCGCAAAUCGAGUCAACCCGACUAGUGAUUUGGUUUGACUUGGUUUGGUUUUGAAAAAAAACCCCGACUAUAUUUGGGUUGGUUUGGUUUUAACUAAAAAAACCAACCGACAUUAUAUAUAUAAUUUUAAAAUUUUAUUUUAUACAUAAAAAUAUUUACUUUGAUAUAAUUUUUAAAUAUUUCUUAUACUUUUUCAUAGUUUUUAUCUUUUAAUAUAUUAUUUCAAGUUUGAAACUUAGAAUUAUGAAUGGGCUAAUAAAGAUUAUAGUCCACAAAUGUUGGUAAUUAACUAAUUAUAAUAAAGCUUAAAUCAAAAUCAAAUUAAUACUAAUGCAAAAAGAAAAUCAACUUUAAUAUUUAGUCAUGUAACUAAUACUUAUUAAACUUAAUUUUAGCAUGAUUUAGUACUUUUAAAUUAUGAUCAUUUUCAUUAUGACUUGUUAAUUUGCAAUAUUUGUUUUACGCGAUUUCAUUAUUAUUAUUUUUGUUGGAUAUUUUAGUGUCAUUAAUCAUAUCAUAUUGUGUUAUAUUUUUAAGAAACAUCUUAAAUAGUUGUAUUUUGGUAGGACUAAAGAAAUAUUUGAAGUACAAGUAAAUUAUAUGUUUGUAUGAAUACUUUACCGGAAAAAUCCGAAACAACCUGAAAAACCCGAAAAAACCCGAGGUUGAAAAACUCGAGUUUUAUUGGUUUGAUUUGGUUUAUAAAUUUAAAAAUUCGACACAAAUAGUUUGAUUUGAUAUUUGAAAAAUCCGAACCAACCCGACCAUGUACAACCCUAAAUAUAACUAUUGAUUGAGUGGAAUAUAUACUUUAAUAUUGUAGAAUUUAUUUUUUAUUAGCCGCUUUUUAAUUUGAGGGUAGGCAAGGUCGACAUGAAAGAUUGGAUAAAGACUUGAAAGUGAUUGCCAAAGGUCGGUGUUACGUUCCCUUUGUUAGGGUUUUGCUCCGUUAUUACCUUAUUUGAAGUUUUUUUUUUCUAAAAGAAAAGUCAAAGUAUUAACAUAAAUGUUUUAACUCUUUCUAAAAGAAAAAUAUAAUUAUGUUCCGUAUUUGAUUUUAUUCCUUCCUUAGAGGAGAAACUAGGAACUCUGUAUAUUGAAUAUCUACAAUCUCUUCGCCUUCGAACCUAACAAGUGGUAAAAGGAUCCUAUAAAUUCAAGGUCGAUUACAUAGAGAAUAACUUUAACUUUAAAUCUAAUUAUUUCCUAAAUUAUCAAUUUGAAAUGGUUGAAGUUGAUUUUACAUUUUAAGAUAAAUUAUCAAUUAAUAAAGCAAAAAAAAUAAAAAAUCCCCUUAAACUAUAUGAGAUAAAUAAAAAUGUCUUCAGUUUAUGGUUUGGUUCAAAAAUGUUCUUAUCGUUAUUUAAUGGGUCAAAAAUGCUUAUUUUCCAAAUAAAUAGUAUUAUUUAUUUUCUUUUUAACACAUUUUUUUUUCUAAGAAUAUAUUUUUAAAUUAGCAAUUUUUUUAUCCUACUUCAAUUAAAAAGAAAAAGAAAAAGAAAAAUAAAAAUAAAAAUAUUUCUUAAUUUAGUAUAUUAUUUUUUAUCAUUAUAUAAAUAAAAAUUAAUAAUGGAUAUACUAUGAUUUUAAAUAUAUGACAUAUAUUAUCCGUCAAAAGGGUACAUGAAGUUAUUCUAUUUUAAUUGAUAAAACGAAAUUAAGAAGAACAAAAAUUAUUUCCUACAUUUUUAUUUGUUAAAGUGAUUUUAAAAGAAAGAUAAUUUACUUACACAAAUUUACUUACAUUUACAGAUAAUUUACUUUAAUGCCAUUACCAUGGAUUCUAAGGCCUAAUAAUCAAAUUACCAAGUUAGGGGGGUAAUUUACUUACAUUUACAAAUAAUUUCAAUGUAAAAUAGGUGAAAACUGUCCAAGGUCGCAUCUGAACUUCCCCAAAAUGUAAUUGCAAAAUAUGAAUGGUUUUAGGGAAUUUUCUAUAUUAACUGUGACUAACCCCACUAUAGCGGUGGCGUUGUAGCGAUCUUCCGCUAUAGUAGAAAUUAAAUCCACAGCUAUAGCUGCUUGCACGGGAUAAGAACUCAAAAAUCCUCCCAAGUUAGCAUAUUUUGUAACACACCUUCAAACCUUGACUUACCAAACCAACCCCUUCACGCCAAGUUCGAUAUCAAAAGUUCUACUCACCCCAAUUCACUUUCGAGAAGUCCUAUGAACUUUGUAGUGUCUUAGCAACAAGGAAAAUAAACUCUAUCUAGAUGUUUCGCCCAAACCUUUUCCCAAAUUUUCAUAGACUUUACCUCGCUUAGAUCUCGUUCAAGCCUAACACAACCUGAAAUUUCUAACUCGCUACUCCUAAAAGUUUUCUCGCCCGAUUUUCACAACUAAUUCACCCGUAAUGACGAAAAGAGUCGUUACUACUUUAAAUAAUAUCAAAUGUGCUUAGUGGUAAUCCUAAUCGGUAAUCCUAAAUAACAACGGUCUUGGCAUCAACCACAAGUCAUUUUCUUAGAGUUUUCCAUUAAUAUUUUGUUGGUGGAAGAAGCAAUUAAUGCAUUGGACGGAGAACUAUAAAAUAGUAUUAACUUAUCAAUGUCAAAUUGAAAUUAUAAUCAGACACUAAUCAUGCAUAAAUAUUUAAUGUCGUUAAUUAGAAGAAAGCAUAGCACAAGAAAAUUUAUUUAUUAAUUUUUAGACAGUGAUUUGUCACUGAUUAUUGCAGUUUGAUGUUAACUACUUAUGCGUUAUUUCAGAUGUGGAUCCAAAACUUAUUUUUUGAUUUAAUUGUUAUUGUAAUAGUAUGAAAAUAUCAACAACAAAAAAAUGUUCAUUAUCAAAUACAUUAUUUGUUAUUGACAUACUUUUUUUUAUGUUCUAGAAGUUUUUGACCUAUACUACUUAAAAAUUCCAAAAAUUCUAAGAGCGAAAUAAAAACAAAUAAGUUUUUGCUAAUGUGAUAAAGAAAUCGAUAUCCCACAAAAUACAAAUCUUGUCAAAAUGUGAAUUUCAUAUGGUGCAAAAUAACAUGUUAUAUUUAAAACAUACAAAAUAUAGUAAAUUCAAGGUGAUAAUUUUUUUCUUCAAACUUUUAUCUCAUAUUAAAAAAUUAUAGGCCAAUUAAUAUAUACAUAGUCAUUUAAAAUUGACACGAUUUUUUUUCUAGACAUCUAAUCUUAGGAGUGUUCCUAUAUUGGUCACUUUUACGGUAUUUAAAAUUUGUACCAAGGCAAAAAUAUAAUAUGUAUGUAUUACACUCGUAAAUAACAUAUAAAGUGUUGAAUUAAUUGAAAAUAUGUGUCAUUGUGUUGAAAAUAAUUUCUAAACAAUGAAUUUUGAGUUAAGAAAUGGAAAAACUAUUUUAAAAUCUAUUUACUAAACAAAACAAGAAUCGUAUUCUCACAAAGAAAAAUAAUACUUCAUUUAUAUCAAUUUAUUUGUAUUAUUUUUCAUUAUAGUUGGUUUCCAAAAGAAUAUGUUUUUCCUUUUUUGAUUAUUUUUUAAUUUUAAUUUUUCACAUAACAUGUUUAACUCUAUAAGAUCUGCAUAUUCUUGAUUUAAGAUCACAAGAUUAAAAAAUAUUUCUUAUUUUCUUAAAUUUCAUGUCAAAUUAAAAUAUAACAAACAAAUUAAAAGGGAAGAACUAAUUAAUAACUUACACUCAAGCAAAAAAAAAAUACAUAAAAACUCUCAAACGAGGUCAUUUGGUUGGUGAGAUAAAAAUAAUAAUCUCAAAAUAACAUUUGAUAUUAUUUUAUUUUACGUUUAAUUAUAGGUGUUAAUUACUCUUAAGAUUAUUUUAUUUCAUCAUUUGUACUUAAUUCGUAUUUAAAAAUGAAUAUUAUGUCUUUAAGAAGUGAUGACGAUAGCUUGAAUAAUGAAGUGAAGAAAGCAUUUUUAGGUUUUUUUUUUUCCUAUGCUUUCUCUGAGUCAUUAUAUAAUUUUGUUGACUUAAGUGUGCCUAUACUUGAGAUUUUGGGACUAAAUUAAUGCUCACAUUAAAUAUUUAAAUAAAAGUUUUAUAUGCUUGAAAUUAGGCAUAUAUAUAUAUAUAUAUAUAUAUAUAAUUGAAGUUUAGUAAAUUUAGGCAUAAAAGUUCAUAUAUAUACACAAUUGAAGUUUAAUCAUUUUUGCAUGAAUUAAUAUCCGGUCACUUUUAUUUAAAUUUUAGCUAUAUAUAGUUGUAUUUAGUCAUUUUUGUCUAAAUUUCAGCUAUAUAUAACUACAUUUAAAUAUUUUUAUUUGAACAUUAGUCAUAUUUACCUGGAGUUCAUGCAAAUAUGAUCGAAAUUAAUUCAAUUAUUUAUUUAUUAUUAUUGAUGAACUUCAACCAUAACUUCAGACACUACAUGUCUGAAGUUGUUUCAAACUAGAUAAACGUGGAAUUUUAUUAUUAUUUAAAAAAAAACACAUGUGAAAUAGUUGUUUUCCAAUAGGAUAUCGGUGUAGAUGAUUUUUUUUUUUGUUAAACCGUUUAUCUGCUACAUAAAUAUGCUUUCAUCAAGACCUUUAUUAAGGAAACUUGUCUUGAUAUAUUCAUUUGUCAAAUCUCAUAAUUAUAAUGAAAAGGAAUGGAUAGGAGAAUUCUAAUAGACUCAAGCAAGGCUAUUGGCAAAAUUUUUUUCCUCAUAAUCGAUUUCUUCUUUCUGAAUAAACCCUUUUGCAACAAGUUUGUAUUUUUUUUUCAUCUAUUUUUCUCUUUUUUUUAUAGGUCAACUUGCAUAAACAAUACUAUAAAUACUUUUGUAGGAUUUUGGGACAUUAUUUCUGAUAUUUUUAAAAGUUAUUCUCUCUGGGAAAGAUCAAAAGGUUAGAAGAAUUGGUUUCUUUUGAGUGGGUGUGGCAAUCUAGACAAAUAUUCCAUUUUUAUUGUCUUCAUCUUUCAUUUAUUUAUUGGGAAAAAAAUGUGUCUCAUUUUAUUCUUUAUUAUUGUAUUAGCUAGGGUUGUGGGACUAGUGUAAUUAGUAAUGUGAUUGAGAAUUUAAUUAGAACAUUAUUUUUAUGUCAUUGAAGUUCUCUAGUUAUCUAUUUCUUCAAGUUUUAAUUUCAUUUGAUGGCUGCAGUAUUAAAGUGAUUUUUAUCCUUGUUUUGCUUGAGAAAGAAAUCUAACAGUAAGAAAAAAAUAAAAUAACAGGGAGUUUAGGCUUUAAAUUUUAGAAAAAUUACCUAACUACACAAAUUAUUUUAUCAUAUUCUUUAAAAUUCUCUACCAUUUGAAAAAACUACAAAAAUCCCUACUCUCUCAUAUUUUCGAAUACACCAUCGGUCGGAUACAUCACUUUAAGUGAUGUAUCGAAUUCUCGGAUACAUCACUUUACUUGAUGUAUCGGUCGGAUAUAUCACUUUGCGCGAUGUAUCGAAAUGUACGUGAUGUAUCAGGACGUUGAGUGAUGUAUUCGAAGUCGAGACGCGAUGUAUCAGGACAUUGAGGGAUGUAUCCGAAAUUGAGACGCGAUGUAUCGGGAUGUUUGGGAUGCAUCCAGAUUUCACCAAAUUUAAGAAAUUUUUGUAAUUUGAAAAAGAAUAGGAAUAUAAUGUAAUUAGCUCUUAACAGUUAAUACUAUGGAAUUUGCUUAAAAUUCCCUUAAAUCUUAUCUAAUAACUCGAGCAAAAAAUAUAAAAAUUGACUUGAAAUUUGAGUGAUUGGGCUUAAAACCAUACUUUUAAGGACUGGAAAAGCUUAGAGUGAAAUUCAUUAAUUUUGGUAGACUAUUAAUUAGAUUUCAGGAAUUAUUAUAUACUUUAUCAUAAUAGCAUUUGAGUGAGUUAAAACAUAUACCCAAUUGCAUAACACAACUCUCGUUGUCUUUACAAAUUUAUUACAAAUUCUAAAAGAAAUUCCUUUUAUUCAAAUAGUGCAUAAUUCUGUAUACAUGAUAUAUAACUAUAUCAAAUAUAUAUGUAUAUGUAUAUGUAUACACUAUUAUAUAACAAUUAUAUAUUGAUAUACAAUUUAUAUGCAAUGUACAUAUAUUGUAUAAAUAAUUUAGUUGGAUGAUCAACGUCAACCACCUUCUUCAAAUUACAAUGUCAUAUUCAGGUGCAACUAUGGUGAAAAAAUUCUCCCUCGCUCCCAUGAUAAUCAGCUCGCCUACAUUUCAUUUAAAGACGAUUAUUGCCUCAAGAAGUCGUUCCAUUAAAAAAACCGAGAAUCUAGCUAGGAGGAUUAUUACCAAUAUAAUAUUCAUAUUAAUCGAACGAUAAAAAAAUUGAAAUCUGAAAUUUUUAAUUGAAAGUUAUGCUCUAAAUUCAAAGAAAAAUGGGUCAGUCAAAGAAUAGUAUCUCUAGGAUUAAAGCCCAAAAGUUUUGGUUGACCCAUCUUUUGCCUCUUUAAGGUAAGCCCACUUUGGGAGAAGGUAGGCUAAUUUUGAUUAGUACAAUGAUCAAAUGACCAAUUAUUAUAUAAAUGAUAAUUAGGUUAUUUUAUGUAUUAAAAAAAUAAAAAAAAUUGACCGGAUGAUCAUUUUAUCUAAUUUAAGGUAUAAGUUCUUGAUUGCUAUGAAUUAUGAUUAUGCAAGUGCAGGGUUUAUUAAAUACAAUUCUCGAAAUGUUUCAAGUCGAAAUAAAAUUUUCAAAAAAUAAAUGACGAUCCAAUUGUACACUAUGCUGAAAUAUGUACACUAUGCUUACUUCUGUUGGAGAUAUACUGUAUUGUUUGAACUUUCUUCAUUAAGAUGUUUAAUAUGAUCAAAGCUUGAUUUUGAUUCUCAGUCAAUGAUAAUUUGAGUUUGAUUGGUGAAGGCCCUUAUGUAUUAAACGUUCAAAAACAAAAAUACAUUUUUAUUUGAGUAGCUUAUGUAUAACAAUCUUCUAAUUGUUAGUAACCGCAUAGUAAUUAUCUUAUUUUAUUUUUACUUGAUGUUCAAUACUCGUAUUAAUGUUUGGCUAAUUCAAAUUCACAUCGCAUAAGAUUCAAUUUUUUUUUAAAAUAAAAAAAAAAAUAAAUAAAAAAUAAUAAUAAUAAUAACAACAACAACAACAACAAUAAUAAUAAUAACAAUAAUANNNNNNNNNNNNNNNNNNNNUAAUAAUAAUAAUAAUAAUAAUAAUAAUAAUAAUUACCAACUUGCAGGAUCUCAGAAGACGGGCAGUAGUCCGCGCGGUCAUCUUUAAUCUAGCUUGCUAACAUCCGAUUUCAAAUCCGAAUCCGAAUCGAAAUACAUACAAAUUUUUAUAUAGUUUUAUGACUGUAUGGAGGAUCUUAUUCCUUUUACCCGAGCAAAGGGCCUGUCAAGAUUCAAAUACGUAUUGUUAUUGAGCUCAUGUGUCUAGCAGUUCUAACCGGGUAUAUGCGCCCUUUCUCAACUCAUAAACGGGCUUAGAACCACGGGCCACGGCUGGCUAGACAAAGUCACAAAGACAAAGCCAAUAACAUGUUGUAUUAAAUCUGACUGUACCACCAUCUCAGAACCAAGUCAAGAAACCAUAUAUAAAUUUAUUUAUAUUUAGAUAAAGUCUAUAUCUUUCAUGGUAGAUAUAAAGACGAAGUUAAUUAUCCGACAUAGAUAUGAAGCUUUAGUCGGACAUGAUCACGACUCAGAUUUGAGAAAUAAUACUAAAAUAUUUAAUUUUAUUAAAAAUAGUACUUUCAAAAGGGCGGCCGACUCCAAGGCUUGGAAGAGAACUAUACACUUUAUUAACUCCGGUAAGUAUUCAGGCAAACUUCAAACUUUACAAAAAGAGAGUUUUACAAGAGAGAGUGCUAAAGAGAGAGAGAGGGUUUUUCGACCUGCUUACUCAGACUAAAACUAACCUUAUUUAUAGAAAGAAAAGGAAUAUAGUACAGUAAUGGUGGGUCCCUUAUCAGUGGGUCCCUUAUGUACAGUAAUAGUGUUUCUACUGUUGAUCAAUAGUGUAUCUACUGUUGAUAGUGCCAUUUACUGUUAGAGAUGAGCUUCACAGCUUUUCCUUUUUCUUUAGCUCUCGGAGGAAAUCUUCUGCCUUUUUCAGCGUAUCUUCUGAAAUGGGUUUAGCUGACUCACCAGGCUGAGCUUCUUGAGUAUCUUCUGCGAUAUCAUCGCUCGUCUCACUUCUCAUAGAAGUGUCCGAUUUUUCAUAUUGAUUAAUAUUGAGGAGUAGACUCCUCCUGACUUCGUCCAGAUAACUAUUAAUCAUUUCUUCUUUAUUUCCAUCUUGAAUGGAAAUUUUUCUUGCAAUAUGCCUAACUGAACUGUCGGCAAUGAUCCCCUUGUGAGGAGAAAUACAAUAUUCUUGGAUCUUUCUUGCAAUUAGAUCCAGCAGUUCUUGUCCAUAUAGACUUUGUCUUGUGAUCUAUUUUCAUCAAUUUGUCCCAAAAAUUAUUAUGAAAGGUUCCUCUGUGAAUUCCACUUCUGGGGUCCAUUUAUGAAUCUAUGGAAUAGAGAAUUAAAUGAAAAAUAAAUUUGUUCAAUUUUUUCAAUAUAGCAAAUAUGAUCUGCAUGGUAUAGAUGGUUAAGAUCUGGUGAAAUCUUAACCCAUUCUUUAUAUAAUUGGAGAAAUGGAUUAAGCAGAAUCUUUGUUGUUGGACCGUAGUAUGACUACCAGUUCAAGAACCAAUUAGGGAUAGAUUCUGCAAAUAUCUUUGCGCAAAUUUUAAUAAUCCAAGUAUGCUUAUGUCACUCAUUAUUAUAGUAGAGGACUUUAUUAAAAGCAUUAAUAUAGUCCCAAUAGGUGAAAUUCAUAGAGACCUUAUUUAGGCUAAUCUGCCUUUCCUUCAUCGUGGAAAUACCCCAAUCUUCAAUAGAUAUAAUUUGCUUAAUAAUCAUUUUGGAGAAGUUAUAAACAUUCUCGCUGGUGUUGUAUCCUGAGAAGUGCUAAAAUUCGACACUACCAGUAUUUAUCAAAAUAGUUUCAUAGUAAGAUCGGGUUUUGUAUGACUCCCCUGGGAAAUAUAAUCCGUUAAUCAAGUAUUGCUGGUAUAUCUUCUAGGGUUCAUCUUUUCUCUAGAUUGCAGAGCAUUCUAAAAGAAAUAUCAUUUCUUUCUUCGACACCUUUUCAAAAGAUUUGAUAUCAUCAACAUCUUCUUUGGCGAUAGAGGCAAAAGUAUCACUUUGCUUCUUAGACAAAUAUGCCUGUAGUUGUGCGUAUAGCGGGCUAUUUUUUGGAAUAUUGUCUAGAUGUAUUGAUGAUGAUGCCACAUUUUGAGUGACCUUGGCGUUUAUGAAACUCAGUCCUCCUCUUUGUAAAAUUGGGGAGUUAGAAGAGGAUCCGUAUGACGAUCCUGAUGAUGAUCUUGGGGAAGAUCUUCCCCUUCCUCGAGGGUUAUUAUCCCUGCCUCGACCCUUGGUUACCCAAGGAGGGUCCAUCUUGCAAACAAAACACGUUGUUUUAUUUCGAAUAAUAUUCUUCAUAAUCAGUCUCAUAAUCAUCAGAGUAAUAUUCUAGAAGAAUAUGAGAGAAAUCUUCUCUUAGUAUAUCAUCAACAAUUUUUUUAAGGAUAAUAUCUUUCAGAUCUCUAGGUAAGGGAAGAGCCCUUAGAAUGGAAAAGAGGGUUUCAUCAUCUAAGAAAAUUCGAAAAAAUAUCCUAUUGAAUGUAUUCACGGGAUAAGAAAUCCGGUAAUGAGUUAUCAACUCCUCUUUUAUAUUGAAUUUCAAAGUCAAAAGGAGCUAGCUGGGUCUGCCAUCUAGCGAAAAUUAACUUAGAAGCAUUAUGUUUAAAAUCUUUAUCGAACAUAUAUUUCACAGAUUGAGUAUUAGUUUUUGUUAAAAACAUUUGAUUGUAUAAACCGUCCUGAAAUUUUAGCACGCAUUUAACAAUGGUUAGCAUUCAUUUCAUGAGCCAUUGUAGCAUAUUUCUUCUGGGCUUCGCUCCAUUUCCCAGAAUAAAAUUUGAUCAAAUAUUCUAUUUUGUCGUUGGAAUUAAUUUGUUUCAAGAUCCCUCCAUAACCAAUGUUAGACGCAUCUGUCUCAAUAAUCUUUUGCCAAGCAGGGUUAGCAAGAGUUAAACAAGGUAAAGAUUGCACACAAAGUUUAAUAAUUUUUUAUCAAGGUGGUGUGACUAUCAGUCCAAGGAGAUUUAUGAUCCUUUUUUAGCCUGUUGUAUAGCGGGGACAAAUCACGAGAUAAUUAUUUUUAAAAGGGGGAGAUGUAAUUUAAACUUCCCAAAAAUCUUUGCAAUUGAGUUCUGUCGGUGAUAAUAACAGGAAAUUUUGAUGCAAAGUCAAUUGAUCUUUGUAUCGGGGUGACUUUUCCCUGACAAAUAAGAUGUCCACGAAAUCGAACAUUAGUCUGAAAUAAACUCAUUUUUAUUUUAGAAAUUACCAAACCAGUUUGUAUAACGAUUUUCUUGAAGAUGUCUAGAUGCUUGGUAUGCAUUUCGAGAGUUUUUGAAUAAAUCAAAAUAUCAUCAAUAUAAACAAUGAUAAAAUCUAAAUAUGGGUUGAAAAUAUCAUUCAUAAUUUUCUGAAAUUUAGAUGGAGCAUUUUUAAAACCGAAUGGCAUAACGUUCCAUUCAUAUUGUCCAAAAAGGACAUUAAAAGCAGUUCUAUAAGCAUGCUCUUUAAAUAUUUGAAUCUGCCAAUAUCCUGAUUUUAAAUUAAAUUUUGAAAAUAUAUUGGCAUCAUAUAAUCUAAAUAAUAAAUCCUUUUUGUUGGAAUAGGAUACCUAAUCCACUUUAAAUAUUUAUUUAAAGGUUUAUAAUUGAUAACCAACCUAGGGAUACCACGUUCCCUUUCAGUAGCAUUGUUGACAUGAAAAGCAGUGCAAGACCAAGGUGACUUUGAAGGCUUUAUCAAACCCUUUUGCAGUAAAUUAUCAUUUCCUUUUUGGAGAAUUCAACCAAUUCGGCGUUCAUUUGACAUGGACGAGAUUUAGUAGGAAUAUCAUUUUCAGAGAAAUCAUCUUCAUAAGGAAGAGUAACGAUAUGCUUUUUCCGAUUACAAAAAGCACUGGGAUGAUCAACACAAAUAUCAACAACAAUUUGUUCAGAAAUUAAUUUAAUUUUUUCUUGUACUUUGGUGGAUUUCAAAGUAUCAAAUAUAUUCAUACUAAACAAUUAUAGUUGGAGAGAAUCAACAUGCUUUUGCUUCAUAUUAAUUAAAGCAUUAAUAUCACGAGAAAUUGGGUCAGUGAUAAAAGUAUAACUAAUAUUCCUGUCUUAAUACGUAGCUGAAAAACCUUUAGCAUUUAUGCUAGUAAAAGAAUAAAUAGCAUUUAUAAAAGGCAUUUUAAGUAUAAUUGGAGGGUAUAACUGAUUUUUAACUAAGAAAAAGAAAUGCGGAAUGCAAAUUUUAUUUUGGCAAAUGCGAGUAUUAAUUAGGCAAUUUGUACUUUAUAUCUAAAGCAUGUCUAGAAGCAGAUUUAACCAUGUGAGUUAUUUUUUCAAAAUAUUUAGUAGGUACAAGACCUUCUUGAAUACAACUAACAUCAGCUCCGCUAUCAAUCAUAGCAAUAUCAGUUAUCGAAAAGCUAUUAUCAAUCAAAAUGGUGCAUUUAACAUACCAUUUAUGAGCAGUAACAAUUUGCAUCUAUCCCAAGAAACAUACCUUGUUUAGGAUCAAGAUUAAAAGGUUUUGCAAGAGUAUUUUCUUCAUCAACAUUUUUAACUUUGUUAUUACUGGUUUCUAUCUGAGUAAGACGAUGAUCACAAAUCAUUUGGUUUUGCUUAAUAGAUUUAAUCUCAUUUUUUAAAUUUUCAAUUUCAUUUUUCAAAUCAUCAAAAGAAGAAUCUUUUGUAGAAAUAGUUUGUUUAUUAAGUCGGUUAUUAAUUUUAGACAAAGAAUAAGGUGCAAUAUAUUCAAAUUCAAAAUCAUUCUUUUGUUUUUCUGAAUUUUUUUCAAAACUUGUGCAAGCAGUAUUACUAACAGCUAAUUGAAUAAUUUUUUCAUGAAUAUUGUUAUCAGUAACUUCUUUCAAAAGUUCUAUCACAUUAUCAGAAGUAAUAUUAUUCAAAUUCAAAUCUUCAAAUUGAAAUUGAAAUUUAUAAAACUCAUCAUUUUCACAAGAGCAAAUAUCACCAUGAUAAUUACUGCAAGCAUUCAUAUUAACAUGCUGGUGGUUAAUAUCAUAUAAAUCAGGCAAAUCAAUCUCUUCUUCGGAACCUGAAUCAGAAUCAUAAUCGGACUCAAAACCAGAAGUAUAUAAGAAACUAUAAACCUUAUCAUGAAUUUCUUCAUCUAAUUCCAAGGUCUUCAGCUUUUCAAGCUUGCAAUUGAGUGCUAUAUGACCGAAGUUACCACACUUAUAACACUUAAUCUUGGCGAGCUCACGCUUAGACCUAUUCUUAGUAAAUCUGUUAGACUUACGAGAGGCUCUUCUAGUGUUUCACUCCUCCUUAGAUCUUUAUCUAAACCUCUUCUUCCUAUAACGUUUAUCAAGAUUCCUAGAAUCGCUAGAAUCCCUAUGCUUCUUCUUGCUAUUAGCCGGAGCAUCAAUUAAACCGAACUGGGUACAACAGUCUCCUAUUUGAGAUCUUUCCUUGAGCUUGUCAACCUUAAGCUGUCUGGAGAGCUUCAAUUCAUUGCACAAGUUUAUACCUUCAUGAGUACAAACUCCUAUCAGCUUACCAUAAGUAUAAUCUUUAUACGGGAUUUCUCCUUCGCUAUGCGCUGACUGGAUGCGUACUCAUGUGAUCAAUCGAUGGACGGGGGAAUUGCGUGAAUGAUGAGACCGGCCUAACCUAAAGUCAAGGCUCUUGUCUCUUUUGAUGGCGAAUCUUGAACCCUAAACCCUAAACCCUAAACCCUAAAAGUGAAUUUCUCAGAACCCUUUUAACAUGCUCGGCAAAAAAAGGGGGAAUGCCAUCUAUAAACUUAGCUUUCCAAUGCUUAUAACUGUUUUCGGGUAGUUCCAUCACCCUACUCAUAUAUGUGUCUUUAUACCAUCUAAAUUCUCCCAAGGUUCUACGUCGUAGACCAUUUAACAGGGUAUGAACAGUCUCAUACUGAUUGAUAAAUCUACCAUUAAAAUGUUCUAGGAUGGUUAAGACUAGAGUAUAAACCGCGUCUUCUCUAUUUGCAACUAGAGCCAUUACUGCAAGCAUUCAUAUUAACAUGCUGGUGGUUAUUAUCAGAUAAAUCAGGCAAAUUAAUCUCUUCUUCGAAACCUGAAUCAGAAUCAUUAUCCAACUCAGAACCAGAAGUAUAUAAGAAACUAUAACCCUUAUCAUGAAUUUCUUCAUCUAAUUCCAAGGUCUUCAGCUUUUCAAGCUUGCAAUUGAGUGUUAUAUGACCGAAGUUACCACACUUAUAACACUUAAUCUUGGUGAGCUCAUGCUUAGACCUAUUCUUAGUAAAUCUGUUAGACUUACGAGAGGCUCUUCUAGUGUCUCACUCCUCCUUAGAUCUAUAUCUAAACCUCUUCUUCCUAUAACGUUUCACUAGAAUAGCAUUAAUCACAACAACUUUUUGCUCGAGACUCAUAUAAUUAUCCCACCAACCUCUGAGUUGGCCAGUAAAACCUGCAAUAAUCAUUUUGCAAAUAUUUCUAUCUGUAUUUUCAACAUUCUUACAGAUAGUAGCAUACAUAAGCAUUCUAUGAACAAAAAUAGUUAACCGUCUAUCAGUCAGCCCAUCCAGAUUCCAUUCAUAAAUUUCAGAACCACUAUAAGAGGUAUUAGUUUGAUUCCAGUCGCGUUCCUCUAUAAGCACUUCCUGAGGAGUAGGUCUGGAAUAAUAAUAAGUUUGCAUGCUAGGUUUAUGAGCAAACUUAGGAUUACCACUAUUUUUUUUAUAAUAACCGCGAAGUUUAUUAAAUUCUAAAGAAACAUGAUUUUUGAAAUCAAAAGUGUUUUCCAUUUCAUCCGCAAAAUUUUCAGACAAAUCCAUAGGUUUUGCGCUAAAAUCUGAAAACUUUUUAUCAAGAAGUUCUUCAAAAUCAUAAAUCGAUUUGAAUUUAAAAUCCUUAAUCUCAGGGGGCCUUUGCACAUAGGUAGACAUAGUAAGAGCUUCGGAAUUAGUUUUAGAAGUUGAAGGUUUAUCAGAAGCCUUUAAAUUAUUUUUAUUUGAAUUAUCAAAGCAGUUAAUUCAUCUAAUUUUUCAUUGAGCGAACCAAUAUGUUCACCCAAAACUUUAUCAUAAUGUCCCAAAUAAUUAUUUUGAGAAAUCAAGUUAUUAAUUUCAUUGAUGCUGACUGUCGCAACAUUUUCUUCAAUAAAUUUUUGAAAGGCAGUAAAAGUGAUUCCAGUAUUAUUUGGUAAUAUAAAAGAUGACCGAGGUGGAUAAACAACCUUAAUAAUAUUACCAGAUUCAUCUUUAUAAGAUCGUUCAAGAACGUUGAUGAAUAACGGAAGAUAAGUGGUUAUAAACCAAGGUAACAAAUACAUAAUUUGAUUAUGUAAAGCACAAGUUUCAUAAAACUGUUGAGAGAUGUUAUUUAAAUCAUCAGUACUAUAAGAGUAAAAAAAUCAUGUUUUAAACCAGUUCCAUUUAUCACUUAAAAAUUCAUUUUGACUGUACUUUCUUGCCAGUGAUCCUGGACUAAAAUCUAUUUAGUUUACAUUCAUCAUUAAAAGAAACAGUCAAAUACCCCCUCAACCUAUUACCCGAUUCUUAACUACACACUUAUACUUUACGGGAGUCCUAUUAUCUCCCUAAAGUAUUUUAAACACAAAUAUUGAUACACUUAAAACGUCACCCCCAAAUCUUUGUUGCAGAGUGUAAUACACACACCUAUUUUUCAGAAUUAAUUUUUUUUUAAAAAAAUCAUCACCAAAUUACAUCAAGUUUGAUUCUUUUCAUUUUUUUUCCACCAUUCUAUUCAUCUUCCUAAAUCAUCCCAUUUUUUCUCCACUGUUUCCAAAUUUCUCAUCUCCUCCAAUCCACCUCCAUCUCCAUCACACUCAUCAUUCUCCAUCUUUCUUCUAUCUUUUCGAUCAUUUAUUUGCACAAAAUCUAUUUGUCAUUGUUGAAUUCAAUAAAUUGACAUGAAUGUUGAAUCUUUUUAUCAUGUAUCUUACUGCCAUAUUAUGGUUUUCUAGUUGCUUUUUUUUGAUGAAUUUGAAGAUGAAAAUUUGUUUGCCCAAUUUCAAAUUUUAAUACCCACUUUCAAUUACAAUCAAGAAACUCAUAAAUUUCAAAAUCUAAUACCCACUUUCAGUUCCAAUCAAGAAACUCGGAUUGCUACUGUAAUCGAAAAGAUUUCUAUAGCAGAAUUUGUAAUAUCAUUUUUCAAUGUCGGGUUGAAAGUAUUUUCCAUUGAGGUGAAAGAAGUUAAAGGAUUAUCAUUUUCUUUCAUUUGGUUAUGCCUUCUAUUUUUAAGAAAGAUUUGAAGGUGAUGGUCAUGAAAAAGUUCAUUAUGGACUAAAAGUGAAAAAUAUGAAAAAAUAAAAUAUUGUAUUACCAUGGCAGCCAUGGCAAAAUUCAAUUGCAGAGGUGUAAUUUUGUAAGGAGGUAAUGGUUAGAGAGAGAGAGAGAGUGUAUAUGAUUGUAAUUAAUUAAAUUUAUUUAUUAAUUAUAUUGAAUUCAAUUAAGAAAUGACAGUUGUCUAAUCAUUUAAUUUUGACUAAUUUAUUUGCCUUACACUUGCUUCCAGGAAAGUGAACAUACUUGUUGCGUCAUAUAAACACUUAAGGGUGUCAAUAUUUCUGUUUAAAAUACUUCAAACGGGUAAUAGUACCUCCGUAAAGUAGUGGUGAGUAGUUGAGAAUUGAUUAAUAGGUUGAGGGGAUAUUUGACUGUUUUCUCUCAGAAAAAUUACCAUGAGCUUUAACAAUAUUCAAACGAGGAUCAACUUUUAUUUUAUUCCUAUCAUCGGAUAUAAUAGAAGGUAUGGUAUGUAACGAAGCAGCACGAUUACGAGCUAGACCAUACAUCGGUUCAAUCGGCGAGAUAUGCUGAAUAGCGAAAUCUCUUCUAUCAGAAAAUGAAUGUCUAUUAUAAGGAAUACUCUUAUCAUCAAAUUGAAUUCAAAUCUUACCUUCAAAAUUCUGUGUAGUAUGAGAAUAUUCAGAAUUAGUAACCGCAUGAGCCAUCUGGCUGGGAGGUAUAACCGAAUCUAAAGUUCGAGUAGUAGGAAAAAUUAAUUUCUUCCCAUUUUAUAGGUCUUCUUGAAGUGACUUUAGAUUUAGCAAAAUUAGUUUCUACUAAAAUAGUUUGAUCAGAUGUAUCUUAUAGCUUACAUCUAGGAUUUAAACUAGACAAUAAUUUAAAAUACAUUCUAUAAGAUAAACAAAUCAAUUCAGAUCUAGGUGCAUAAUUAUAACCAUGCGUUUUAACAUUUAAAGUUAAAGCAUCAAAAAUAUUAACAUCAGUUAGAGUUAACUGCAAAUUUGGCUGAGUAUUAAAAUACACUGGACCAUAUGCCACAUUAGAUUCAAUCGAACUCAUCAAAGAUUAUCUAAAAUUUAAAUUUCUAGAAUCACGCAACGUAGCUAAAAAAGUCUCUGGUAACCUUUUAAGAGUUAAAGGUUUGAAAGCAAUCUGAACCAUGCCAAUAUACAAAAAGUUAUACUAGGAUUUAUAUAAUUCAAUAUCUCGUUUAUUUAACAAACGAAUAGUCUGUUCAGACGAAUUUAAUGGCAAAGAUUGCUCAGUAGUUUUAAUCGACUGUUUAUGAGAAAUUUUAUCAAACCAACAAUAAUCAUAAAUGGUUUUAAUAUCAAGCUUUGGACAAAUUGAUGAAAAGGGAUCCCAAGACGAAGUCUCUAUAUAUCAACUCAUAAACGGGCUUAGAACCAUGGCUGGCUAGACGGAGUCACAAAGACAAAGCCAAUAACAUGUUAUAUUAAAUCUGACUAUACGACCAUCUCAGAACCAAGUCAAGAAACCAUAUAUAAAUUUAUUUAUAUUUAGAUAAAGUCUAGAUCUUUCAGGGUAUAUAUAAAUGCGAAGUUAGUUAUCCGACAUAGAUGUGAAGCUUUAGCCGGACAUGGUCCUGCUCAGAUAUGAGAAAUAACACUAAAAGAUUUAAUUCUAUUAAAAAUAGUACCUUGAAAAGGGCGGCCGACUCCAAGGCUUGGAAGAGAACUAUACACUUUAUUAACUCCGGUAAGUAUUCCGGCAAACUUCAAACUUUAGAAAAGAGAUCUUUAUAAGAGAGAGUGCUAAAGACAGAGAGAGGGUUUUUCAACCUCCUUUCUGAGACUAAAACUGAACUUAUUUAUAGAAAGAAAAGGAAUAUAGUACAGUAAUGGUGGGUCCCUCAUCAGUGGGUCCCUUAUGUACAGUAAUAGUGUUUCUACUGUUGAUCAACAGUGUAUCUACUGUUGAUAGUGCCAUUUACUGUUAGAGAUGAGCUUCACAACUUGUCCUUUUUCUUUAGCUCUAGGAGGAAAUCUUCCGCCUUUUUCAGCGUAUCUUCUGAAAUGGGUUUAGCUGACUCACCAGGCUGAGCUUUUUGAGUAUCUUCUGCGAUAUCAUCGCUCGUCUCACUUCUCAUAGAAGUGUCCGAUUUUUCAUAUUGAUUAAUAUUGAGGAGUAGAUUCCUCCUGACUUCGUCCAGAUAACUAUUAAUCAUUUCUUCUUUAUUUUCAUCUUGAAUGGAAAUUUUUCUUGCAAUAUGCCUAACUGAACUGUCGGCAAUGAUCCCCUUGUGAGGAGAAAUACAAUAUUCUUGGAUCUUUCUUGCAAUUAGAUCCAGCAGUUCUUGUCCAUAUAGAGACUUCGUCUUGUGAUCUUUUUUCAUCAAUUUGUCCCAAAAAUUAUUAUGAAAGGUUCUAUAUAAACAAGGAAUUUGUUCCUCUGUGAAUUCCACUUCUGGGGUCCAUUUAUGAAUCCAUGGAAUAGAGAAUUAAAUGAAAAAUAAAUUUGUUCAAUUUUUUCAAUAUAGCAAAUAUAAUCUGCAUGGUAUGGAUGGUUAAGAUCUGGUGAAACCUUAACCCAUUCUUUAUAUAAUUGGAGAAAUGAAUCAGGUAGAAUCUUUGUUGUUGGACCGUUGUAUGACCACCAGUUCAAGAACCAAUUAGGGAUAGAUUCUGCAAAUAUCUUUGCGCAAAUUUUAAUAAACCAAGUAUGCGUAUGUCACUCAUUAUUAUAGUAGAGGACUUUAUUAAAAGCAUUAAUAUAGUCCCAAUAGGUGAAAUUCAUAGGGACCUUAUUUAGGCUAAUGUGCCUUUCCUUCAUUGUGGAAAUACCCCAAUCUUCAAUAGAUAUAAUCUGCUUAAUAAUCAUUUUGGAGAAGUUAUUAACAUUCUCGCUGGUGUUGUAUCCUGAGAAGUGCUGAAAUUCGACACUACCAGUAUUUAUCAAAAUAGUUUCAUAGUAAGAUCGAGUUUUGUAUGACUCACCCGGGAAAUAUAAUCCGUUAAUCAAGUAUCGCUGGAAUAUCUUCCAGGGUUUUUCUUUUCUCUGGAUUUCAUAGUUUUCCAAAAGAAAUAUAAUUUCUUUCUUCGACCCCUUUUCAAAAGAUUUGAUAUCAUCAACAGCUUCUUUGGCAAUAGAGGCAAAAGUAUCACUUUGCUUCUUAGACAAAUAUGCUUGUAGUUGUGAGUAUAGCGGGCUAUUUUCUGGAAUAUCGUCGAGAUGUAUUGAUGAUGAUGCUACAUUUUGAGUGACCUUGGCGUUUAUCAAACUCAUUCCUCCUAUUUGUAAAAUUGGGGAGUUAGAAGAAGAUCUGUAUGACGAUCCUGAUGAUGAUCCUGGGGAAGAUCUUCCCUUUCCUCGGGGUUUAUUACCCUUGCCUCGACCCUUAGUUACCCAAGGAGGGUCCAUCCUGCAAACAAAACGUAUUGUUUUAUUCCGAAUAAUAUUCUUCAUAAUCAGUCUCAUAAUCAUCAGAGUAAUAUUCUAGAAGAAUAUGAGAGAAAUCUUCUCUUAGUAUAUCAUCAACAAUUCUUUUAAGGACAAGAUCUUUCAGAUCUCUAGGUAAGGGAAGAUACCUUAAAAUGGAAAACAGGGUUUCAUCAUCCAAGAAAAUUCGAAAAAACAUUUUAUUGAAUGGAUUCACGAGAUAAGAAAUCCUGUAAUGAGUUAUUAACUCCUCGUUUAUAUUGAAUUUCAAAGUCAAAAGAAGCUAGCUAGGCCUACCAUCUAGCGAAAAUUAACUUAGAAGUAUCUUGCUUAAAAUAUUUAUCUAACAUAUACCUCACAGAUUGAGCAUCAGAUUUUUUUGAAACCUUUUGAUUGUAUAAAUCGUCUUGAAAUAUUAGCACACAUUUAACGAUGAUUAGCAUUUUAAUGAGCCACCGUAACAUAUUUCUUCUGGGCUUCGCUCCAUUUCUCAGAAGAAAAUCUGAUCAAAUAUUCUAUUUUGUCGUUGGGAAUAAUCUGUUUCAAGAUCCCUCCAUAACCAAUGUUAGACGCAUCUGUCUCAAUAAUCUUUUGCCAAGCAGAGUUAGCAAGAUUUAAACAAUGUAAAGAUUGCACAAGAGGUUUAAUAUUUUUUACCAAGGUGGUGUGACUAACAUUCAAGGAGAUUUAUGAUCCUUUUUUAGCCUGUUGUAUAGCGGAGCCAAAUCACGAGAUAAAUUUUUAUAAAAAGGGGAGAUGUAAUUUAAACUUCCAAAAAAUCUUUUUAAUUGAGUUCUGUUGGUGAUAACAUUAGGAAAUUUUGAUGCAAAGUCAAUUGAACUUUGUAUCGGGGUGAAUUUUCCCUGACAAAUAAGAUGUCCAAGAAAUCGAACAUUAGUUUGAAAUAAACUAAUUUUUGUUUUAGAAAUUACCGAACCAUUUUGUAUAACAAUUUUCUUGAAGAUGUCUAGAUGUUUGAUAUGCAUUUCGAGAGUUUUUGAAUAAACCAAAAUAUCGUCAAUAUAAACAAUGAUAAAAUCUAAAUAUGGGUUGAAAAUAUCAUUCAUAAUUUUCUGAAAUUCAGAUAGAGCAUUUUUUAAACUGAACGGCAUAACGUUCCAUUCAUAUUGUCUAAAAGGGACAUCAAAAGCAGUUCUAUAAGCAUGCUCUUUAAUUAUUUGGAUCUGCCAAUAUCCUGAUUUUAAAUCAAAUUUUGGAAUAUAUUGGCAUUAUAUAAUCUGGAUAAGAAAUCCUUUUUGUUGGGAAUAGGAUACAUAAUCCACUUAAAUAUUUAUUUAAAGGUUUAUAAUUGAUAACCAAUCUAGGGAUACCACGUUCCCUUUCAACAACAUUGUUGAGAUAUAAAGCAGUGCAAGACCAAGGUGACUUUGAAGGCUUUAUCAAACCCUUUUGCAGUAAAUUAUCAAUCUUUUUUUUUGCAGAAUUGAACCAAUUCGGUGUUCAUUUGACAUGGACGCGAUUUAGUAGGAAUAUCAUUUUCAAAGAAAUCAUCUUCAUAAGGAAGAGUAACGAUAUGCUUUUUCCGAUUCCAAAAAGCAUUGGGAUGAUCAUCACAAAUACGAACAUCAAUUUGUUCAGAAAUUAAUUUAAUUUUUUCUUGUACUUUGGUGGAUUUCAAAGUAUCAAAUAUAUUCAUACAAAACAAUUCUAGUUGGAGAGAAUCAACAUGCUUUUGCUUCAUAUUAAUUAAAGAAUUAUUAUCACGAGAAAUUGGGUCAGUGAUAAAAGUUUAACUAAUAUUCCUGUCUUCAAACGUAGCUGAAAAACCUUUAGUAUUUGUGCUAGUAAAAGGAUAAAUAGCAUUUAUAAAAGGCGUUCCAAGUAUAAUUGGAGGGUAUAACUUAUUUUUAACUAUGAAAAAGAAAUACAGAAUGCAAAUUUUAUUUUGGCAAAUGCGAGUAUUAGGCAAUUUGUACUUUAUAUCUAAAGCAGGUCCAGAAGCAUAUUUAACCAUGUGAGUUGUUUUUUUCAAAAUAUUUAGUAGGUACAAGACCGUCCUGAAUACAUCUAACAUCAGCUUUGCUAUCAAUCAUAGCAAUAUCAGUUAUCAAAAAGCUAUUAUCAAUCAAAAUGGUGCAUUUAACAUAUCAUUUAUGAGCAGUAACAAUUUGCUUCAUCCCAAGAAACAUACUAGUUUAAGAUCAAGAUUAAAAGGUUUUGUAAGAGUAUUUUCUUCAGCAACAUUUUUACCUUUGUUAUUACUGGUUUCUAUCUUAGUAAGACGAUGAUCACAAAUCAUUUGGUUUUGCUUAAUAGAGUUAAUCUCAUUUUUUAAAUCUUCAAUUUCAUUUUUCAAAUCAUUAAAAGAAGAAUCUUUUGUAGCAAUAGUUUGUUUAUUAAGUCUGUUAUUAAGUUCAGACAAAGAAUAAGGUGCAGUAUAUUCAAAUUCAAAAUCAUUCUUUUGUUUUUCUGAAAUUUUUUCAAAACUUGAGCUAGCAGUAUUACUAACAGCUAAUUGAAUAAUUUUUUCACGAAGAUUGUUAUCAGUAACUUCUUUCAAAAGUUCUAUCACCAUGACAAUUAUUGCAAGCAUUCAUAUUAACAUGUUGGUGGUUAUUAUCAGAUAAAUUAGGCAAAUCAAUCUCUUCUUUGGAACCUGAAUCAGAAUCAUAAUCGGACUCAGAAGCAGAAGUAUAUAAGAAAAUUUAAACCUUAUCAUGAAUUUCUUUAUCUAAUUCCAAGGUCUUCAGCUUUUCAAGCUUGCAAUUGGGUGCUAUAUGAUCGAAGUUACUACACCUAUAACACUUAAUCUUGGCGAGCUCACGCUUAGACCUAUUCUUAGUAAAUCUGUUAGACUUACGAGAGGCUAUUCUAGUGUCUCGCUCCUCCUUAGAUCUAUAUCUAGACCUCUUCUUCCUAUAACGUUGAUCAGGAUUACUAGAAUCCCUAUGCUUCUUCUUGCUAUUAACCGGAGCAUCAGGUAAAUCGAACUGGGUACAAAAGUCUCCUAUCUGAGAUAUUUCCUUGAGCUUGUCAAUCUUAAGUUGUGUGGGGAGCUUCAAUUCAUUGCGCAAGUUUAUACCUUCCUGAGUACAAACUCCUAUCAGCUUACCAUAAGUAUAAUCUUUAUACGGGAUUUCUCCAUGUGCAUUUCUAAGAACCCUUUUAACACGCUAGGCAAAAAGAGGGGGAAUGCCAUCUAUAAACUUAGAUUUCCAAUGCUCCUAACUACUUUCAGGUAGUUCCAUCUCCCUACUCAUAUAUGUAUUUUUAUACCAUCUAAACUCUCCCAAGGUUCUACAUCGUAGACCAUUUAACAAGGUACGAACAAUCUCAUACUGAUUGGUAAAUCUACAAUUAAAAUGUUCUAGGAUGGUUAAGACUAGAGUAUAAACCGCGUCUACUCUAUUUGCAACUAGAGCCAUGCCUAAGUUAUCAACACCUUCACCAGUAGAAGUAGCAUUAAUCACAUCAGCCUUUUGCUCGAGACUCAUAUAAUUAUCCCACCAACCUCUGACUUGGCCAGUAAAACCUGCAAUAAUCAUUUUGCAAAUACUUCUAUCUGUAAUUUUAACAUUCUUACAGAUAGUAGCAUACAUAAGCAUUCUAUGAACAAGAAUAGUUAACUGUCUAUCAGUCAGCCCAUCCAGAUUCCAUUCAUAAAUUUCAGAACCACUAUAAGAGGUAUUAGUCAAAUUCCAGUCGCGUUCCUCUAUAAGCACAUCCCGAGGAGUAAGCCUGGAAUAAUAAUAAGUUUGCAUGCUAGGUUUAUGAGCAAACUUAGGAUUACCACUAUUCUUUUUAGCAUAAUCGCGAAGUGUAUUAAAUUCUAAAGAAACAUGAUUUUUGAAAUCAAAAGUGUUUUCCAUCUCAUCCGCAAAAUUUUCAGACAAAUCCCUAGGUUUUGCGCUAAAAUUCAAAAACUUUUUAUCAAGAAGUUCUUCAAAAUCAUAAAUCGAUUUGAAUUUAAAAUCCUUAAUCUCAGGGGGCCUUUGCACAGAGGUAGACAUAGUAAGAGCUUCGGAAUUAGUUUUAGAAGUUGAAGGUUUAUCAGAAGCCUUUAAAUUAUUUUUAUUUGAAUUAUCAAAGCAGUUAAUUCAUCUAAUUUUUCAUUGAGCGAACCAAUAUGUUCACCCAAAACUUUAUCAUAAUGUCCCAAAUAAUUAUUUUGAGAAAUCAAGUUAUUAAUUUCAUUGAUGCUGACUGCCGCAACAUCUUCUUCAAUAAAUUUUUGAAAGGCAGUAAAAGUGAUUCCAGUGUUAUUUGGUAAUAUAAAAGAUGACUGAGGUGGAUAAACAGCCUUAAUAAUAUUACCAGAUUCAUCUUUAUAAGAUCGUUCAAGAACGUUGAUGAAUAACGGAAGAUAAGUGGUAAUAAACCAAGGUACAAAAUACAUAAUUUGAAUAUGUAAAACACAAGUUUCAUAAAACUCUUGAGAGAUGUUAUUUAGAUCAUCAGUACUAUAAGAGUAAAAAAAACAUGUUUUAAACUGGUUCCAUUUAUCACUUAAAAAUUCAUUUUGAAUGUACUUUCUUGCUAGUGAUCUUGGACUAAAAUCUAUUUGGUGUACAUUCAUCAUUAAGUAUCAUUAAGGUUAAAAUCUAUUUCGGAUGCAGAAGGAAUAUCUUUGUUAGAAAUAUCAAAAGAAUUACCAUGAGCUUUAACAAUAUUCAAAUGAGGAUCAAUUUUUAUUUUAUUCCUAUCAUCGGAUAUUAUAAAAGGUAUGGUAUGUAACGAAGCAACAUGAUUACGAGCUGGACCAUACAUCGGUUCAAUCGGUGAGAUAUGGUGAAUAACGAAAUCUCUUCUAUCAGAAAAUGAAUGUCUAUUAUAAGGAACACUCUUAUCAUCAAACUGAAUUCAAAUCUUACCUUCAGAAUUCUGUGUAGUAUGAGAAUAUUCAGAAUUAGUAACCGCAUGAGCCAUCUGGCUAGGAGGUAUAACCGAAUCUAAAGUCCGAGUAGUAGGAAAAUUAAUUUCUUCCCAUUUUAUAGGUUUUCUUGUAGUGACCUUAGAUUUAGCAAAAUUAGUUUAUACUAAAAUAGUUUGAUCAGAUGUAUCUUAUAGCUUACAUCUAGGAUUUAACGUAGACAAUAAUUUAAAAUAAAUUUUAUAAGAUAAAUAAAUCAAUUCAGAUCCAUGUGCAUAAUUAUAACCAUGCGUUUUAACAUUUAAAGUUAAAGCAUCAAGAAUAUUAGCAUCCAUUAGAUAUAACUGCAAAUUCGGUUGAGUAUUAAAAUACACUGGACCAUAUGCCACAGUAGAUUUAAUCAAACCCAUCAAAGAUUGUCUAAAAUUUAAAUUCUAGCAUCACGCAGAGCAGCUAAAAAAGUCUCUGGUAACCCUUUAAGAGUUAAAGGUUUGAAAGCAAUCUGAACCAUGCCAAUAUGCAAAAAGUUAUACUGGAAUUUAUAUAAUUCAAUAUCUCGUUUAUUUAACAAACGAAUAGACUGUUCAGACGAAUUUAACGCAAAAAGAUUGUUCAGUAGUUUUAAUCAACUGUUUAUGAAAUUUUUUAUCAAACCAACCAUAAUCGUAAAUGGUUUUAAUAUCCAUUUUUGGAAUAGUCCAUUUGUUUAACAAAUUAAGGUUUUGAGGUAUAUCUACCUCUUCCAAUCUAGUACUUUUAGUACUCAUUUUUCCAAGAUGACUGAGGUGGAUAAACAACCUUAAUAAUAUUACCAUAUUCAUCUUUAUAAGAUUGUUCAAGAACGUUGAUGAAUAACGGAAGAUAAGUGGUUAUAAACCAAGGUACAAAUAUACAUAAUUUGAUUAUGUAAAGCACAAGUUUCAUAAAACUCUUGAGAGAUGUUAUUUAAAUUAUCAGUACUAUAAGAGUAAAAAAACCAUGUUUUAAACUGGUUCCAUUUAUCACUUUAAAAUUCAUUUUAACUGUAGUUUCUUGCCAGUGAUCCUGGACUAAAAUCUAUUUGGUGUACAUUCAUCACUAAGUAUCAUUAGGGUUAAAAUCCAUUAUAUCCUUGUCAGAAAUAUCAAAAGAAUUACCAUGAGCUUUAACAAUAUUCAAACGAGGAUCAAUUUUUAAUUUAUUCCUAUCAUCGGAUAUAAUAGAAUGUAUGGUAUGUAACGAAGCAGGACGAUUACGAGCUAGACCAUACAUCGGUUCAAUCGGCGAGAUAUGGUGAAUAGCGAGAACUCUUCUAAAUCGAUAUAAGAUAAGACAGGAUGUCAAAUUUCUCCCAAUUUCGCUUUCUACCACUCCAUGGAGAAAAUGAAUGUCUAUUAUAAGGAACAGUCUUAUCAUCAAACUAAAUACAAAUCUUACCAUCAGAAUUCUGCGUAAUAUGGGAAUAUUCAGAAUUAGUAACCGCAUGAUCCAUCUGGUUAGGAGGUAUAACCAAAUCUAAAGUCCAAAUAGUAGGAAAAUUAAUUUCUUCCCAUUUUAUAGGUCUUCUAGUAGUAACCUUAGAUUUAGCAAAAUUAGUUUCUACUAAAAUAGUUUGAUCAACUAUAUCAUAUAGCUUGCAUCUAGGAUUUAACGUAGACAAUAAUUUAAAAUAAAUUCUAUAAGAUAAACAAAUCAAUUCAGAUCCAGGUGCAUAAUUAUAACCAUGCGUUUUAACAUUUAAGGUAAAGCAUCAAGAAUAUUAAAAUCAGUUAGAGAUAACUGCAAAUUUGGUUGAGUAUUAAAAUACACUGAACCAUAUGUCAUGGUAGAUUCAAUCGAACCCAUUAAAGAUUAUCUAAAAUUUAAAUUUAUAGCAUCAUGCAGAGCAGCUAAAAAAGUCUCUGGUAACCCUUUAAGAGUUAAAGGUUUGAAAGCAAUCUGAACCAUGCCAAUAUGCAAAAAGUUAUACUGGGAUUUAUAUAAUUCUAUAUCUCAUUUAUUUAACAAACGAAUAGUCUGUUUAGACGAAUUUAAUGCCAAAGAUUGCUCAGUAGUUUUAAUCAACUGUUUAUGAGAAAUUUUAUCAAACCAACCAUAAUCAUAAAUGAUUUUAAUAUCAAUUUUUGGAACAGUUCAUUUGUUUAACAAAUUAAGAUUUUGAGGUAUAUCUACCUCUUCCAAUCUAGUACUUUUAGUACUCAUUUCUCCAAGAUCUAUGAAGAAACGAACAUAUCUAUGCCGAAUACUACACAUCAAUUUCAUAUUUACCAUGAAAUUUCUAGGCUCUGAUAUCAACUUGCAGCAUCUCAGAAGACGCGAGGUAGUUCGCGCGUUCAUCUUUAAUCUAGCUUGCUAACAUCUGGUUUCAAAUACGAAUCUAACUCGAAAUACAUACAAAUUUUUAUAUAGUUUUAUGACUGUAUCGAGGAGAUUAUUCCUCUUACCUGAGCAAAGGGCCUGACAAGAUUCAAAUACGUAUUAUUAUUGAGCCCAUGUGUCUAGAAGUUCAAACCGGGUAUAUGCGCCCUUUCUCAACUCAUAAAUGGGCUUAGAACCACGACUGGCUAAACGGAGUCACAAAGACAAAGCCAAUAACAUGUUGUAUUAAAUCUGACUGUACCACUAUCUCAGAACCAAAUCAAGAAACCAUAUAUAAAUUUAUUUAUAUUUAGAUAAAGUCUAGAUCUUUCAUAGUAGAUAUAAAGGCGAAAUUAGUUAUCCGAUAUAGAUAUGAAGCUUUAGCCGGACAUGGUCACGACUCAGAUCUGAGAAAUAACACUAAAAGAUUUAAUUCUAUUAAAAAUAGUACCUUGAAAAGGGCGACCGACUCCAAGGCUUGGAAGAGAACUAUACACUUUAUUAACUCCGGUAAGUAUUCCGGCAAACUUCAAACUUUAGAAAAGAGAGCUUUACAAGAGAGAGUGCUACAGAGAGAGAGGGUUUUUGAACCUGCUUUCUCAGACUAAAACUAAACUUAUUUAUAGAAAGAAAAGGAAUAUAGUACAGUAAUGGUGGGUCCCUUAUGUACAGUCACAGUGUUUCUAUUAUUGAUCAAUAGUGUAUCUACUUUUGAUAGUGCGUUUUACUGUUAGAGAUAAGCUUCAUAGCUUGUCCUUUUUCUUUAGCUCUCGGAGGAAAUACUCCACCUUUUACAGCAUAUCUUCUGAAAUGGGUUUAGCUGACUCACCAUGCUGAGCUUCUUGAGUAUCUUUUGCGAUAUCAUCGCUCGUGUCACUUCUCAUAGAAGUGUCUGAUUUUUCGUAUUGAUUAAUAUUGAGGAGUAGAUUCCUCCUGACUUCGUCCAAAUAACUAGUAAUCAUUUAUUCUUUGUACCCAUCUUGAAUGGAAAUUUUUCUUGCAAUAUGCCUAACUGAACUGUCGGCAUUGAUCCCCUUGUGAAAAGAAAUACAGUAUUCUUAGAUCUUUCUUACAAUUAGAUCCAGCAGUUCUUGUCCAUAUAGAGACUUCGUCUCGGGAUCUUUUUUCAUCAAUUUGUCCCAAAAAUUAAUACGAAAGGUUCUAUAUAAACAAGGAAUUUGUUCCUCUGUGAAUCCCAUUUCUGGGGUCCAUUUAUGAAUCCAUGGAAUAGAGAAUUCAAUGAAAAAAUAAAUUUGUUCAAUUUUUUCAAUAUAGCAAGUAUGAUAUGCAUGGUAUAGAUCGUUAAGAUCUGGUGAAACCUUAACCCAUUCUUUAUAUAAUUGGAGAAAUGGAUCAAGCAGAAUCUUUGUUGUUGGACCGUGGAAUGACCACCAGUUCAAGAACCAAUUAGGGAUAGAUUCCGCAAAUAUCUUUGUGCAAAUUUUAAUAAACCAAGUAUGCUUAUGUCUCUCAUUAUCAUAGUAUAGGACUUUAUUAAAUGCAUUAAUAUAAUCCCAAUAGGUGAAAUUCAUAGGGACCUUAUUCGACGGAUCGUUCAGUUUUACUCAAGGGGUCUUUACAGGUUUAAUUAAUCCUGGCAAUAGUUAAUGAAAGCUUCUACUAUCUGGGUCCGCCCUACACGCCCACCUGGCUAACGGGUAAUCCAAUGGAUUCUUUCGACAAUCUUUCAUUAACCUGCCUAGAUCUCUUAAGCUUGACCUUAGUAUAACUGUUCAAACUGUCUCAAUUAUAGACAUUAUCGCCAGUUCUUAUAGUAACUUAGUAUGUUAUAGUCCAACACAAAUAAUUUAGCCUAUCAUCUAGGGUUAGUGCAUAUAAAAAGUAAAGAUAUAAAUAAAAAAUAAGAACAGUACCUGGAGUAGAACUCCACACAAGAUGUACCAACCAAGCUGAAGGCUUUUUAUUAUUCAAACUACAAAAGAAUUUACUAAAAGAAAAAUAAUUACAAUACUAGAGAGAGAGAUAGAGAGAGAGGGGGUUUCUAAAACCUUCCUCACUAAAGAAAGUUUCACCUCUUUAUAUAGGGGUCGAGGAAUCUAAAGCGAUACGAUAAGGUGGCCCACGCAAUUUACAAUGGCCAAUAAUGAAAGGAUAAGACCAACAAAUAGGCGUGGCCUUUCCAUUACAACAUAUAUGGCCGACAUAUUAUUCUGGCCUACUAAUCUUCUUUAUUAAAGUCUUUUGGCUUAGUACCCCAAUUAUUCUGAUUUUUGUGGGGCCUUAUUUUAUAUCUUAUCUUUCCCUUGCAAGUGGCUUUGUCGGAAGAUUCUUCCACUUGCUCUUGAAAUUUUUUGAGAAGAACAUCAAUAUUAAUUUCCUUAUUGCUAUUAUCACUCUGGGCUUCUCCCGCCAUGCAUGUUUCAACAUCAUUAUUUGUGUGGUUUGCUGACGCCAUAGAAAUAUCAUCCCUAAUAUAUAUAUCGAUAUUUUUUAUUAAAUUUCUUUUCACUUCUUCCAUGUACAUGGCUAUUGCCUCUGAUUUAGAUAUUAUGCCUUUCUUCAUUUGAAGUUUUCUGGUGAUUUGUUUGAAAGGACUGAGAUCAUCUCCUUGUGGUUUUAACCGAUCUGUAUUAUGAUAUUUGUCGAUCGUCUCAUUUAUUAAGUCCAAAAUUUCUGACCAUGAAUUUUACCUUCAAGGUCUUUUUGUAUCAACUUGUUCCAAAACUUUGUGUAAAAAGUUCGUUGUAGACAUGGGAACUCUUCAUAAGUGUUAUUAACUUCUACGGACCAUUUCAUAAUCCAGGGGAUUGAGAAUUCUAUGAAGAAAUACAUCAACCUCAAAAAAGACGUUAUUUUGUUCUAAACUUAUAAGUUUAGGGGAUAUGUCUACCUAUUCAGAAUAUAAUAUCUGGUAGGGUUCUGGUAGAAUUUUUAUUGAGGGGCCAUAUAAAGUCCACCAUUUACAAAACCAAUUCCGAACUGGUUGGUCGAAUACAUGAGAACAUAUUUUUAUGAACCAUGAAUGCUUUUUAUUAGCAUUUUCAUAUAAUAGGGCUUUAUUAAAGCUGUCCACAUAAUCCCAGUAAUUAUAUUUUACUGCGAUCUUUUGUUCUGGGUGGAUAUAAUCCCUUUCUUUUAAGGGGCUCAUUCCCCAUUCUUCUGGAGUUAAAAUCCUUUUUAUAAUAAUCUAAUAAAAGUUAUAAACCUUUCUUGUAUUGGCUGGGUAAAAAUGCUGAAAUUCACCCGUCCUUGUCGCUAAAAGUAUCAUCUCAUAAUACAUCCUGUAUUUAUAAGCAGGUGUACUAUAACAAACUGAAUCCAGAUACAUGGACAUUAACUGCCAUGGGUCAUUUUUCCAUCGCAAAUCACUGUAUUCUAAGAGAAGUAUGACUUCUUCUUUUUAUCAUUUUGAUCGAAUACUUUUGUGCUAUCUUCGUCUAUGAGAACCGUGGAAUAAGUUGGAGGAGUAUCAUCCUUUUUCUGCUUGGAUUGCAUAAAAUCCAAAAAUUCCUUAUACAUAGGAUGGUCUGUAUUAAGACUACUUGUAGAAGCACUAUUUAUCAAUUGCUUGUUUCCUAUUUGAGCGAGGAUAUGACCUCUUUUUCCAGCUCAUGUCCUUCCUCUUCCCCUCAUUGAGGGCGGAGGCCAUGAAGGUCUCAUCCUGAAAAGAAAAUAAAGAUUAGUCCAAGUAUUCUCUUGUAAGAAAAUCAGGCAAACUAUUAUCGGACCCUUUUUUAUAAUGAAUGUCGAAAUCAAAAGGCGCUAAUAGAGAUUGCCAUUUAGCAAACAUCUAUUUAGAAAUAUCAUGCUUACAAUCUUUAUUAAACAUAAAUUUAGCCGCUCGACAAUCGGUUUUUAUUAAAAAAAAUUGUUAUAAAGAUCACCUUGGAACUUUAAAACACUCUUAACUAUGGCCAAAAUCUCUUUUGCAGCAAUGGCAUAAUUUUUCUGGGCAUCAUUCUAUUUACCCGAAUAAAAUUGAAUAAUGUAAUGCUGCUUAUUAUCAGGACAAUAUUGUGUCAGGAUACCACUGUAUCCUAUAUCUGAGUCAUAUGUCUCAACCGUCUUCUCCCAAUUUGGGUUGGCAAGAGUAAGACAAGGAAGGUUUUUCACCUUUGUCUUAAUCCUUUUUACUGCUUCAGUAUGAUCAUCGGACCAGGCCUUAGGAUUAUUGUUUAGCCUGUCACAUAAAAUAGCAGUAUCCUUGGCUAAAUCCUUUAUGAAAGGAGCAACAUAGUUGAAACUUCCAAGAAGUCUAUGUAGCUAUGUUUUAUUAGUCAUAAUAUUAGGGAACUUGGAUGCAAAUUCAAUGCUUCUAUUAAUAGGGCUAAUAUUACCCCUUUCAAUAUUAUGAUCCAAAAAUCUGACAUUUGUUUGAAACAAAGCCAUUUUGGGGAAGGAUAUUACCAUGCCAUUUUGAAAUAAUUUUUUUAAACAAAUCAAGAUGUUUAAAAUGAGUUUCCACAUUUUUGGAAAAUACAAGAAUAUCAUCUAUAUAAACUAUUAUGAAAUUACUGUAACGCAGAAAAAUAUCAUUCAUAAUUUUUUAAUAUUCUGAUGGAGCGUUCUUUAAACCAAAAGGCAUAACAUUCCAUUCAUAUUGACCCAUAGGGACAUUAAAAGCAGUUUUAAACCUGUCUGACUCAGCUAUAUGAAUCUGCCAAUAACCUGAUUUGAAAUCAAAUUUUGAAAAAUAUAAUUGCAUCAUAAACUCUAUCCAAAAGAUCCUUUUUAUUGGGGAUAGGAUACCUAAUCCAUUUUAAAGCUUUGUUAGUUCAACACAUCGUUUCUCUAUGCAUAUGAUAAAUAGGUUUAAAUUUAUUACCAACUAGGGAGCACCUCUUUCUUGCUCAGCAUGUUUAUUAACAUAAAAGGCUGUACAAGAACAUGGAGACUUAGAAUGCCUUAUAAGGCCUUUCUGAAGUAAGGAGUCAAUUUCCUUUUUGCAUAAUUCCAGAUAAUUGGAAUUCAUCUGGCAGGGUCUUGCUUUCGUAGGAAUAUUAUCCUCAAUAAAGCUAUCUUUAUAUGGAAGGCUAACAACAUGUUUUUUCCUGUUCCAGAAAACAUUUGGAUGAUCUCCACAGAUAUCAAGGGAGAAAUGAUUCUUUAAAAUAACAAUCUUAUCCUGUAAUUUAGGAUUUUGAAGAAUAUUAUCAAUCUCAAAACUAUUAAUUUCUCCUUUGAAAAAACUAACUUGAUUAUUUUUUUAAAUCAAUCCUGAAUAAAGUUCAUUUAUCAUUCUUGUAAAAGGUUUCGUAAUGAAUUCUAACAUAAAAGGUUUUUCAUUCCAAGUAUCAAUAAUUUUUUUAUUAUCCCAAUAAGUAAGGGGGGAAAUCUCAUUUAUAAAUGGUACUCCUAAAAUGAUGUGGUUAGUAAUAUCCUUUACUAAAACAAAAUUUUGAGGAGUACAGUUUUUCCCUUUACAUAUAAAAGCUUUGGGCAAUUUAUAUUCAAUUCCCAUUUUGCUACCAUUUGCAGACCUGAGGCUAUGAGUAGUUUUAUGAAAAUACCUAGAAGGAAUAAGUCCUUCUUGAAUGCAAUUUAAAUCAGCAGCACUGUCUAUAAGAGUAGUAAAUUCUUUUUUGUAAUUAUAAUCUAUAAGAAGAGUAACUUUUGUAUAAAACUUUUGGGAAGUAAAAACUUUCAAGCUUUGUAGAAAAUCUUCUUUCUUAUUACCAAAAUUAAGAGUUUUUAGAAAAUCAAAAUCUCUACUACCUUUAGAGCCUGCUUUAGGUAUAUCCAAAGCGAACUGUUCACAAAGCUCUCCCAAUUGUUGUCUUUCAUUAAGAUGAUGAUUUUAAUCUGUUGAUUCAACUUGGUUUCAUUGCAUAAAGAAAGUCCUUAUUGUACGCAGGCACUUAUAAGUUUUCAAUAGGUAUAAUCAUCAUAGUUAAUACUAUGGCUUUCUCCUCUAAGAGUUUUCCUAACUCUUUAUGCAAAAAGAGCAGGUAAUCCAUCUAUAAACUUGGAUUUCCAAUGGGUGCUAUUACACUCCGGUAGCUCCAUAAAUCUGCUAAGGAAGACAUCUUUAUAGAACCUAAAAGACGUGAGAGUCUUGCACCGAAGGUUUUGGAGAAAGGUUCAUAUGGUUUCGCUAUUGUCUAACCAUCUUCCUGAGAAAUGUUCAAUAAUAUUUAGAACAAGAAUAUAGACAACAUUUUGGGUAAAAUCUUGUUCUCCUUCUUGCUUAACUGCUGGGAGGAUUUUGUCCCUUUGCUCUUGGUUGAGAUAGUUAUCCCACCAACCCUUUAGUUGGCCAGUAAACCCUGUUGUUAUCAUAUCAGCAAUAGUUUUGUCACUAUUUUUGUUAGCCUUACAAAUAGUGUUGUACAUGAGCAUUCUAUGUACAGUUGUAUAAAUUUGUCUAUCUGUAUAACUAUCUAUGUUCUAUUCAUAGAUUUCCUUCCCAUUAUAACUAUUAGUUAUAAUAUGUUCAUGCUCUUCUAGGAGGACAUCCUGAGGAGUUGGUCUAGGAUAGUAGUACAUCUUUUGUACCGGCUUUCUUGCAUAUUUUUCUGAGAUUUUAUUAAUACCAUAAGAAAAUUCUUGUUUAUGACUGCUUUUUCCUUCUGAAAGGUUAUUAACCUUUGAAGGCUUUAAAUUUCCGCUUGUAAACCUUGUUUCUAAGAAUUUCUCAAGAUUUGAAAAGUCUUUUAUUUUGAAAUCAUACUGGUGUUGGCUACUUUCUCUUUUCCUUUAUUAUUGGAAUUGAGUUUAGAAAGUAGUUUAUCAACAUUAUCAUGAAGAGAAGUGAUUUGUUCCCCCAAAAUGCUUGUAUAAAUGUUAGCAUAAUUAUGUUGCUUAAUCAUGACAUUAAUAUGCUAGGUAAUUACCAUAGCAGUAUUAUCUUCAAAUAAUUUUGAAAAAGCAUUAAAAUAAACAACCUUAUCAUCUUUUUGAAUUUAAAAGGAUUGUAAAGGAGGAAAAACAGAUUUCGUAACUUCUCCGGUACUUAAAGUAAAAUCUCUUUCUAUCAUAGAGAUAUAAUUAUGAACUUGCUUGGCCAUAAACCAAGGAACAAAAGCAAUUAAAACAUUUUGCUUAGAAUCAAUAACAUUAGUAUAAAAUUCUUCUUGUCAACCCCUUUGUUCUUCUCUAUUAAAAUUUUUAAAGAAACAUUUUCGGAAAGGUUUCUAUCUAGAUUUCUGAAAUUCUUUCAAAAUCUUUUCUCUUGCCGGUGAACCUAGACUAAAAUCAAUUAUUUGAUAUUCAUUCAUCAUAAAACAAUUUCUAGGUAGAGAUUCCAUCUGGAAAAUUCAUUUUAGACUCAGUUAUAUCUAAAUUUGAACUAGGCCUAGGCAUAGGUCUAACAAUAUUAUCUCUAUCGAUUUUAAUAUUAUCACAUCUAUAAUUUUCUCUAAUCUGAGAAGUAGAUGCUCUAGAAGGAACUUGUACAAUAUAAUCAACAGGAGAAAUAUAAGAAGAGUUAGUUCUGGAAGACAUGCUAUGAUUAUUAAUUCUAUUAUGCAGAGCUGUAGAGUCAGAAAACUUGAUUUUAACAGUUUCAUCAUUAAACUGCUCAAUUUUUGAAAUCUCAUUAUUAGUAUUAUCUUUAGGUUGUGCUGCUCCUUCAAUAACCCACUCUUGUGGGAAAUCAAUGUCAUCCUACUGAAUAGGUCUUCUGGUAACAACCUUAGAUUUACCAAAAUUGGUUUCUAUAAGAAUAGUUUCAUAUUUAAAAUCAAUCAUCUUACACAUAGGAUUCAAAGUAUGUAAGAGUUUAUAAUAAAUUCUGUGGCAUAUGCAAACAACUUCAGUUCCAAGCACAUAAUCAUAACCAUGAAGUUUAACAUUAAGCAUAAGAGAACUUAAUGAAUUCUCAUCCUGCAAAGAUAUUUGUAAAUUAGGAUAGGCACUAAAAUAAACGGUCCGUAAGCAAGACUAGUAUGUAUCGUCCCUAUAAGGGAUUUUUUCCAAUUCUGAUUUCUACAAUCUGUAAAAGAUGCUAUAAAGCUUUCUGGUAGGCCUCUUAAGGUGAGGGGUUUAAAUGCCACCUGAACCAAGCCGAUAUGAUUAAACCUGUAAAUAUCCCUAUAAGAGGAUAAGUCAUUUUUAGAUAAUAAUCUAAAAGUUUGAUGAUCAUUAUCAAUAGUGAUAGUUUCUUCAGUAGUUUUGACCACUUGUUUAAGACCAAGUUUCUCAAAGUUCCCAUCUGGUAUAUAAUCCUAGGAGGUAUUUUCGGAAUAGUCCACUUAUUAAGUAUAUCAAGAUGUUGUGGUAUAUCAUAUUCUUCUUUUCUAUUAUUUUUAACAGUAGAUCUCCUCUUUAUCAUAUGCAAAGAGAAACGAUGUGUUGAACUAUACCACCUAUAGUUACUAAAAGUCUAUGACUCUGAUACCGAAAUUUCGACCGAUCAUUCAGUUUUACUCAAGGGGCCUUUACAGGCUUAAUUUAUCCUGACAAUAGUUAAUGAAAGCUUCUACUAUCCGGGUUCGCCCUACACGCCUACCUGGCUAACGGGUAAUCUAACGGAUUCCUUCGACAGCCUUUCAUUAACUUGCUUGGAUCUCUUAAGCUUGACCCUAGUAUAACUGUUCAAACUGUCUCAAUUAUAGACAUUAUUGCAAGUUCUUAUAGUAACUUAGUAUGUUAUAGUCCAACACAAAUAAUUUAGCCUAUCAUCUAGGCUUAGUGCAUAUAAAAAGUAAAUAUAUAAAUCAAAAAUAAGAAUAUUACGUAGAGUAGAACUCCACACAAGAUGAUGUACCAACCAAGCUGAAGGCUUUUUAUUAUUCAAACUCAAAAGAUUUACAGAAGAAAAUAUUACAAUACUAGAGAGAGAGAUAGAGAGAGGGGGGGUUUCUAAAAUCUGCCUCACUAAAGAAAGUUUUGCCUCUUUAUAUAGAGGUCGAGGAAUCUAACGUGAUAAGAUAAGGUGGCCCACACAAUUUACAAUGGCCAAUAAUGAAAGGAUAAGACCGACAAACAUGCGUGGCCUUUCCAUUACAACAUAUAUGGCCGACAUAUUAUUUUGGCCUACUAAUCUUCUAUAUUAAAGUCUUUUGGCUUAUUACCCCAAUUAUUUUGAUUUUUCUGGGGACUUCUUUUACAUCUUAUCUUUUCCCUUGCAGGUGGCUUUGUCGGAAGAUUCUUCUACUUGCUCUUGGAAUUUUUUGAGAAGAGCAUCAAUAUCAAUUUCCUCAUUGCUAUUAUCACUCUAGGCUUCUCCCGCCAUACAUGCUUCAUCUUCAUUAUUGGUGUGGCUUGUUGACGCCAUAGAAAUAUCAUCCCUAAUAUCUAUAUCGAGAUUUUUUAUUAAAUCUAUUUUCACUUCUUCCAUGUACAUGGCUAUUGCCUCUGAUUUAGAUAUUAUGCAUUUCUUCAUUUGAUGUUUUCUGGUGAUUUGUUUGAAAGGAUUGAGAUCAUCUCCUUGUGGUUUUAAUCGAUCUAUAUUAUGAUAUUUGUCGAUCGUCUCAUUUAUUAAGUCUAAAAUUUCUUGACCAUGAAUUUUACCUUCAAGGUCUUUUCAUAUCAAAUUGUUCCAAAAUUUGUAUAAAAAGUUCAUUGUAGACAUUGGAACUCUUCAGAAGUAUUAUUAACUCCCAAUAAGUAAGGGGGAAAAUCUCAUUUAUAAAAGGUACUCCUAAAAUUAUUUGGUUAGUAAUAUCUUUUACUAAAACAAAACUUUGAGGAAUCCAGUUUUUCCCUUUACAUAUAAAAGCUUUGGGCAAUUUAUAUUCAAUUCCCAUUUUGCUACCAUUUGCAAACCUGAAGUUAUGAGUAGUUUUAUGAAAAUACCUAGAAAGAGUAAGUCCUUCUUGAAUGCACUUUAAAUCAGCAGCACUGUCUAUAAGAGCAGUAAAUUCUUUUUUGUAAUUAUAAUCUAUAAGAAGAGUAAUUUUUGUAUAAAACUUUUGGGAAGUAAAAACUUUCAGGCUUUGUAGAAAAUGUUCUUUCUUAUUACCAAAAUUAAGACUUUUUAGAAAAUCAAGAUCUCAACUACCUUCUUCAUAAGAAGAUGAUUCAGAGCUACUACCCAACUCUUUUAGACUUUUGAUAUUAUCGAGUCUAAUCUCCAUAGAGAAAUUCUUUUCUUUUAACUGUUGAAUGUCUUCUUUGAGAUUAUUAAUCUCAUGUUUUAGAUCAUUGAUAGUAAUAGGAGAACUUAUAAGUUUCCUUCUUUCUAACAGAAGAUUCUUAACCUCUGUCAUGGUGUAUGAACCUUCUUUGGUGGGGAUCUCGUCUGUGAUAAGAUUCUUAGAAAUGGAAGUAUUACUGAUUUUAUCACUAAUCUGAGCUCUUUUUUCCGGAUCUUUUACAAUUUGUAAGAGCUCUAUGACUUUGUCAUUAUCAAUGACAUUAAUGCUUGAUUCUUUGAACUGGGUAUAGAUCUUAUAAAGAUCAUCUUCAUCUUCUUCCUUUUCACAUUCUAACCCUUGUUGACAAGGUAGACAAUCAUCAUCCGAUGUUAUAUAAUCUUCUUGGUGAAGAGCUUUGAGAUCUUCACUAGUAGAGGACUCCUCGUGACUACUAAUUCAGUCUCGGAUUUUCCUGAAUCAUAAUUUAGCAUGAUUUUGCAAAGAGAUUCUUAGAUAUUAUCAUCAAUAUCAAGGGUUUUGAUCUUUUCCUUGACUCUGCAAUCCUUAGCAUAUUGACCAAAUCUUCCACACUUGUGGCAAGUAUCUGACUUGUCAAACUUUCAUUUAGAUUUAUAAAAUCUUUUCUUUUCUUUAUGAGUCUCUGCUCUUCUUUCUUUCUUUUCAAUUCUCCUUUUCUUCCAUUCCUUAUAAUCCUUUCUGGAAGAUUUAUUCUUGGAAGAAUGCUUUGAAUGCUUCUUAUCUUUGGAGCAUUCUUUAGGUAUAUCCAAAGCGAACUGUUCACAAAACUCUCCUAAUUGUUGUCUUUCAUUAAGACGAUGUCUUUUAAUCUGUUGAUUCAACUUGAUUUCAUUGCAUAAAGAAAGUCCUUCUUGUACGCAGACAUUUAUAAGUUUUCCAUAGGUAUAAUCAUCAUAGUUGAUACUAUGGCUUUCUCCUCUAAGAUUUUUCCUAACUCUUUCUGUGAAAAGAGCUGGUAAUACAUCUAUAAAUUUGGAUUUCUAAUGGGUGCUAUUACACUCUGGUAGCUCCAUAACUCUGCUAAGGAAGACGUCUUUAUAGAACCUAAAAGACGUAACCUAAGGUUUUGGAGCAAAGUUCUCAUGGUCUCGCUAUUAUCUGACCAUCUUCCUGAGAAAUGUUCUAUAAUAUUUAGAACAAGAGUAUAGACAACAUUUUGGGUACAAUCCUGUUCUUCUUCUUACUUAACUGCCUGGAGGAUUUUGUCCCUUUGCUCUUGGUUGAGAUAGUUAUCCCACCAGCCCUUUAGUUGGCCAGUAAACCCUGUUGUUAUCAUAUCAGCAAUAGUUUUAUCACUAUUNNNNNNNNNNNNNNNNNNNNNNNNNNNNNNNNNNNNNNNNNNNNNNNNNNNNNNNNNNNNCUAUCUGUAUAACCAUCUAUGUUCCAUUCAUAGAUUUAUUUCCCAUUAUAACUAUUAGUUAUAAUAUGUUCAUGCUCUUCUAGGAGCAAAUCCUGAGGAGUCGGUCUAGGAUAGUAGUACAUCCUUUGGACCGGCUUUCUUGCAUAUUUUUCUGAGGUUUUAUUAAUACCAUAAGAAAAUUCUUGUUUAUGACUGCUUUUUCCUUCUAAAAGGUUAUUAACCUUCAAGGGCUAUAAAUUUCCGCCUUUAAACCUUUUUUCUAAGAACUUCUCAAGAUCUGAAAAGUCUUUUAUUUUGAAAUCAUCGAUUUCUGGUGGAGGUUAGAUACUGGUGUUGGCUACUUUCUCUUUUCCUUUAUUAUUGGAAUUGAGUUUAGAAAGUAGUUUAUCAACAUUAUCAUGAAGUGAAGUGAUCUGUUCCCCUAAAAUGCUCAUAUAAGUGUUAGCAUAAUUUUGCUGCUUAAUCAUGACAUUAAUAUGCUGGGUAGUCACUAGAGCAGUAUUAUCUUCAAAUAAUUUUGAAAAAGCAUUAAAAUAAAAAAUCUUAUCAUCUUUUUGAAUUUGAAAGGAUUGUAAAGGAGGAAAGACAUAUUUCGUAACUUCUCUAGUACUUAAAGUAAAAUCUCUUUCUAUCAUAGAGAUACAAUUAUGAACAUGUUUGGCCAUAAACUAUGGAACAAAAGCAAUUAAAACAUUUUUCUUAGUAUUUUAAUAUGUUUUUGGAUAAUUUGUGUCUAAGGCCAUGGUUCACUUAUUUUUUAAUUGUUGAACUUUUAUUAUUCUUAAGCCGGAUGCAUAACUGCAUUAUCGAUCUUGACAUUUUAGAGACAUAACUGUCUUCUUUGCAUCACACUUAAUGACCUUUUUUUUUUUUAUAAGUCAUUAUCUUAAAUUAAUAAAAAACUAAUUAUAUUUUUGGACAAGGUGCGUCACCGCAUCCUUGAGUUUAUUUUAAUGUCUCAAAAAAGAUGCGCAACCGCAUUCUUAAUUGAAACAAACAUUUUUAACGUGCAUAAAACUCAUCUAGUAUUAAANNNNNNNNNNNNNNNNNNNNNNNNNNNNNNNNNNNNNNNNNNNNNNNNNNNNNNNNNNNNNNNNNNNNNNNNNNNNNNNNNNNNNNNNNNNNNNNNNNNNNNNNNNNNNNNNNNNNNNNNNNNNNNNNNNNNNNNNNNNNNNNNNNNNNNNNNNNNNNNNNNNNNNNNNNNNNNNNNNNNNNNNNNNNNNNNNNNNNNNNNNNNNNNNNNNNNNNNNNNNNNNNNNNNNNNNNNNNNNNNNNNNNNNNNNNNNNNNNNNNNNNNNNNNNNNNNNNNNNNNNNNNNNNNNNNNNNNNNNNNNNNNNNNNNNNNNNNNNNNNNNNNNNNNNNNNNNNNNNNNNNNNNNNNNNNNNNNNNNNNNNNNNNNNNNNNNNNNNNNNNNNNNNNNNNNNNNNNNNNNNNNNNNNNNNNNNNNNNNNNNNNNNNNNNNNNNNNNNNNNNNNNNNNNNNNNNNNNNNNNNNNNNNNNNNNNNNNNNNNNNNNNNNNNNNNNNNNNNNNNNNNNNNNNNNNNNNNNNNNNNNNNNNNNNNNNNNNNNNNNNNNNNNNNNNNNNNNNNNNNNNNNNNNNNNNNNNNNNNNNNNNNNNNNNNNNNNNNNNNNNNNNNNNNNNNNNNNNNNNNNNNNNNNNNNNNNNNNNNNNNNNNNNNNNNNNNNNNNNNNNNNNNNNNNNCAUGAAUAAAUUAAAUAAGAAGAUAAAGUAAAGUUGAAUACCGCAAAAUCUUAACCGAAGCUCGAUUAGAACACCCACAACUUUUGUAGGUUGUUUGUGAUGGUAUAUGUGUUUGUGUUGAUAUGGAAAAAAAAUGGGUAAGGAAGAAAAGAUGUGAAUGUAUGAUUAUAGUGAUGUUUUUUUUCUCUUUGUGUUUUCUGAUUUCUGUCCGUUUUUCUUCUUUUCUUUUUUUGUAUGUUGGUCAGUCUGUUAAUAUAUAUAGGGUGUGUGGUACGUAUAGGGAGUAUGUAGUCCGUGUGUAUGGAUGAAGUGGUGUAGUAUAUGUGUUUCUGGUUGAGGGAGUUGAGUGGAGUAUAUAUUUUAGUAUAAUGGGGAUAAUGUAGGUAAGGGUGGGGUAAUUGGUAGAGAAAGUGGGAGUGAGGGUAAGUUAUUAUUAUUUAGUUAUUUUUAAUAAUAUAAUAUAAUAUAAAUAUUAUUUAAUUAUAUUUUAAACUAACAAAAAUUGUAUAGCUAAUAAUAAAUUAUAAUUAAGAAAUAUUAGCUUAUUUAUUAAACUAAAAUUAAAAUAAACAUAUAUUUUGUAUUUUUAAAUCUUUUAAAAUAAACAUACUAAAAUAAGACCAAAAAAACAAAAUAUCUAACUUAGACAUAAAAGAAAUAUUUAAGAAAUAAAAAUAUUAUAAAAUUUUAUGUUUGAUCGAAAAUUACGUGUCUACAUUCCCCCAAAAUGCUCAUAUAAAUGUUAGAAUAAUUAUGCUGCUUAAUUAUGACAUUAAUAUGUUGGGUAGUUACCAAAGUAGUAUUAUCUUCAAAUAAUUUUGAAAAAGCACUAAAAUAAACAACCUUAUCAUCUUUUUGAAUUUAAAAGGAUUGUAAAGGAGGAAAAACAGAUUUCGUAACUUCUCCAGUACUUAAAGUAAAAUCUCUUUCUAUCAUAGAGAUAUAAUUAUGAACAUGCUUGGCCAUAAACCAAGGAACAAAAGCAAUUAAAACAUUUUGCUUAGAAUCAAUAAGAUUAGUAUAAAAUUCUUCCUGAAAACCCCUUUGUUCUUCUCUAUUAAUUUUUUUAAAGAACCAUUUUCGAAAAGGUUUCCAUCUAGAUUUCUGAAAUUCUUUCGAAAUCUUUUCUCUUGCUGGUGAAACCGGACUAAAAUCAAUUAUUUGAUUUUCAUUCAUCAUAAAACAAUUUCUAGGUAGAGAUUUCAUCUAAAAAAAUUCAUUUUAGACUCAGUUAUAUCUAAAUCUAAGCUAGGCCUAGGCAUAGGUCUAGCAAAAUUAUCUCUAUCGAUUUUAAUAUUAUCACUUCUAUAAUUUUCUCUAAUCUGAGAAGUAGAUGCUCUAGAAGGAACUUGUACAAUAUAAUCAACAGGAGAAAUAUAAGAAGAGUUAGUUCUGGAAGACAUGCUAUGAUUAUUAAUUCUAUUAUGCAGAGCUGAAGAGUCAGAAAACUUGAUUUUAACAGUUUCAUCAUUAAAUUGCUCAAUUUCUGAAAUCUCAUUAUUAGUAUUAUCUUUAGGUUGUGCUGCUCCUUCAAUAACCCACCAUCCCACUGAAUAGGUCUUCUGGUAACAACCUAGAUUUACCAAAAUUGGUUUCUAUAAGAAUAGUUUCAUUUUUAAAAUCAAUCAUCUUACACAUAGGAUUCAAAGUAUGUAAGAGUUUAUAAUAAAUUCUGUAGCAUAUGCAAACAACUUCAGUUCCAGGCACAUAAUCAUAACCAUGAAGUUUAACAUUAAGCAUAAGAGAACUUAAUGAAUUCUCAUCCUGCAAAGAUAUUUGUAAAUUAGGAUAGGCAUUAAAAUAAACGAUCCGUAAGCAAGACUAGUAUGUAUCGUCCCUAUAAGGGAUUUUUUCCAAUUCUGAUUUCUACCAUCUCUAAAAGAUGUUGUGGUAUAUCAUAUUCUUCUUUUCUACUAUUUUUAAUAGUAGAUCUCCUCUUUAUCAUAUGCAUAGAGAAACGAUGUGUUGAACUAUACGACCUAUACUUACUAAAAGUCCAUGGUUCUGAUACCAAAAUUUCGACCGAUCAUUCAGUUUUACUCAAGGGGCCUUUACAGACUUAAUUAAUCUUGGCAAUAGUUAAUGAAAGCUUCUACUAUCCGGGUUUGCCCUACAUGCCCACCUAGCUAACGGGUAAUCCUACGGAUUCCUUCGACAACCUUUCAUUAACCUGUCUGGAUCUCUUAAGCUUGACCUUAGUAUAACUGUUCAAACUGUCUCAAUUAUAGAUAUUAUCGCCAGUUCUUAUAGUAACUUAGUAUGUUAUAGUCCAACACAAAUAAUUUAGCCUAUCAUCUAGGCUUAGUGCAUAUAAAAAGUAAAGAUAUAAAUCGCAAAUAAGAACAGUACCUGGAGUAGAACUCCACACAAGAUGAUGUACCAACCAAGUUGAAGGCUUUUUAUUAUUCAAACUCAAAAGAUUUAUAGGAGAAAAUAUUACAAUACUAGAGAAAGAGAUAGAGAGAAAGGAGGUUUCUAAAACUUGCUUCACUAAAGAUAGCUUCGCCUCUUUAUAUAGAGGUCGAGGAAUCUAAAGCGAUAAGAUAAGGUGGCCCACGCAAUUUACAAUGGCCAAUAAUGAAAGGAUAAGACUGACAAACAAGCGUGGCCUUUCCAUUACAACAUAUAUGGCCGACAUAUUAUUCUGGCCUACUAAUCUUCUUUAUUUAAGACUUUUGGCUUAUUACCCCAAUUAUUCUAAUUUUUGUGGGGCCUUCUUUUACAUCUUAUCUUUUCCCUUGCAGGUGGCUUUGUUGGAAGAUUCUUCCACUUGCUUUGGAAUUUUUUGAGAAGAGCAUCAAUAUCAAUUUCCUCAUUGCUAUUAUCACUCUGGGCUUUUCCCGCUAUAGAUGCUUCAUCAUCAUUAUUGGUUUGUCUUGCUGACGCCAUAGAAAUAUCAUCCAUAAUAUCUAUAUCGAGAUUUUUUAUUAAAUCUCUUUUCAUUUCUUCCAAUUUCUUUUGGUCUGGUUAUCUGGAUUAGUCCAGAGUUUGUGAAGAAUACCGUGAUCAGGAUUGAAAGUAUCACCUGUCUUAAGCAUCGUGAUCUUCAUCGCGUAGAAGAUCGUGUUAGUCCAGUCCUUCGACUUAAGCAUUGUUGAUCUUCAAGGACACGAGUUGAAGGACUGGACUAACACGAUCUCCUACGCGAUGAAGAUCACGAUGCUUAAGACAAGUGAUACUUUCAAUCCUGAUCACAGUAUUCUUCACAAACUCAGGACUCAUCCAGAUAACCAGACCAAAAGAAAUUGGUAUGUUGCUAACUAUGCUCUUAACCAAAGAGAAGCCUUCAGAGAUUUAUGGAUGGCUAACAUGGAAAGAAUCGGUUGUGAGAUCGAAUUCUUCAAAUGGUUUGAAAUGACAGAAAAGAUUGAAAAUCAAAUUGAGUCACUUCAAAUGAUCAUCAACAAAUGGUAUACAACUUCCAACAAGGUAGUGGAAUUUGUUACUCCUCAUCUUGAAGGACUUAAUAUCCCUGUUGCAGGAACCAUCAUUAAGGCCUCUCCUUUCAAAGAAAAGUGUGAUAAGUCUUCCUCAUUUGUCACCCCAGCUAACAUUGACCGAGUAGUAGAACAAAACAACUACUCUAACCAAAUUCUUCAUGUCAUCUCCAGACAAAUAGAAGAGUCCAAACCAUCCAUUAGUAGGAGACCUACUCCAUCUUCUACUUUAUCCAGCCAGAACAUUAAAACUAAUCCAGGUUUCAAACUCAUAGAAUUCUCCAGAGAUAAAUUCCCUAAAUUCAAAGAUACCUUUGAAAUUUCAGGAAACAUCCUUGACAAGAUCAAUGAACAACUAACCAACUUCAAUAUUUCCACCAAAGAUGGAACUACCCAAAAGAAAUUUUCCACCCUUCAGGAGAAAUCCAAUCUCUAUUGCAGAGCAUCAGAUUUACAACAAGCUCCAUGAAAUGGAAGUCUCUAUUGCAGCCUAUAAGGUAAUGAACUCUACUGAUAGAGAAGCUGCUAUUUUAAUCGCUGCAGGUUUCACUGGUAUGUUGAAACAUUGGUGGGAUAACUACUGCAAUGAUGAGACCAAGCAUCUCAUUUAUAAUGCAACGACGACUGAAACAGAUGUCAAAACUGAAGGAACCACUGAGACUACUUCACAAGUUAAUAGAGAAAAUGCUUGUGCUACACUUCUCUAUCAUAUUGCUAAGCAUUUCAUUGGCAAGUCCAAACUCUUUCAAGAUAGGAGUCUCCAAAUCCUGAACAACCUCAGUUGUCCUUCACUUGAUCAUUUCAUUAGAUAUAAACAUCCUUUCCUCAGUAAGGUUAUGAUCCGUCCAGAUUGCAAUUUGGAUUUCUGGAAAGAACGCUUUAUAAGCGGUCUUCCUCCUCUCUUUGCUGACAAAGUCAGAACUAAAAUUCAGUAUCACAACGAUGGCCGAAUUCCUUACAGUUAAUUGACCUAUGGAAACCUCGUCAGCACCAUCAACAUUGUAGGGCUUGAACUCUGCACAGAUAUAAAACUUAAGCAUCAACUUAAAAAAGAACAAUCUACUUCUAAAAGAGAAUUGGGAAGUUUUUGUCAAGACUUCGAUUUUAUUACUCCUCAUGAUCGAGUAAAGAAAGAUAAGAAAGACAAGAAGUCUUACAGAACUAGAUCUUGAAGACGAGAUUCUACUAAGCCCAGGAAGAAGAAAUCCAGGUCCAAGAGACCUAGAGAUGCCAAAAAAGAUAUUUGUUGGACGUGUGGCAAGACAGGUCACAAAUCUAGCGAAUGUAGAUCCAACACCAAGAAGAAGAAGAUCAACCUCUUUGGCAUCGAUGAAGAUACCAAGGGUAAACUCCUUUCUAUCCUUGAUGAACCUUUUUCUGACUCUUCUCAUUCUUUUGAUGAAUACAAAGAUGAUGAAGACAUAAAUCUUGAUUAUGAAUCAGAUAACAGCCAAUCUGGCAAGAAUUGAAAUUGUACUGAAACUUUUUGUACCUGCGACAGUACUCCCCAAAACAUCAGAGUUCUUUUUGAUAAUUCUAAAAAAGCUCUUUUCGAUGUCAUUCAGUACAUCAAUAAUGAAGAACCCAAAAACAUUUUCUUCUUGAACUUAAACAUCUUAUUCUCAACACUGAUAAGCCAAAUCCCCGGUCAGUGAUUGAACCAUUCAGCAUGAAACAAAUCAUGAAUCUCGCAGACAAUCAGUCUGAACCUUCUAUUUCUGAUCUUCGCCAUAAGGUGUCAAAUCUCAAAGAAGAAAUUUGAAAAAUCAAAUCUCGACUUGGAAAAUUUGAAACGGAUAUCCUCACCGACCAGGUACUCAAGAAGGCCUUUUUACAAGAAUCCGAUUCUGACCACGAAUCUUCUCAAGGUAAUGACGACGAUUCUAUUAAUAAUGACCAUUUGGCUGAACCUUAUUUCACCCAAACAGGAAAUCACACAUCUACCUCUGUAGCUCCUGGAAUAACUGUCAUUUCUUCGGUUAGACCUCAGAGUCACUAUAUAUCUAUUAGAAUUGUAGUCAAUAAACAUUUUGUUAUUAACAAAAUUGCUUUGCUUGACAGUGGUGCAGAUCGCAACUGCAUUGUGAAAGGUUUUGUUUCAACUAAGUAUUUGUACUCCUCUACAGGAGAACUUUUGAAAAUUAAUUUGUCACGCCCCGAGCCUAUACCCUGGGCGGGACUAGAACUCGAAGACCAUUGUUGGCCGCAAGCGAACCCUUGGCCUGACUUACUUAACUCAGCGAAAGACAAUAUUCAUACUUAUAAUGUUCAAUAACACUUAACUGAAUUGAAAAAUAAAAUAACUGAGAAUGCUUCAAAGAUUAAACAUUCAACUUGGCCAAAAGUGGCAACCCAAGUCUUAACAAUAAGAAAUGAUAAUGAAAAGACUUAAAGGACUAACAUCUGACUGUCUAUGAAGCCUCUAAAACAACUGAGAUGGAUGUUGGGACAACCCCACAACAUCCUAAUGAACUAACUAGAAAGCAAUGAAAAUAGAUCCUCCGAAAUGCAAGGAGGCUCACUGACUAACUCUGAACUGCUCAAUGGAUCAAUUGUGCGCUGGAAUUCCAAUCCUAGUUACCUGUGUCUGCAUCAUAAGACGAUGCAGGCCAACUGGCAUCAAUACAUUGAAUCUACGAGUAUGCGAGUUGGAAUGCUAUAAAAAACAUAGGCUUGAAAGGGAAUCUGAAAGAAACACUUACCAGGCUCUUCUCAACUCAUGAAUACUUAACUGAACUCAUUUCAAUAUAAAGCAAUUUAAAAUAAGUGCAAUAUAAAGAAAAGUUGUUUAAAAACAUUAUGUCAACUAUGUGUAUAUACAAGGAUACAACAUAACUUUGAAAUGUAUGUAAAAAUACAAUAAACUUAUGUAUAAAUAUAUAUACAAUAACUUUUGUGGGAGUUUCUCUAGCCGACAACCAUCACAUAAGAGCUAUAGUGAUGAUACAGCGAUAUACCUCACGCUGCCAANNNNNNNNNNNNNNNNNNNNNNNNNNNNNNNNNNNNNNNNNNNNNNNNNNNNNNNNNNNNNNNNNNNNNNNNNNNNNNNNNNNNNNNNNNNNNNNNNNNNNNNNNNNNNNNNNNNNNNNNNNNNNNNNNNNNNNNNNNNNNNNNNNNNNNNNNNNNNNNNNNNNNNNNNNNNNNNNNNNNNNNNNNNNNNNNNNNNNNNNNNNNNNNNNNNNNNNNNNNNNNNNNNNNNNNNNNNNNNNNNNNNNNNNNNNNNNNNNNNNNNNNNNNNNNNNNNNNNNNNNNNNNNNNNNNNNNNNNNNNNNNNNNNNNNNNNNNNNNNNNNNNNNNNNNNNUUAUUUAAAAAAACAUACUUCUUCUGUGAUUUGAGAUUAGUACUCAAAAAAUUAGCUCAAAGGCUAUCUUAGAAAUCUCAGUUUUCCCUUCUUGCUUCAUUUAGAAACCUAUUACGCUUUUCUGAAAACUAGCUCGAAGGCUCCUUGGAAAUCUCAGUUUCCGUUCUUAUUUUAAAUGUGAAAACAUUUUUAAAUUUCUUUGGGAAUACUUAGUCCCCAUAUACUUUUGAAGAAAUGAACUUCAAACUUUUACUCUUUACUCUUUUACUCUUUUACUCAACUUGAACUUUAAGUCUUAAAACAAAGUUAAAACAUUUGGAAAACUCUAAGAACUUCUCUUGACUUGACUCUUACUGACUUUAAUCUUACCUUUCCUUGAAUUGGAUUAUGGAUUCAAGGUUCAUGAUAUCAUGUUUAUGGAUGAUUUCAUGAUGUUUGGAUGUACCUUAGAGUGUUGAAAUCAAAUGAGAAACAUAGGUACAUUCUUAAGGAACAAGUACAAAAAGGUGGGGAGCGAAUGGGGAGAUCUGGAGUCCCUGGCGCUCUGAGUGGUGCAGGGCGCCAGCCCUCAAUAUUCAGAAACUAGUCUGGGGCGCGCUGGCUGGCGCAGCACCCCAAGGAUGAACAUUCAAAGACUCUUUUGGGGCACACUUGCUGGCGCGACGCCCCACCCCUAUCCCCAGGUGUUUGACGACUUUUCUUCUUCGUUUCUCAACUCUAAACCCUCUAAACUUCAAUGGUUCUUUCCCCAAACACUUAGGAUCAUUUAUACCCUCAAUAUAUGAUAGAUUCAAACCAAAAUUACACUUGGAAACAUGAAUCAAAUCACAAGAAACUUCAACAAAACAACCCACAAGAAUUCAAACGAAUUUCAUCAAGAACUCAAAGGAUUUUACUUUCAAAUCACACAUAUUUCGCUGAAUUGAAUCAUGAUUGGCGCGUGGGUGAACUAACCCAACGCUAUGUGAUCUCACAUACCUUUUUAGGGAUCACCCCCGACGAUCUGUUAAUUUGGAAGAUAUUCCAAAAGAUAGUCCGUUAUACAGCUAAAUGCAGGCAUACUUAGCUGCUCAAAACCAAAAGGAUACUUUUGCUUCCAUCGCCAAAGAGGAUACUGAUGAUAUCAAAUCCUACAAAAAAUUACAAAAGAAAGAAAUGAUAUUUCUUUUGGAAAACUCUGAACUUCAGAGGAAAGAUGAACCAUGGAAAAUAGAACAAAUUGCCGUUGAUAUUUGUGCAGAUCACCCCAGUGCUUUUUGGAACAGAAAGACGCACAUUGUAACUCUUCCGUAUGAAGAAGGCUUCUCUGAGGAUGAUAUCACAUAAUUUGAUUAUGUAAAGCACAAGUUUUAUAAAACUCUUGAGAGAUACUAUUAAGAACUUCUUUACUAUAAGAAUAAAAAAAUCAAGUUUUAAACCGAUUCCAUUUUUCAUCAAAAAAUUCUUUUUGAAUAUGUUUUCUUGCCAGAGAACCUGGGCUAAAAUCAAGUUGGUGAGGAAUCAUUAAGAAUCGUUGGGGUCAAACUCCAUCUCAAAGACCGAAGGAAUAUCUUUAUCUGAAACAUCAUCAUUCACCUGAACUAUAUUAGUUCGAGGGUCGAUCUUUACCUUCUCCACCACAAAAUUGCUAUUAAAUACGAUAGUAUGUAAAGAAGCAGCACAAUCUCGGGUUGGACGAUAUAUAGGUUCAACAGGGGAAAUAUGAUGAAUAGUAGGCAUAAGUCUACGACUAGACAAAGAAUGUCUAUUAAAACUGUGAUUCACAGAAGACAUCAACCUGUUAUUAGAAAUGAUUGCCUUUGAGGCGCAUAGCUAUUAUCAGAAAACUGAAUACAAAUCCUCCCAUCGGGAUUUUGUGAUAUAUGAGAGAAAUCUGAAUUAGUGACCGCAUCUGUUAACUGAUUUGGGGAUAUCACCGAAUUUAGAGUCAUGAAGUUGGGAAAUCUAUUUCUUCCCACUUAAUAGGUCUCCUGGUGGUGACCUUGGACCUUGCAAAAUUGGUUUCCACCAAAAUAGUUUGAUUAGAUAUAUCAUAUAAUCUACAUCUAGGAUUAAGAGUAGAUAAGAAUUUGAAAUAAAUUCGAUAAGAUAAACUGAUGAGUUCUGAACCAGGCGCAUAAUUAUAACCAUGCGUUUGAACAUUUAAUGUUAAUGCAUCAAGUAUAUUAGCAUCAGUAAGAGAUAACUGCAAAUUAGGAUGAGUAUUAAAGUAUACGGGAGCAUAGGCCACCAUUGAUUCUAUCGAACCCAUAAUAGACUGUCAAAAAUUUGAAUUUCUAGCAUCACGAAGAGCAGCUAAAAAAGUCUCAGGUAACCCUUUAAGGAUUUAAGGUUUAAAAGCAAUUUGCACCAUACCAAUAUGCAGAUAAUUAUACUGAUUUUUAUAUAAAUUAACAUCACGCUCGUUCUCCUUUUCCCGUGAGAACCUUCGGUUCUAGAGGACUUGUUAUACUUAUCCUUAUUGUUGCUUUUAGCAGAAGGAUCGGGUAAACCGAACUGCGCACAGAAAUCUCCCAAUUGAGAUGCGACCUGGCGGUAGUUCGCCCAGUCAGAGAUCUAGCAAUUUAGCAUCCUUAAGCUAGCGGUAGUCCACCUGCAUAAGAACUUAAAUACACAAGAAUUUUUAUAUAGCUUCUCGGACUGCAUGGUGUUAAUUUUACCUAAGUAAAGGGUCUAUCAGGAAUCUAAUACAUACUUCUUAUUGAGCCCAUGUGUCUGGCAGUUCUAACCGGGUAUAAGGCGCCCUUUUCAACUCCUUAAUCGGGCUGUGAACCACGGCUAGCCAGACGGAGCCACUAAGGCAAAGCCAAUAAGAGUAGUACUGGAUCCAACUAUACCUCGAUCUCAGAACUAAAUCUAUGAGAUGGUAGUGGCAAUCUUACUAAAUCCAUUUACCCUCCUCAUUCAUCGUUUGUUUUGCCAAAUAAUACAAGUAUUACUUUUUCGGCAUUUCAAAAAUUCAUUGAAGAAGAUAUUGCUUCUAUCAGUAUUGCUGAAAUCAAUAAACUUAUUACUCAAAAUAAUUAUUUGAGUCUUUAUGUUAAAGUUUUAGGCGAGCAUAUUAGCUCUCUUGAUAAAAAACUUAAUGAUUUGACUAUUUUAAUAAAAGAUAUAAAGGCUGAUAUAGCUAAGACAAAUCUGGCUUCUACUAUAAUAAUAAUAAUAAUAAUAAUAAUAAUAAUAAUAAUAAUAAUAAUAAUAAUAAUAAUAAUAAUAAUAAUAAUAAUAAUAAUAAUAAUAAUAAUAAUAAUAAUAAUAAUAAUAAUAAUAAUAAUAAUAAUAAUAAUAAUAAUAAUAAUAAUAAUAAUAAUAAUAAUAAUAAUAAUAAUAAUAAUAAUAAUAAUAAUAAUAAUAAUAAUAAUAAUAAUAAUAAUAAUAGGGGUGAUAGGGGGCUGGGGGUAGGGGUGAGGGUGGGGUAAAAAAAUUGAAGUUAAAAAUAUUUUUUAAAAACAAGCUUUAAAUUCUUUUGGAGGGGGGUGUGGUUGGGGGGCUGGUUUGAGGGUAGAGACAAAAUAAAUUAAUUUUUUCANNNNNNNNNNNNNNNNNNNNNNNNNNNNNNNNNNNNNNNNNNNNNNNNNNNNNNNNNNNNNNNNNNNNNNNNNNNNNNNNNNNNNNNNNNNNNNNNNNNNNNNNNNNNNNNNNNNNNNNNNNNNNNNNNNNNNNNNNNNNNNNNNNNNNNNNNNNCAUUUUCCAAAACAUUUAACCCAACCAAACAUGAGAAAAUUGAAAAAUAUUUUCCGAAAAAUAUUUUCCUUCAUACCAAACACACCCUCAGUUUUGAAUUUACAUAAAUGAAACUUAUUUUAAUUUGAAUAAUUAGACACAUGUGUCCUACGUGGCGUCUUAGAUAUCAACUUGCGUUCUACGUGUCGUCCUAUGAUAAUAUGUCACGUAGGACACUACUUGUUCUACAAGUUUAAUUAAGUGUUAAUUACAUCACACUCCCAAUUUGGUGGCGUCACGAUUAGGGGUGUACAUGGCGCUAGACACAUAAAAAAUUCUGAUUUUCCUUCCCAAAAGCGCAUUUACGAAAUAAAAAAAAACUCGUAAAAUUCAAAUUCUGAACUCUUAGUUUUAUGUCUUUUAUGUUCCAGGGACAUGGCAAACCUAUGUGGUAGAAGAUCAAAGUUUAUGGUACAAAAUAGACAAAAACACUCCAAUUGAAUAUGCUGCCACUAUUUCUGUUAAUCCUUUGAGUGCCUUGAGAAUGCUUGAGGACUUUGUGGCUUUAAAAUCAGGUUUAUUAUUUAAAUUUCCUAAUUAAAAACAUGUUUAAUUAUUUUAAUUUGAUUUAAAAAUUAAUUAGUUUUUUGCGAUUAAACAGGGGACACAAUUGUUCAAAAUGGAGCUACAAGCAUAGUAGGGCAAUGUGUUAUUCAAUUAGCUCGAAUUCGUGGAAUUCAUAGCAUUAAUAUCAUAAGAGAUAAACCUGAAUCUGAUAAAAUUAAAGAAAAAAUAAUUAAACUUAGAGCUAAUAAAGUAUUUACUGAAAGUGAACUCAAAGUAAAAGGUGUCAAAAAUCUCCUGGUAUAAAUUUAACUUUUAUAUACGAACAGUAUAAUUAUUUUUUAAAUAUUCAAUAUUAUUGUCAUUCUUAGUGUUGAAUUGAUUUUCUUUUUGCAUUAGUUUGAUUUUGAUUUAAGUUUUAUUAUAAUUAUCAACAUCUUUGAACUAUAAUAUUUAUUGAACCAUUCUGAAUUCUAAGUUUAAAACUUGAAAUAAUUUAUUAAAAGAUAAAAACUAUGAAAUAGUAUAAGAAAUAUUUUAAAAUUAUAUCAAAGUAAAUAUUUUUAUGUAUAAAAUAAAAUUUUAAAAUUACAUAUAUAGUGUCGGGUUGGUUUGGUCUCGGGUUGGUUUUUUUUAGUUAAAACCAAACCAACCCAAAUAUAGUUGGGUUUUUUUUCCAAUAACAAACCAAGUCAAACCAAACACUAGUCGGAUAUUUUUUUUCAGUUUAACUCGAUUUGCGAUUUGGUUCGAUUUUCUACACCCCUAGUCACGAUUAUUAAUAGUAAAAAUAAUAGCAAAAUAAAAGUUUAUUUGACAAUAGCAUAAAAAGGUGUCAAGAUUGAAAUAAUUUGACUAUCAUAGUUUUUGUUGUUUAUUUAACAUUAUAUAGAUUUUGUUUGCGAUAACAUAUUCAAUAAAGGGAUAUGUUUGUGGAUCUUUUAGUUGAACCAGAAGGUUCGACAUGAAUUGUGGUGAGAUGAUUGAGAUUCUUUUACUCUUAAUAGAAAUUUUAGGUUUGUGCUUUUGAAAAUGAAAGAACUUGAAUUGUCAUCUUCAGAAUUAAGUCCUGCUAGAUACAAUUUCAAAUUUAAUCAAGCUUUAUCAAUAGUAUUGAACACAUGAUAUAAUUAUUCUUUUAAAAGAUGGUUCUUUUAACGUGUUCCAAAUGUAGAAGAAGAGACAAGUGUAAUUGAUUAAUAAAAUAGUCUUAUUAAAUAAAAUUCAUUAUUUAAAUGUACUAUUUUUUAGGAUUUUUCUCCUUUGUAAUCACGUAUAAAUAAUUGAUUAUCCCUUGCAGUCUUGUCGUGAUAUUUGAAGCAUCAUUAUGUCAAAAUAUAAAAAGAUAUUUGAAGCUUUUUUUGUUUUUUAGUAAAUCAUAUAUAUACACCCAUUUUGCCCCCUAAUUUUUAUAAGUAGAAUAAUUUCACAAUGGUUGUUUCAUUUUUUAUUUUAUUAUAUAAACAUUUUAAAAUUACAUUUAUAACAAAAAAGUCACUCAACUUAAUUUAAAUAUUACAAGAGUCAAUAAAUUAUUUUUUAUAUGAAAAACAUUUUAUUUUUAUUAGGUACCGUAGAAAAUGUCUCCUCUUAAUUUUAAGUAAAAUUAAGUGAUUUUCUUGUUACAAAUAAUAGUAGUUUAAUGAUUUUCAUAAUAUUUGAGUAAAACUGACUUUUUGUUAUGAAGAAAUAAUUUACAAAUUUUGAUAUAGUAAAAUGAAUAAAAAAAAAAUUUGAUGAUCAAAAUUGAUUCUUUCAUUAACAAUACAUUUUUUUUAACGAUUUGUUACUCUCACUCCUAUAAUUAUAUAUAUAAAAAAGUAAUUUAUAAUUUUAUAUUAUUCUUGAUCUUCUGAGCUUCGAAUAUAGGGGAUGAUUUUAUACCAGUCUAAGGGUAUGUUCGGUAUGAAGAAAAAUAUUUGUUUUUAAAAUUUCUUUUCUAUAAGAUUUUGGUUGAAUCUAAUCAUGGUUAAUUGUUGAGAUUAUUUUGUAAAGUUGUAUAUUAAAUUUGGAGUUGCUUGGAGAUUAUUCAAAAAAAAAAUCUAAAUUAAAAAUGUGUGUAAAAUUUUUACACACUAAAUUAUAGUGACUCGUCAUAAUUAUAUAGUCAAUCCCAACAGUUUAUCGUGAUCUAUAAUCAUAAUUUGGUGAUCCAUCAGGAUUUGACCACUAAUCCUAGUGAAAUUUAUCCAGAAUUUUGUGUUGUUUUUUCUUUAAUUCGGUGUUUGGAGAUUGAUUGGAACUCCAAUUAAAUUUGAAUUGCAUACUGCAGGGCCCAUUCGGAGGUGGCGCUCCCAACAUGAUUGUCUUCAUAUACCGGCCUCGAACUCGAGAUAUCUGAUUAAGGGUGAAGUAGUCUCACUAUUGUACCAUAACUCAUGUUGAUGGAUUUUGUGAUUAAAUUUGAGCGAUUCACUGGAAUUUAAUCAUAAAAAUUGUAGAAUAUUACUGUGUCAUGGCAAGUUUUGCACCUUAAUUUAAAAUUAUAUUGACACUUUUACUGUGUUAUAUACUAUUUAUAAGAAAAUUAACGGAAUCAAAUGUUGAGUUGACCUGGCCGUUAAAAGUAAUAUUGAAAAACGGAAUGUACCUAGCAUAAAAAAUUUCAUAUAUAUCUGUCUGCAUUGCUUCCCUAGCACACAUCUGUUGGGAUAUAUACUAUUAACCACAUAUUUAGAUAUAGUAUUUAUUAUAGAAUAAUUAUUUAUUUAUUUUAAUAGAUCAUAUAUUCGUUUAUGGUGUUUAUUUACUUAUAUAGUAGAUGAUUUAGUGUAUAGAGUUUAAGCUUAUACAUAGAGGAUUAAAUCAUUGGUUCUUAUAAGUAUAAAGUUUUUUUGUUCACAAUCUAAGAUGGAAUUUGGACAUGCCAUCGGUACGAUUGUAGCACAAGAUUAUAUGUAGUUUAUCUUGAUUAUGGGAAUGGUAUAGUUCCAACUUCUUGUGCUAGUGCAUUUUGUAUGUAUUGAACGGGACCGAGUAGAGAUAGUUGCUUUAGACUGACUGACAAAAGCAUAUUCUCUAAACUAUUAAAUGUACUUAUAUUCUUAAUCCUGAUAUAACUAUUAUGAUAUGUAUAUGUUAAUCAUCGUUUUGAUUUAUUAAAAGGUGAGAUUCUAANNNNNNNNNNNNNNNNNNNNNNNNNNNNNNNNNNNNNNNNNNNNNNNNNNNNNNNNNNNNNNNNNNNNNNNNNNNNNNNNNNNNNNNNNNNNNNNNNNNNNNNNNNNNNNNNNNNNNNNNNNNNNNNNNNNNNNNNNNNNNNNNNNNNNNNNNNNNNNNNNNNNNNNNNNNNNNNNNNNNNNNNNNUAUCUGUAAUCUUAACAUGGGGAAUUACAUAUGUGUCUAAUGGGGAAUUUUGAAAUAUAAAUAGAGGAGUGCCGAAUUUCUAGUGGAAUGAUUUGUAAUUUAUUAUGGUAAGAAUAAUUUAAAUUAAUUAUUUGGANNNNNNNNNNNNNNNNNNNNNNNNNNNNNNNNNNNNNNNNNNNNNNNNNNNNNNNNNNNNNNNNNNNNNNNNNNNNNNNNNNNNNNNNNNNNCUACCGUGCCCAUAUUUAUCUAGAACUCAGAAUUUAUUGUAAAGGGAAAAAGGAGAAGUAUGUGUCUUUCUCUAUUCUAAGGAAAGGGAGAAGUAUGUAUCUUUCUAUGUUCUAAGGCAAGGGAGAAGUAUAUCACUUUUUCUAUUCUAAGGAAAGGACGAAGGACAUGACUUUUUCUUUUCUAAGGAAAGGGAGAUGUACAUGUCUUUCUAUUCUAAGGAAAGACAUGGUAUUCCUUUUCCUUGGACUAAGAAGAAAUCUCUAUAAAUAGGGAUUCUUCUAACCCUUGAAAAAAGAUAAUUUUUUCCAUAAAAUACUUGUCCACCCAAGUAUUGAGAGGGUUCGGAAGUGAACUUGGGAUCACUGUAGAAGACCGUAGAACUGUGGUCUAGUUUGUGGACUAGCUUAUGAAUUUGCUUGAAGUUUCUAGCUUGUUGACUAGCUUGUGGAUUCACUUGAAGGUAUCGGCUCACGCUUCAAGAGGUAAUUCUGAAAUUAAAUUUAGAAAGUUUAUAUGCCCUAACAUGAUUGUACUUGUUCUAGUAUAAACAAUGUAUUGUCUAUUAGUCAUGUAAGUUGUAUGAUUAUGAUAUGCUUCCGCUGUGCAUAUAGUUUUCCAACAACACCAAUAGAACUUUCAAAAAUUAAUGAGUAGUUAAUACAAUACUAGAUAGGGCAUGUCCCAUGUCUGAAUGUUGAGUUGUUAUGUGGCUGUCAGCAGUGACGGAGCCAGAAUUUUCAAUAAGGGAUUCAAAAUAUGAAGAAAUAGACACACAAAGUAGCUGAAGGGGUUCAAAAUCUACUAUAUAUACCUAAAAAAUUAUUUUAACCAUGUAUAAAUAGUAUAAUUUUUCACCGAAGAGAGUUCCUGAGAAUAGGGUGACUCCACCACUGGCCGUCAGUACUAAUAUUAAAAAACCUAGCAUAAAAAGUUUCAUCUAUGUCUGCCUGCAUUAUUUUUAUAGUACACACUAGCUAGUAGAACUUUCAAAAAUUAGUGAAUAGUUAAUACAAUAUAUAUUAGAUGGGGCAUGCCCCAUGUCCAAAUGUUGGGCCGUUAUGUGGUCGUUAGUACUAAUAUUACACCACCGCACGACAAUUAAUCUAUUGAUACUAGUGUGCACUACUGAAACACACUAGUAGUAAUAUUACAAAACAGAAUUAUCCCUUGAUUGAUUAUUGCAUGCCAUGUGUCAUCAAUCGAUGCCAAUGAUAUUGUAAAUUAUUCAACUUAUGAAAUAAUAUUUUUUCCGUUUAUUUUUAUUUGUCAAAUAUUGACUUGAUACAUUUUUCAAGGAGCAAUAAAUAUAACAAUAAUUUUAUUAUAUCAUUUUAAAAAUAUAAUAAAUUCAAUAUUUUGAGAAAUGCAUUAAAAAUGACUAUUGCUAAUAACAAAAACAAAUUAGAAACUAAGCAAUAAAUUAUCUUUUGAUUUUAAAUUUUAAUAGUCUAUAUGAUCAAGAGUAUAGACAAGUAAACAUACUUCUAUUGAUUAAAAAAACGCAUAAUGUAUCAAUGUCUUUUAAUUUGGGUUUAGUUGAUAUCUAUGUUCCUCAACCGUGGAUGUGUACAAAUAGACAUACAUAUUCCAAGUGGCAUGAUACACAUAGAACAUAAGUUAUCACGUAGGAAGCAUAUGUUUAUUUAUUCAAUUUUAUAUAAAUUUAAUUAUCAACUUAUACAUAUUUAAAAUUGAAGAACAUAAAUAUUAAAUAAAAUUGAGUUAAAAAAAAAAUAUUUAUACAUUAUACCAAAAAAAAAGAACUCAUAAGAAUAACAAUGGGGCAUGGAUUGGCUGCUGCUUGAUUUACUAAAAAUGAAGUGAAGCAACCUACAUUAUUAGGUCCAAAAUAAAUUGGUCAAUCAAUAUAUGCGCAGGCCCCGUUUGGACCUAAUAUAUUUUGCUUUUUAAAUUGGAGUAAUAUAUUUUGUCAAAUUCUCACUUUCAAGUUUGAAUAAACUUUAUUCAAAUCAGUUUUAAACUAGUUUUUGAAUUUAAAAAAAAAAUCCUCACAAAGCUUCAGUAGUUUUACAAAUGAAAUGUGUUUUCAAACACAACUUUAAUAACGGCCUUUUAGGUCACAGUGAUUGCGUGAUUGAGGAGUUUUUUAUUGAACACUAGGUUAAGAGUUCAAGACUGAUAAACAGAAGAAAAUCAAUAUUAUAGGUAUUUAAUUAAAAAAAGUCAAUUUUUAAUUACUCUUUCUUAAUUAUGCUAUAGUGGUUAUGGUUGAAUUUGACCUUGUCAUGUGCUACACCGUCUUCUAUUGAUAUUUGAAAUUUCAAUUGUUAUGAUACGAUUCAUCUCUAAAUGGUGAAUGUAAUAUUAGUACUAACAACAUUAGGUACUAAUCCCGAUUCUUGAAUUUGGCUCCAUGCAUUUACCUUGUUAUUGAUGAAAUGAGUGUUUAAAUUUGUGUUUCUCUUUUAUGAUAAUAUAGUUAAUUGACAUUAAUAAAAUUAAGAGAAGGAUGCAAGAUUUAACCUAUAGUAACCAUAUAAAAAACUUAUUAGUCUUACAUGCUCAUGUGUUGACAUUAUAUUUGGAAAAGCUCAUCAGAAAUAAAUAUUCAUCCACAAUCAUAAAAGAUUGAUAUAUUUAGCUUUUACGUUCAAGACUCAGACACUAAAUUAAUGAGCAAUUUUUUUUUAAAAUUAUUUAUUUCAUUUUAAGUUAUAUUUUUGAAUUUGAAUAUAAUAUAAUCGAGUUUGAUUAAAAAAAAUUAAAAGUCAAGCAAUGUUUGGUUCGUGGGCUAGUUAUGAAGAUAGUAUUGAUGAAUUAAUUGUCUAAUAUGAAUUAUUAUGUGGUAAAUAAUAAUAUAUAGAAUGUCAUGUAUCUAUUCAUUUAAUUUGUGCAUUUUUGUAUUAAUAACUCUUAGCCACAUAUUACUAGUAUAUAUAUAUAUAUAUAUGUGUGUGUGUGUGUGUGUUGGAGUAUUAUUUUAAUUACUUUAUCUUAAUUCUUACAUAAUCAACUAAAUGACAUAUAUUUUUUGUACGAUUUUACAUGAUACUAUUAUAAUUUAAAGUCAAAUAACUUUUUGCUUGACUACAAGUAUGUGAAUAAAUAAAAUUAUCAUUUACACUACUUUUUAUCUAACUUAUGAUUUUGUACUUUAUAUUUAAAAGAAAUUGAGAAUAUAUUAUCAAUGAGAAAUUUUAUCCAGAAAUUAUUUUCGUCAACAUAUUUAAUAAAACAAUUUUUAUAAAUAUUUAAAUUAUGUAAAUAAAUACUAAAUGUUCCAUAUUUUCGAAUCUUAAUAAUUGAGAAUAAACAAUAUCCUAGUCAUAAUCGUUUCAAAACUUUUAUUAAAUUUUAAAUUAAAAACAUGAAUUUCCAAACUUUUUAACCCUCUUUAUUCUUUUUUUUAUUGCUUUAUUUUUUUAUAAUGACCCUUUAGGUCUUAGAGGGUUAAGUUAAUUAUAAAUCACUACUUUUUCUUUUGGUCCCAAAGUGGUCCCCAACACACUCACUCUAAUUCCCUAUAGCAAUGCCACUUGUUCCACAACAGAUGAACAAGUAUUUCUCUUCUUUUUUUUUCUGGCUCGUCAAAAUAACAGUGUAGACAUUGAAAUUUUGUGGGACUCUACAAGAUGUGUUCAAUUCGAGUUGGGACUCUACUGAUUGGGUUCAACUCAAAUUAGGAUUCUUGGAGGCUACUCAACCCUAAACCCUAGUUUAUGCCUAUAUAAAGGGUACUAAAUUCUCUUAAAAGGCAUCUCAAAAAUUCCAUAAAGAGAUCAAAAUCUCGAAAUAUUCCACAAAAGUCAUGGAAUAUUCAUAUAGAGGUCAAAUCUAAAUCAUCCUAGUUCAAGAAAUACGGCUCUAACGGCCCUCGAAUCAUGGAUAAAUCUUAGGAGAGGAGAAUCAAGGGAUCAACAGAUUUGUACAAGAUGUGUUCAAUUUGAGUUGGAACUCUACAAAUUGUGUUCAACUCAAAUUAGGAUUAUUGGAGGCUACUCAACCCUAAACCCUAGUUUACGCCUGUAUAAAGGGUACUAAAUUCCCUUAAAGGCAUCUCGAAAAUUCCAUAAAGAGAUCGAGAUCUCGAACAUUCCGCAAAUAGACGGAAUAUUCAUAUAGAGAGGUCAACUCUAAAUCAUCCUAGUUCGAGAAAUACGCCUUCCAUCGUGCUAUGAGCGGACAAUUCCGAAGAAAUGGUAAGAUAUGGGUAAGAGUUCUCGCAGAUAUCCCUAUUACGGCCCUCGAAUCAUAGAUAAAUCUUAGGAGAGGAGAAUCAAGGGAGGAACAGAAUUGUACCCGCAUAUUUAUCAAUAAAGUUAUGUUUCUUCAUAUUUUAUUUGUGUGGUUUAUUUAUUUUCCAUAUGUUUAAAAUUUGUUGCAAACAAACAGAUGAUAAUAAAAAUCAAAAGCAAGAUAAUAUAUACGAUCAAACCCAAAACAAAUUGCUGAUAAGUAAGAUAAUAUUCUACUAUCUACUAUGAAAAAGAAGACCAGAAAGGGAAAGAUGGUACUUGUUCUUGAAGAUUCCAUGAUACAGGGGAUUUCCUUACCCCAAAACAUCGAUAAAAUAUUAUGUUAUCAAAAUACUAAAUGAAAGGAACGAAAUUAGCCGUCUGUGAGAGGAAUGUUGGAGAAAUCAUGAUGACAUAACUAUGUUUUACAUGCAAACAUGACCUAAUUUAUGAACCUCAUUGUGGCUAUGGACAAGUAAUGUAAUGACCUAAUCUGUAGGGAUGGCAAUUGGUACAUGUUAAAGGGUUAACGGGGCAGGGAAGGGCAAGCGGGUCAAAGCUUAAAUUUUCAAUAAUUUAAAUAGGGGAGGGCAUGGACAGGUUGUGUAUUGGGUAAUAGCAGGGGGGAGUCCUUUAUUGAUCUCAUUCGCUUUCACAUUCUGAAAAUUACCUCCAUAAUCUAACAUUUAUGGCUACAACAUAAACUAUUAUUACUAUUUCUUAUUCCUCUUUUUCCUAUCCUACUUUUUCAUGCUCACUGGUCCUUUCACGCACACAGAGAAAAGGUCAAGACAUACCCUGUCCUAACCCGCCCUAUUUACAUCCCUACUAAUCUGCCCUUUUAGGUAUAAAAUAGGGGAAAAAACUAUGUUAAGGGUAGGUGAAGACGAGGUCUUGAGAAGGGCACCAUGAAGUACUUUCUGAAGAUGGCUAUUGUUGAUGUCUCAAGUCACUAAAGGAUUGUUGAAUUUCCAACUUGUUUCUCAUGUUACAGUUAUAGCUAACUGAUUUCUUCCUUGAUAUUGGAACAGGGGUACCGGCAACAAACUGGAAAUGGUAUGUCUCUUUCCUUCAAGUUAUAUACUGGUCAUGGAGAUCACCCAUUGCAAGAAAAAAUAGGGAUUUUUUAUGGGAGCUUCACUGUGUUUGUUUUCCUUUCACCAUCCUUGCAUUUUAAUGAGACUGAUAUUUCAUUGAUGAGUCCAGUCAUGGGGGAAAUAAGUGAAAAAACAAAGAAAAUGGGGGAAAUAACUUUAGAAAUAAUGUUGUGUUCUUGAUGAUCUUUAUCAUUAUCGAUCUCAAAAUUCCUCUAAUUUUCGUUCUUCAGAUGAUAACGAAAAAAAUGGUAGAACAAGAACUAGAUUCAGCUCUGCUAGAAACAAUUCUCUUAGUUUCUCAUCACCUUUCUCUUCCUCUCUAUCCAUUAAUUGUUCUUCAAGCUUCAUCGUCGUAGAUUCAGCCACUUUUUUUUCACUCAAAAAUAAUGUCAAGUAAGAAAAAAAUAUGUAGUAUUUUUUUAUCAUAGGAAAAUGCCUUGUUGCUAUGUAAAUAGUAACUGGGAUUUGGAAACCAUAAGAAGAAUAAAGGACAAUUAUAUAUAGCUUUAAUAUGUGGUGCCUAACUCUUUUUUAGUCAUCCAUCAUUUUUUUAUGUAACAAUAACCACAAUUUCAUGUAUUUUAGGAAAAUGUUUGGCUAAUAGAUUUGGUUGGUUUCUUUUUUUGUUCCUUUCUUUCCUCCCAUAAUUUUUUAAAAAAAUAUUUGCCUUUGCACAGUAUUUUUCUAUCAUCACGAAUUAUUAGUAUUAUCUAAAUGUUGGGGAAUGAAUUAAAAUAAAUAGGGUAAAAUAGGUAUAAAAUUAAAAAAAUAUUUCUUAAUUUUUCAAACUGAAUAAGUUAAUAUAGAUAUUUAUUUUUAAUAUAAUAAUCAAGUAAAAUAGACAUUAAAUAGUGAAUAAACAUGUAUUAUGAUGUGAUAUAUAGUUAUACAAAGUCAAAUUGCAUUAGGUAAACAUUUAAUUAAAAACAUUCAAAGUAGGUGUAAUAGUUUACUUGAAUGAUGUUACUUGUACAAUAUUAAUAUUUAAAUAAAUGUUACUUGUACAACAUAAAUGAUAAAGAAUUAAAAAGAUAUUCAUCUUCAAUUUAAGUUGGAUAAUGAUAGAGAAGUAGAAUAUAUUCAUAACGAUUUAUUUCUCAACUCAAAUUCAAAUUAAAGAUAAGUGAGAUAAUGAUAAUAAUUGAAAAGACAUUUAUCUUCGAUUCAAAUUCAUUAACUAUUAUUGAAGAUAAAUACUACCAUCUAGGGGCUGGAAGCACACACCAAUUGGUCGACACGUGUGCUUCUGGACAUUAACAUUUCAUUUAAGGACAAUUUAGUUAUUUAUUUUAUUCGCGCUUCGCGCGAAAUAAAAAAAAUUACACCGCCAGUUUGGUCAUAAGAAAUUAUAAAUUAAAUUUCUUUCUGAAAAUUUUUACUUUAUUUGAAUAUCAAUUUGAUCAUGAAAAUUCGAAUUAAACUUUAUUUAUAUUUUGUUUUUAAGCAAAUAUAAAAAAAAAAUUAUGCAUAAAAAUAGCUUUUUGACAGACCUUUCACUAUAUAUUUGUCCACCCAAGUUAUUUAUAUAUUUAGUCUUUGCUACUCAAGAAAUAAUUAAAUGAAAACAUGAUAUCAAAAAUUUCUCAAAAAACACACUUUAUUAUAUCACUCAAAAAUGAAUAUAAACUAAACAAACUUUCAUAAGUUUUCUACUCAUACUCACCACUCUAAUAUUUUGGAUUCAUGAAUUGAAGAUGUUUCAUGAAAUGUUGCAUUUCAUGAAACAAUGUAGGUGUACAUAUAGUGAUGUUUAAAUUCCUUAAUUAAGUUAUGAAGUUUUUUAAAUUUUCAAAACUCAUAAUACACAAAGUAAUGCUAUAACGGAAAUAAUAUGUUCAAUCUAUUUGAGAAUUUUUAGAAAAGACAACGAAAUAAAUAUACAUGCUUCAUUAACUUGGUAGAUAGGCUAUUAAUCCAAAUCAGUAGAAGAAUUGUAUGGCGUAUUAAUAAAUAUGAAUUAUCAUAUUGAAAAAAAGAGAUGCUAUCAAAAUUCAAAAGCCACUUCAUUAGACCAUUUAUUAUACUUUCUUAAACAUAAAUUUAUGUUAACAUAUUUAUUGAAUUUCAAUUAACAUUACAAGUUCAUAUGAGUUACAAUAUUUUCACCUCACUUAUUUUCUCGUAUUCCUCGUAAAUUUACAUUGAACAUUCUAUUAUAAAUAUUAAGUACCAAUAUUUUUGAAUGAAUAAUAAAUCAUGUUUUCAAUCUUCAAUUUUUUUUAUCACGUGUCCAAUUUAUUUCACAAUUAAAGUGUUAAAUGAAAGAAUGGUGCAAAUAAUAUUUUAUUUCAUAAAGCGAUAUCAUAUCAUCUUAUCUAUUCCUAUCUAUAUAAAAUUAUGUGUAACUUAAAAAUAUCUAAAAAUUGUCAAUCCAUAUAAUUGGCCUUAUUAAUUAAUUAAGAACGUGUUGGCAUAACCUUUCUAAUACAAGUCAAGCUUUAAGACGAUGAUGGUGUGGAUGGUGGUAGAGUUGUCAUUAUUUUUGUCUUGACUUUUCUUCUUGAAAUCAUUCGUUUCUUGAUCUUUUUUGUAUUGUUAGGUUUUUUCCUUCCUCUUUUUGAAAAUUAAAUGAAAAAAAUUAAGUUUUUUAUUGAAAAAAAAUAUUUUUAAGUAUUAUGAAUGAACACAUGGAAAGAAAUCAAGAUUUUUUUAGAAAAAGACGUUAUGAGAUUAAUAUAAUAUAAAUUUAUAUCACUCAUAUCAUUUGAUGAAAAUUUAUAAAGUAAAAAGAAUUGAUGGAAAAUAAUUAUAGAUCGUGAUAACAUACUCUCUGAAUAUACUACCUGUGAUGUCUUCAUCAUCAUCUACAACAAAAGUUAAAAUAAAUUAACAAAAGGAAAAAUAAAAAAAUCCUAAAAGUCCAUCAAUAAAUUAAACAACAUACAACAUAUAUAACAAAAGUUCUACUGAGAUUAACAAAAGAAAAAAAGAAAAAUUCUUUAAAAUCAUCAAAAAAGAAAGGUAUAAAAUAAUUAUGCAUUUAUAUUGAAUAAAAGAAGAAAAAAAGGCACAGAAUAAAAUGUUUUUAAUACCUUAGUGUAGGUUUACUUUUUCUGUCCAUCGCAUUGGACAUAAAGAUAAUUUAAACCAUUGUCAAUUUUUUCUUCAAUUAAAUGAAUCAAAGACAAACUGAAAAGAAAAUAAAAAAUAAAGUACUUGAAAGUAUUAUAUUUUUAAAACUCCGAAACAUUUUUCACACUAUUGUAUAUUUAUACUACUUCAAAAACAACCAAAACAGAAAGAAGUGGGCAAAUUAUUACCAUGAAAAUGCAGCUUCAUAACCAAAAUAAUAUUUAAUAGUAAAAGUUUUCACGUAGAUUUUUGUCUCUUUGAAUUUGUUUGUAACAAAUCUCAACAAUGAAUUUUCAUCGUCUAUAAUUACAUUGAACAAUUACAAGGUAUUAAUACAUCUUUUCUAGUCUAGAAGGUAAAUGCAAUUAGAUGUGACUAUCCAAGAAUCAAAACAUAUUUCAAAUUAAGCUAAAGAAGUAAUAAUAUAAGUAAGAAAGCAGACAAAAAAUGUAGAGAGAUAAGAUAGAAGAGUUUUCUUUUUCUUCCAAGUAUAUUUCAGUGUUUCUCAAAUCUUCAAGUGUAAAACAUAAUCCGCAAGACCUCUAUUUAUAUUGUUACAUAAAGACAUAUAGAGGGAUAACAAUAAACAUGACAUUAAUUCUUGAGAAUGUGGGGAAGAUUAAGGGGUGUGAAAGAUAAAAGAGGAGGUGGUGGAGGUGUGAGUUUAUUACAUAUAAUGAUGGAAUUACAUCUUGAAAUUAUGGAUAUCUACAUUAAUAUAACAUAUUUUUACAAUAAAAGAGUAAUUAUUCAACAAUUAUAUAAAUAUUAACUACAUUAAAAAUGAGGAGAAAAACUAACAAAUGCCCAAAAGAAAAAAAAAGAUAAAUAGGAAUGAAGGCUAUAGAUAGUAAUAAUAAUUGUCAUUUUAUUUUUUAUAUAAUAAGAAAAUACCCAAAAGGCAAAAAAAAAAAAUGAUGAUACUUUUAGUUUUUCAAAUUAUGAGAAUUGAGUGGAGUAGUAAAUUUUUAGACAUUUAAUUUUGUACAUUAAAGAAUAAAAUAAAUGGAGGAGUAGUAAUUUUCAUUUUUCUUUUUUGUAUAAUAUAAAAAAAUAUUUGACAUGUGAAGAGUCUUUGAUAUAUAUAAAUGUUUCUUCAUUAAUAUAAUAUUUAUUUAUAAUAAAUUAAAUAAUACUUUCACAAUAAAUUAAAUAUUUAAAUAUGAAAAAGGAUCCAAAAAAGAGAAAAAAGAAAAAUGGGAAUGGAGAUCAUAGAGAGGUGCCACAUCACCUUCUCUAUGUUUCUCCUUUGAUCUUGCUCACUCCAUACAGGACACGAUUAGAUAUUACACGACAAAAUGAGUAGAAGUACUAUUCAAUUGCUUCGAAAAAAAUUCAAACCUUGUCACACCGCGAUACAUAGAAGCUCCUCUCGAGAAACCACUACUUUUCCUGAUAUCCAUGUACAAAAUUCCUAUAGAGUAUUAAUAUCGAUACCAUAUGGAAGUAACACAACAACAAUGUGGUACGUAAAGGGAAAAGCCCGUGCACCUUCUUAGGGAGGCGAUGAAUUCUUGCUUCGUCAUGUGCUUCAUUUCCUCUAUUUCUUUGGUAUAAUCCGAAGCCUGGAAAAUAUAUCAGUUAAAACUAAAGGUCGAACAUCCUUCAACGACUACGUAACUUUUCGUGCAAGUAAUUUAAUUGACCAUAUGAUAAAAGUGUAGUAUAUUACAGGGAAAUUGGUUGUGGCUGUUGUACCCCAAUACUUUAGAUCCGUGUGACAUUUAUUUAAUUAAAAAUACUCUAAAGUUUAUCUUUAAAAAUAUAUAAAACACAACAAUUGUGAAACAUGCGAAGCUUUUGACUUUCUCUUGAUAUAUUACUCCAUAUAUUAUAUACUAGAUAAUGUAUAGCACGGGCCCAAUAAUAUAAAUGGUAUGUUUUGGGGAUAAUAACCGAGUUUUUGAAGCGAUUGUUUGCGUGGAUAAAUGAAUAAGAUUUUUUAUCACAAACUUGUACUUUCUUUGACGCAAUUUAAGGCAUAAUAAGACUACCCACAUACAACAUUUUUGAAAUAUUUUAUGUUGUCAAUUAUCAUGAUUUAUAGUAUUUUUACGAUAGAUUCACUUCAAGAAUCAGUGGAAUUUUUUGUAUUUUUUUCAAAACAUAUUUUAUAUUGUCAAUUAUCAUGAUUUAUAGUAUUUUUACGAUAGAUUCACUUCAAGAAUCAGUGGAAUUUUUUGUAUUUUUUUCAAAACAUAUUUUAUAUUGUCAAUUAUCAUGAUUUAUAGUAUUUUUACGAUAGAUUCACUUCAAGAAUCAGUGGAAUUUUUUGUAUUUUUUUCAAAACAUAUUUUAUAUUGUCAAUUAUCAUGAUUUAUAGUAUUUUUACGCAAUUUUUAAAUAUAAAAAAAAUAANNNNNNNNNNNNNNNNNNNNNNNNNNNNNNNNNNNNNNNNNNNNNNNNNNNNNNNNNNNNNNNNNNNNNNNNNNNNNNNNNNNNNNNNNNNNNNNNNNNNNNNNNNNNNNNNNNNNNNNNNNNNNNNNNNNNNNNNNNNNNNNNNNNNNNNNNNNNNNNNNNNNNNNNNNNNNNNNNNNNNNNNNNNNNNNNNNNNNNNNNNNNNNNNNNNNNNNNNNNNNNNNNNNNNNNNNNNNNNNNNNNNNNNNNNNNNNNNNNNNNNNNNNNNNNNNNNNNNNNNNNNNNNNNNNNNNNNNNNNNNNNNNNNNNNNNNNNNNNNNNNNNNNUGUUUUCUUAAAAAUAUAUUUGAAGUUAUUAAAUUGUUGUGAUUUAUAUUAUUUUUGCGUUAGUUUUGAAUAAUAUAGGUUACUCAUGUUUCAAUUCACGUGAAUAAUCAUAAAUAUUUUCAGUUGUUAAUUUAUUGUGAAUUCUAGAAAUUUUGACGUUAUUUUCAAAUAGUACAUGUUACUUAUUCUAUUCCAAUUAGUCAACCAAAUUUCUUAUAUGAUUUAAAAAUAUUUUUAAUUGCUAAUUAUUGUGAUUUAUAGCAUCUUUUAUGUAACUUUUAAUAAUAUAUAAUUUGUUCAAAUUCAUAUGAUAAUGAGGUCAAAUUUUGGGCUAAUAAAGUAGUAGGUAAUUAAUGGUGUUAAAUUAUCCAAUAAUAUAAAUUUUAAAGGUACAACCAUAAAAGAAGAAUGUACAACAUUAUCAAGCACAUAUCAUCCAACACUUGUCAUGUGGUAAGUAGUAGAUAUUCCCACUUAUUAUAUAUAGUAAAUAUAUAGAUUCUAUUUUUUUAUGCUUGUAUUAUUUGUACGCUUUGAAAAUUGUAUGGUUCAAGAACAUUUUUUUUAAUUCCUAUUAUGUCAUUGUGUUGAUAAUGUGUUUGGUUGCAGUACUUUUUCAAACUUCCAUUUACCCCUUCUUUUCCACUCUUUUACAUAAAUUCACAAAUGGACUUUGGUAAAUACUCCAAUAAUAGUUGUUCGUUAUUGAUUUGACACAUUCCUUAAUUAUCCUUUGAUUUUAUUAAAUUUAAUGCUUUGAGAAAUGUGUUAGACGAUAAAUAGUACUCCGUCCGUUUCACAAAGAAUGGUCUAGUUUGACUUGGCACGGAGUUUAAGAAAAUAAAGAAGACUUUUGAAUCUUGCGGUCCUGAAUUAUAGUUAUGUCAAAUGUACAAAAUUUCCCUUAAUCUUGUGGUCUUAAACAUGCCACGUGGAAAGUUCAAUUAAAAAUGUUACCAAAAAAAGAAAGAAGUCAUUCUUUUUGAAACAGAUUAAAAAGGAAAGGAGAUCAUUCUUUUUUAAACAGAAGGAGUAUUUAAUAGCAAGGGUAAAAUAAACAAAAAAGGUAAAUUAUCUCUUGAUUUUCUAAAUUGGACAAGCAUUGCUGGACAACUAGUUUUAGUAUAGUAGACAACUAUUAUUGGACAGAUGGAGUACAUUGAAUAAUUGAGCCUUUUUCAAUGAAAAAAGAUCCAAUCAAGUAAUGUUCAAUGAGCUUUUAGAUUAGUAUCAUGUGGAUCAUAAAAUAAUGUAUGGUUGAGAUUCAUUUCAAAUCUUACACUGACCAUAAAAGCUAAAAAUAAUAAAGUAAAACUAACGUUAUCCAUUAAAUAAUUCGAUUAUUUUAGAUUUACACCAAAUAGCACCCUAUUCGAAAAAAUAGCACUAUCUAGGAGAAUUUUUUUAAUUCAGUGAGUAAAUUACCACUGUCAAUGUCUUAAUUAGAAAAAUGGCAGUGGCAGUGGCAUUUUUUUUAAUUAAGACGUUGACAGUGACAAUUUACUCACUGAAUUAAAAAAAAAUCCUCCAGAGAGUGCUAUUUUUCGAAUAGGGCGAUAUUUGGUGUAAAUGUUCAAUAAUCGAAUUGUUUUAAUAAAUAUUGUUAGCUUUACUUUUACUAUUUUUGGAUUUUCUAUUAAGUUUAAGAUUUGAAAUGAAUCACAACCAUACAUUAUUUUAUGAUCCACAUGACAUUAAUCUAAGAGGCAAUUGAGCAUUACUUAACUGAAUCUUUUUUUCACUUUUAAUAGUGUUUCUAUGUUUUAUAUUAUAGAAAAAAAACUACUUUUUAAAGUUUUUGAAAAUAACUUCUCCUACUUUUCAGAUACAUUUAUUUUCUUCAAAAGCUUGGUCAAACACCUCAUGUUUUUAAAAUAAACAUUUUUUGAUUGGAAAAAAAAUAAUACUUUUAGCCUCUCAAAAAAUUUGAUCAGAUAGACUAUAAGUUUGAACAAUUUCUUAAGAUUUAUUUUUUCUGAAAAAUAAAUUCGUAAGUUGUAUUUUAUUUUUAAAACUCUCGAUCGAUCCAAAAAAGACUAAUAUGCAAUGUACUAUUUGUCCUCGUGCAUAUGUUUAAUUUAUUCUUUUACAAUUUGAGGGUAGUUUAAUUUAGAAACAAAUUAUCAGGUGUAAUGUAUAUAUGGAUUCUUUUUUAUUGAACAUUUAGUUUAAUACAUUGUAUGUUGGUAUGCAUUGAUAGAUUUUAAAUUACAAAUACAAGUUCAAAUACUUACAAUAGAGCCCAUAUAACUUAGGUAGUUUACUGGUCUUAACUCCAUAGAUACACCAUCAGCAAAGUGUAGAGUAACUCGAGGAAAUAUCUCAGAUAUAUUAUUAGAGAACAUGUUUAAGUCAUCAAAGAAAUCAAUUAGGUAUUUAAUAAUUUGAAUUAAAUAUUCAUUAUUGAAAUACAAAAUAUUAACCAUGAAGAAAUUAGAUAGCAUGAAGUCAUUCUUGAUAUGAUUAAAUUGACAAAAGAUGAAAUAUCGUCACUUACCAAAGAGGGUGUUAUUUUGAAUACCUUUUAGUUUAUCAAGGAUGCAAUGUUUUUUAAUCAAUUUAAAUUGCAAACUUUUUCUUCGUAUGAUAAAUUUGAGGGGAAGGGCAAUUGUUAGUACUACCUCUCUUUCUUUGGCGAUUUUCAUUUCAUAAGAAAUGAGACUUUCAUCCAAUGCGCACAUUUUGGAAAAAGAAAAAGAAAACUUUUAUUAUAUAUAUGAUUUUUAAAAUAAAAUUAUUAAUUGACAAAAGAUGCACGUGUAAUGCACACGAGAUCCAUAUGCGACAUACAAUACUAGUUUUGUUGAAUAUACUUACACUGUUUACUAAAGUUAGACUUUAUAAGCUAUUAAUUAAUUUCAUUCAACAAAUAUAUGAUAUUUUAAGAAACAAAUACUAAUAAUUAACCAGAGAUACACGUAUAAUGCAUAAAAAAUGCACAAGGUGCACAUGUGACACAUAAUUGAUGGUAGCAGCUAAGACAAAUACUCGACGAGAUUCAGGUCGAAGGAACUAUUCACAAAAAAAAUGAUGACUCUAGUAAUAGUGGUACACAGAAUUCGAGCGUGUCUAGCUCGGUAUCUCUAGCCUCCAAUUCGUCGAUUGUAGUGGUGUGAUUUGCUGGUAACAAACUCUCCAUGGUGCAGUACUUCAGCAGCACAUGAAAGCAAAUUUUAAAAACGUAUAUUAUAAAAUCUAAAAAAGUAUUUAUGGCAAGAGGGGAUCACUAUAUAACCUUAAUUACAACGACUAAAUAUUACUAUAAAUUGUACUAUAAGUAUUACUAUAAAUUGUAAAACCUCUUCUGAAGAAUAGUACUCCUCCUCCGUCUUGAAUACUUCAUUAAACUUUAACACAGAUGAUCAAAAGAAAAUUAAUUAUACAAAACUAAUUAAUCCAUGACAAACAUGCGUGCAUACUAACUAAUUAUCUUACCACAUCAGAAGCACAUAUCUAGCUAUAGGAGACCAGUAGAAACAAUGUUCAGAUCAUGAUCUUUAUUUUAAUUUUCUUCAUAACGAACUGAAAAAUAUUAACUUUGUUAUGUUGAGACUAAUAAUUUCUUCAAAACAUUGUUAUGUCGAAACAAACUUUGUUACGUUGAGACUAACUUUGUUAUGUUGAGACUAAUAAAUCAUAUAGUCCAAUCAAUUUUAAAUAUUUUUUUUAUUUUUAUGUUGUAAUCAGAAGUUAUGGCCAAAUCCCCCCAUCCUAAAUGACUUGAGAAAAUUUAUAAGACAGACUACUCACCCAAAAUAAUUGGUGUUGAAGAGCUAGCGAUCAGCGAAGUCCUUAAGAUUGUGUCCAAAUGCAAUAUGUCAGAUACAAAAUAGCCAGUAGUACGACUCUCAUCCACGUAAUUCAAGGCAUAACCACAUUGCUUUGUCAUUGUGCAUUUACACACUGGGACUGAACAAGAAAUGACAGUUGCAGUUGUUGAGUUGCCAAUGUCUUAGAAGUUCAACUUAACCUGCAAGAACAUAAUAAUGACUUUAGAAAAUUCUAAAAACCAUAACUUUUCUAUAUUAUAGUUUAUACAAGAAACUAAAAAAAUUACAACAUAAUGAUUUUUUUUUUACCCCAAGUUCACUUGUUCGAGAACAAUUGUUGCAAGAAUUACAUAAAAUCCAGGAGACCUCACUCUCAAUAUCUAUCAACAAUUUGUGUUCUCUUGGCGGUGAUCCCACUUUUACUUUCGAUUAAUAAAUGCUAACGUUACAAAAAACAUAAAUAAAAUCAGUGAAAUACAUUGGCCAAUAACAUUGGUUGUAAACCAUUAACAAAUGAAAAAAUAAAUAUAAUAACAAUCAUUGUAUUUUAUUUUUUUAAAAAAAAUCAGUGUAUAGUUAAAUUAUUGAUAUACCGUGAGUUUACGGUAUUUCUAAUACGUUUCACUUACAAGUUGUGUGUGUCUAAGGCCCUUUUAUAUUGGUUUUGAUGUGUUUUUAUCAUGUUUUGCAGGAAAGACGUUCAGGCGCGGAAGUGUAGAGACAGCUGAAAGAAAUACAAAAGAAAGGCAUUCAUGGAGGUGAUCGACGGACCGUAGGUUCAUUCACGGUCCGUAGGUGAUGACCGUAGAUCAGCAGGCAAGGCAUGGAGGACAAAUCAGGGAAAUCUGACCAAGUGUGGAACCACGGCGUCCAUUGACGGUCCGUAGAUUGAUCNNNNNNNNNNNNNNNNNNNNNNNNNNNNNNNNNNNNNNNNNNNNNNNNNNNNNNNNNNNNNNNNNNNNNNNNNNNNNNNNNNNNNNNNNNNNNNNNNNNNNNNNNNNNNNNNNNNNNNNNNNNNNNNNNNNNNNNNNNNNNNNNNNNNNNNNNNNNNNNNNNNNNNNNNNNNNNNNNNNNNNNNNNNNNNNNNNNNNNNNNNNNNNNNNNNNNNNNNNNNNNNNNNNNNNNNNNNNNNNNNNNNNNNNNNNNNNNNNNNNNNNNNNNNNNNNNNNNNNNNNNNNNNNNNNNNNNNNNNNNNNNNNNNNNNNNNNNNNNNNNNNNNNNNNNNNNNNNNNNNNNNNNNNNNNNNNNNNNNNNNNNNNNNNNNNNNNNNNNNNNNNNNNNNNNNNNNNNNNNNNNNNNNNNNNNNNNNNNNNNNNNNNNNNNNNNNNNNNNNNNNNNNNNNNNNNNNNNNNNNNNNNNNNNNNNNNNNNNNNNNNNNNNNNNNNNNNNNNNNNNNNNNNNNNNNNNNNNNNNNNNNNNNNNNNNNNNNNNNNNNNNNNNNNNNNNNNNNNNNNNNNNNNNNNNNNNNNNNNNNNNNNNNNNNNNNNNNNNNNNNNNNNNNNNNNNNNNNNNNNNNNNNNNNNNNNNNNNNNNNNNNNNNNNNNNNNNNNNNNNNNNNNNNNNNNNNNNNNNNNNNNNNNNNNNNNNNNNNNNNNNNNNNNNNNNNNNNNNNNNNNNNNNNNNNNNNNNNNNNNNNNNNNNNNNNNNNNNNNNNNNNNNNNNNNNNNNNNNNNNNNNNNNNNNNNNNNNNNNNNNNNNNNNNNNNNNNNNNNNNNNUAGAUGUCGGAUCAAGGAUUUAGAGAUACCUAACUUAUCACUUUGCAUGUAAUACACUAGGAAAGGAUUGCGGUUACUAGAAUUAUUGUGUUAUGAGCUUGUGGUGAACACGUAUACCCUAGUUAAUUUUCUCAUCUUGAUAAAAAAACCCGAAAUUAACUUUUGUUUAUUGAUUACUUACUGAAUUCUUACAAUUUGUUUCACAAAUCCCCCCCUUUUUAUUUCUUGUUUCUGGAAGUACUUUGGCUAAUUGAAUAUAAUUGUUGGUUAAAGUAAAAUCUAAACCAUUUUCCUCGUGGGAUCGACCCCAACCUACAAGUUGGGUUCUUUACUUGAUAACGAUCGCUUAUACUUCUUUAGGGAGGUGUAAUUUGAGCGUAUCAAUUAUCAAAAUAUUUUCUUAAAUAUUGAACCAUUUUUUUACUCCUCAUCUAAAUACCACUUCUGUAAUAUUACUACUAAUUAGUAAAUUCACUUCAAAUAAUAAGUAAAUUAAUUAAAUGGAAAAUCAUUGGCAUGUAGUUCAUGUAUAUUUCAAGUAUACUUGUAAGAAAAACAUUAAUUAGUCGUUGUCAUUAAAUGGAAAGAGUCUUCAGAAAUUUUAUCUCAUACAACUCCUCCAUAAGGUGCAUAAUGAGAAUUGCAGUUUCUUGAAAGUGCAUUCAUUUCCGUGCAAUUAUUGGUAUAUAGUAUAAUUUUUUUAUAUUAUAGUAUCAUUUUAUGUGUAAUGCACAUGCGCAUGCGACGCACGAUAUUAGUUUUGUUGAAUAUGUUUAGAUUCUUUAAUAAAAUUUGACUUUAUAAGCUAUUAAUUAAUUUCAUUCAACAUAUAUAUGAUAUUUUAAGAAAAAAUACUACAUAAUUAACAAGAGAUACACGUAUAAUGUAUAGAAAGCGCAGAAAAUGCACAUGUGACACAUAUUUGAUGAUAGCAGGUAAGAUAAAUACCCAACGAGAUUGAGGUCGAAGGAAUUGUUCAGUGGAAAAUUGAUGACUCCACUAGUGGUUGUUUGCAGAAUCCGAGCGUGUCUAGCUCAGUCUCUAGCCACUAAUUCAUCAAUUCUAGUAAUGUGAUUUGCUGGUAACAGACUCUCCAGGUGGAAUACUCUUGCAGCACCUGAAAGCAAAUUUAAAAAAACAUGCAUCAUAAAAACUAAGAAAGUAAUUAUGGUUAAUUGUAUAACCCUAAUUGCAAUGACUAGAUAUUACUAUAAAUUGUAAAACCUCGCCUGAAGAAUAGUAUUCCUCCUCUGUCUUGAAUACUUCAUUAAACUUCAACACAGAUAAGCCAAAGAAAAUUAAUUAUAAAGAACUAAUUAAUCAAUGACAAACAAGUAUGCAUACUAACUUAUUAUCUUACCACAUCAGAAGCACAAAACUGGCUAAAGGAGGCCAGUAGAAACAACAUCUGAAUCAUGAUCUGUCACGAUCUGAACCUAUAUUCUAGAUGCGGUCGACACUCGAGAACCAUUGCUAGUAUUCAUAAAAGAUAUGUUUCACAACUCAAAUUCAAAUUGUAAAUAAGUUAGAUAAUGAUUAAGAAUAAAAAAGGUAUUUAUCUUCAAUUCAAAUUCUUUAAGUAUUUAUUUUUAAUUCAAGUUGAAGAUAACUAUGAUUAUGAUAAAGAAUCAAAAAAUAUAUUUAUCUUCAACUUAAAUUAAUAAAAUAAUAAAUUUUCAGCUUAAAUUUGAAUUGCAAUUUUUUUUUUAUAUAAGGAAUAAAAAAAUAUAUUCAUGUUCAACUUGCUUUUUAGUCCUUUCUAAUAUACAAAACACAUACACCGAUCCUAUUAUGGAGACUUUGUCUAUUAAAAUUCAUAGUCAGUCUCCGUAUUAAUCAUAGCUUGGUCAGUGUAUGUCUUCUGAUUUAGAUUUGCUUAGGAUCGAUUCAACUUGGUAUAAUAAGAAGUUUGGUUGAGUUAGGUUCGAUGAAAAUUCAUAGUCAUAGUCUCCGUAUUAAUGAAAGGCAGGAUUCUCUUGUCUAUUAUUUCCCUUUAUUCUGAGAGAGAUGUCGUUCUUUCAGUUCCUAAUGAAUUGAGUCCGCCAUCUAUUUCAUAGUAGUUACGAAAAGUAAAUCCUAUAUGUCACAAGCAGGCAACACGAGUUCUUUACUUUUUGGUGGGGUGGAGGGCUUUUGUGCAUUAUAACACAGGCCGUGACUAUUCUUUUACCUUGAUUGAUAUUGCAUAUCGUCCGCUAUUAAAAAUAGAUAAUGAUCGAAUGUAUUAGGCCCACUUGACAAAGCUUUUUAAUUUUCUGAUGCUUAGUUGGUCGAAAUUUUCAGGUUAUAUCAUGAUUUGGCAUAGCGAAAAUGAUAAAGUUUACUAAUCCAGAUUAUAAGGAAGGUGAUUAUGUUUGGGGAAUUACUGGUUGGGAAGAAUAUACAGUGAUAAAAAAGUCAUCCUCAAUUUCUUAGAAAAAUCAAACGUUAUACAAUAUUUACAUUACCGUAAAAUUGGCUAAUUUGCAGGUUCAUAAUUUAAAUGUGAUGAUGCUUUUUACUACAAAACAGAAAGAAAAAAAAAUUAGGGGCAGCUUGAAUUGUUCCUCUUCAAUUAAUUAGAUUAUUAAAUAAUUAAAUUUUAAAAGAAAUUAUCUUAACUGUUAACGUUUUUUAAAGCAAAAUAAUCACUACAAUAUUAAAUAUUUAAAUUUAUUUUUAUAAUUAAAAGUAAUACUAAAUAUUAUACAAAUAAAAAUAAUAUUCUAUUUUGCAUACAUAAUUAGGUGAAAUCUUCAUUCUAUUUUAAUACUUCUACAAUAAUUUUGAUAACUUGUGUAACAAAUUUUAAAAUAUUUUUAAAACUAUAAUCAAUAAUAACUAUCAAAACAUUUGUAUUAUUAUGUGAAUUACAAUAAUUUAUAUAUACCUAUUUAUAUUUUACAAAAUAUUAGAAUAAAUAUUAUAAUGUCCAUUAAAAAAAUAUUAAUUAUCAAAUUAUAAUUAAAUAUAUAUUAUCAAUAUGAUCGUCUUAGUUCAAGCAUCCAUUUAUCUCUUUACCUAUUAUUGAUACAAAUUUCUUCAAUAUAAUAUGCCCACUUAUGAGCUCAUUUUGAUACUCAAAAAAUCCUAUUAGAAAAUCUGUAUUAUGGUAUAAUUAGAUUAUUGUUAGGCAAAAAUGACUUUGAAUUCAAAAUAAAAUUUAUUUAGGUGCUGGAUAGUUGAAAAGGCUCAUAAAGCCAUUAAACACGAUGAUAGUAUUGGUGCAGGCUAUGUUAUUUAACUCCUUCAUCAAUUCUUUUCUUCCUAAAAAUUUUGUGAUGACUUUAUACUAUAUAUAUAUGUACUAGUGUUUAUCGGUCAAUCACCUCUUGACUCUUCAUAUAUUUAUUUUUUAAUAUUUUGAAUCAUCUUAGUGAAAAUUCUGACUUUCCGCAACAUGGAGAAAGAAGUUAUUACAUCCUUGGAACAAUUACUAUUAAUUAAUUUAUGCCUUAAGCUGCUUUUGUUUGCUGAAAAUUCCCACAUUGGUUAAUCAUCUAAGACAGGAAGCUGAAGAUUUAAUAUAAAUUGAAAUGUCAAAAACAUAUUUAAAGUAUCUUUGCACUUGGGGCAAUGACGCAACUUGUGAGGUUCUAACCGAGGUGCGUCUAUUGCUGGUUGAAAACUAUUUCCAAACCCCCUCUUCGGCCUCGGUUUUGCCUUGGCCGUUGAGAAUUUUUUAAAGGGCUCCCUUAUUUGGGUAAAGUCCUACAAUUCUUAGUUCAAUAAUUGUUUUUUUUUUGUGAUUGUAAUGAUACAUAUUACAUUUUUUAUUUUUAUUUUUAUAUUACAUAUUAGUAAUGUCUAUGUUAGGAAAAUUAUUAGAUUUUUCAUUAAUACCUUGGUGAGUUUGUUGUGGUAUACUUGUACGACAUAGCCAUUUAUAAUAAUAUCACACUCAAUUAUUUACAUCAAGAAAGAGAAGUACUCGUAUGCUAAAAAAUUAGUCCCUCCAUUCCAUAUUAAUUUAAUUUUUGAGGUAUUUUUUAUUUUUUAAAUUAACUUAAUUGUUCUGUUUUCAAGACUACUUUUAGAGUAUUCUUCCAAUUUUAUCCUUCAUUAGUUAGUAUUGGAAUUAGUGAUAUAUUUAGUUAUUUUAAUCAUAAAUUUGACAAUAAUUAAUAAGAGUAAAAAUGGAAAACUAUAUUUAAUUUAUGUCUUAAUCUACUUUACUUAAAGGGUGUGAAACACCUCAAAAAUUAAAUUAAUAUGGAAUGGAGGGAGUAGUAAACUUCUUGGGGCAUGCCAUAAGCCAAUUCAUGGGUAAGGCCAAGGUGUUUACCAUAAGGGAGUGGGAGGUGGCUACUUAUGUGGCUGAGUUAUGGUCUUUUCUUGGGCUUGUGAACUAUUAUCGUUGAUAUAGAAAUAGGUAUUCUUCCAUUCUUGCACCCAAAGAAGAAACAUCUUUGGGAGUGAGCACAUAUUUUGAUGGCAUAAUUAAGGUUGUUUAAUAGGUCAUAACUGCAUUUGAAGUGUAAAUGAAAAUAGGGGAAAAUGCAUGAUAUAUCAUUUAGGGGUCGUUUGGUAUAAAAAUUAAUAAUGCAUGGAUUAAUAAUACACAGAUUAGUAAUGCAGAGAUUAGUAGUGCAGAGAUUAGUAAUGCAGAGUUUAUUUUUAUAAAGUGUUUGGUUCAUUGUUUCCAACCUCAUCUUGUAUUUGGAUUGAAACUUUUUAAAAUCUUCUUUCCAAUUAUACUCUUGCAUUAUCAUGUAAUUGGGUCAAAGUAGAUAAUUGACGGACAAUAUUAUUAUUUUAUGGCCUUCUAACUAGCUAUGAGAAGAACAAUUUUGUUGUCAUGUUUCCUAUUUUUUCACUUGAAUUAUUUGAGGAUAAAUAAUUGACAUCUUAAUAAAUUGAUCAUUCACAAAAUGUCAAUUUUCAAUUUAAAAACGAUAAAUCAUCUACUUUUAAAAUUGAAAAGACGUUCAACAAUGGUAAAAUUGAAUAAAUCAUUUACAUUUACACAUAAAAAUUGCAAGUUAUAGUAUAUAUAUAUAUAUUAGUGAUAUAUUUGCCUUUUUAAUUAGUAAAUGUUAAAUAACUCACAUUUCAAAUUUGUAUUGAAUUUAUUUAGUAACAAACAACUCUCUCUAAAUAAUUUGUAAGCUAAUUUAUUUAAAUAAAUUUACUAGUACAAAUAUAAAACAUAAAAUCAAGAUAAUAAAUAAAAUAAUUAAAAUGAUUUGAGGAAUAUUUUUAUCUUUACAUAGACUUAUACCAUGGUAUUAUAUCCUAUGUACUACUAAUGGAAGGUAUUAGUAAUACAUCCAAUAUUCUUUAUUUGGAAUAAAAAUUGUACCAAGUUUCUUUAUUGAUUCAUUAUUUUAAUAAUAAAUAAUUUCUUCAAUUCAAAUUUAUGACACUUUUUUCUGUAUAAUCAAUUUUAAAAAAUGACAUCUUUAUAUAUUUAAUAUUAAUUUAAUUAUAAAAUAUAUAUUUACCUUUAAUAAAAUUUUAUUUAAUCAUAUAAGUAUUUUAAUUUAUUCUAAAUCAUAAAUCUUUUUUAAAAAUUCUUUAUAUUUAAACUAUGUUGCGGCCCCAAACUAAAACCCAGUAUCGAGAUGGUUCGGACUUAAAGUGGACUGAUCCGUCCCAUCUAACACCCUUACUAACCACCAAUCCAUAUUGCUCCAAACAGUUCUCUUUCUCCCAAUUGGAUAAAAAUCUAGACCAAAACCUAGGAUCGAGACGGUUCGAGCCUAAAGUGGGUUGAUCCGGAGCAGCCGUCCCAUCUAAAACCUUACUUCCCACCAAUCCAUAUUGCUCGAAAUAAUUGUCUCUUUCUCCUAAUUGGGUAAAAUUCUAGACCAAAACUCAGAAUUGAGAUGGUUCCAGCUUAAAGUGGGUUGAUCCGGAGCGGCCGUCCCAUCAAACACCCUUACUUCCCACCACUCCAUAUUGCUCCAAAUAGUUGUCUCUUUCUCUCAAUUGGGUAAAAUAUUAGAUCAAAUGUUGAUCAACAGAAGCACUUUGAUCAUAUCAAGGGGCCACAAGACUAACAAGUGACAAUAUGUUUGUCCUAUUAGGCUUAGAUAAACUCUAAAAUGCCCCAUCAUUACAAGUCAACAACUAUAUCCUAAUAACACUUUCUUUUUCUUGUUCUUUUUGUUGGUUGAGAGUGGGUGGAGAGUUUGAGUAUUUAUUAUACGUAGUAAUAUAUGCAUUUUCAAAAAGUAAAGUGGGUGUAGCACUAAAUUAGUGGAUGCAAAGUAUCACUACACUACUAUGCCUUAGUGAUAAUAGGUGUGAAAUGAGGUGUUUGGAAAUGUUCGAAGUAGUUAAAUAGGAAGAUCACUAUAAUUAAUUACAGAACUCUGUUUUGUUGGUCACUUGACUUGUGCCUGUUUGAAUAACGUCGGUGUUAGGACCGAAAUAAGCAGGUGUAGCGCGGAAGCUAGCAAAGCAAACCUCGAAAGACCAUGAGUAAGAAGACAAACGAGAAAUAUACAAAGACACAAAGAUUUAACGUGGUUCGGUCAAUCGACCUACGUCCACAAAGGAGAUGAGCAAUCCACUAUAUAAACAUGAGAGUACAAAAUAUAGAGAGAAAUAACCUCAACCAAUUCACUCGGAAUACAUGGGAGGUUCACACAAGUGAUAACGUAUCAAGCUUGUGACCCACAAAUUCUCCCCCUAACCAAAACUCUCAAAGCCCUUAAGACUACAUUGUGAAUGCUGAUUAAUUUAGAAGGAACAAACCUCUAUUUAUAGAGUCUUAAACCUUUUCCUACAAGAAAAGAACUAGCCAAUCCAAAACAUUUUCCUCAAAGGAAAACCUAUUUAUGGUAAGAAACUCAGGGCAAAUAAUACCCAACAGUCGGUAUAAUUCUAUUUGAACUAUUCAUUUUCAAAUGAUAUUAACUUUGUUUACAUAUAGGCAAAUUCACACCUAUAAUUGAAAGAAACGAUAAGCUUUCUGCUCUAUUUGCUCGUUGGCUUCGCGUCAACCAACCACAUUUUAGGAAUUUGCUAUCUAUGGUCUAUAUGUUUAGACAUUAGUCCAAAAAAAAACAUAAAUAUAUUACAACUAUUAUAUAUUAAGAUAAGAAUGCCCAACAAAGCUACAAAUUUGGAAAGAUAGAUAUAUAAAUUUAAUAGAAAGCAGUACUGGAAUAGCUCUUAACAACAUUACUAGACAGUAUUUGGAUCAAUGAGCUAUUUUUUGGACCAACACAUCUAGGGGUUUUGAACUGGCUCACCGCGCCUCCUAAUCCAACGAAAUGAUCCAAUAUCUUAUGAAAGGUUCCCCCUGUUAACAAUCCUCAGUUCAAGUGCUCCAAUUCCAUUCACUUUCCGGGAGCUCACGUAGCCUGCAUCGAGGAACGACUUGUCCAGACAGUUGCAGCACUCUUGCAAUAUUUCAUCAGUUGCUUCCCCACUCAGUUCCCAGAAGAUGACGUAGUGUCCUGGAUCAGCUGAGACGUUGACAUGGCUUGUGAAGUCCACCACUUCUAGCUUUUCGUCAACUAAGUGCUUGCCUGCAGCUUCCACAGCUAGUUGCAAAUCUUUCUCAGUGUUCUUGUCUAUGUUGCAAAUCUUUCUCAGCUUGUUAUUUUGAAUAAAUUUGUUAAGUGUAGUAGGUAGGGAGCAACUAGACAGAACUUAGAAGGAAGAAUGCAAAAGAUUCCAACAUUCUAAGGAGUACUUAACAACAAAAGGGAAAUGAAUAUCAAGCACAUGCAAGUAUUGCAGAACAAAUGAGUACAACAGACCAUGUACAAAAAACAUGUUAACUCCAGAAUAAGGCGUAAAAACAAACGAUAAAUCUUUUCUAUCUAAGUAGAAUUCAGAAUUUUAUGCCAGACAGGCAGGCAUAUAUGUUUCCUGCAAUAUUGCCAUAAAGAACGAAGACUAAGGACGAUGCUAAACACCACAAGUCUAAGCUGAGAGAAAUUGACUCAUUCAGCUGAAUUACAUGGAAGUCACUAAAUUAGAGCAAAACUCGUUCACCGGGAAGAAUCACUGAAUAAAUUAGACUAUGUUCCCAUAAAUGACCAACGAUCGCAGGUUUAGCAUGUUAUGU